AAGAAUCAUCCCUCUUCUUUCUCUUUUCUUUCCCCCUCUUCCUCCUACCUUCAUCCUCAUCAUCAGAAUCACUAAUUCCUCUCUUCCUACUACUCCUUUUCUUUGACCUCCCUCUCUUUGUCUUUCUCUCCCCAUAAUCGGAUUCAGAGCUAUCAUCCUCAUCACUCAUCUUCUUCUUUGAUGAUUUCUUCCCUUUCCUAGAAACCUUCUUCCCAGAUCUUUCAGCAAUAAUCCUCUCAAUAUCCGAAUCCACAUCAGAGUCCGAACUCUCACUCUCCUCGUCCUCCUCUUCUUCACUCUCCAUCUCCUUUUUCCCAUUCAGUUUCCCUCCUUUCAACUUAUCAAGUCCAUUCAAAACCGCAGCCUGGAUCGCUUCAGGGUCUUUCUCCUUACUCUCCUUCAAACUCACGAAAUUCUUGCACUGAAAAGUAAGGUGACCAACACGCCCACACUUCUUACAAGCUCCACGAGCCUCAUCUGCAUUCGAACCCGUGAUCCGGGCAAGGGCUAGAAGCCCUUGAAAGCUAGCGUAUGCGUUUUCACCAUCGGGUUCAGCAGCGGCAGUCAUCUGACUCGAUGAAUUUUUUGAAUCAUCUUUAUUAGGAGCAUAAGGGUCAUACCCGAUUGCACUUUGCCAAAUCCCGUGGGUUUGCAAGGCGGCGCUACUAUGCACCCGGUUGUUCGCGGGCAUUCGAACCCUCCCUGCGGUGGCCGGCAUCUUUUAGGGAUUGAGAUUACCCUAAUUUUGGGGAAUCAGAGUUUUCUUCUGAUGUAGGGUGGAGAAUUGAACUUCGCUUGCUUCAAGAAUCUGAAAGAAAAUAGUUAGGGUUUCAUAUUAAAAAAAUUAGAAAAGUAGACAUACAUUUAGGGUUUUUUCUUCUGAAAAAACAAAAUUGGGGUUCUUACCUGAGAGCGGAAUUGAUAAUCGAAGAGGCGAACAAAGUGAAAGAAAAUCGAGAGGAAUGAGAGCUGCGCUCUAAUGGAAAGAUGAGAUUUUGGGUUCUGGAUUUGAGAUUUUUUCCGAAGUUUUAUACUUUAUGUUGGUAUAUAUAUUUAAUAGAUGGUUAAAACUUAAAACCGCCCACUAAAAAUAAAGUCGGUAAAAGGAUAUGAUUUGAAAAGGGAAAGGGCGUAUUAAGUUUUUAUAAGGAUUCUUCGUUAAUAAACGACGUAGUAUGCCUUCAAAUCUUCGUUUGAUUAUUUCCCAAAAAAGUAAUUAAAAGGCUUUUUACUUGAAUAGUGAAUAUUGUCGAUUUGUUUUUCACUUUUUAAAUUAAAAGGUAAACUAUAUUCAAGGCCGCUAAAUUAUUAGUAAAUUUAUGUUUUGGUCACUCAAUUUCAAAAUGUUACAAAAUGAUCAUUGAACUAUUUGAAAGUUUUCAUUUAAGUCAUUAGUUUUUUUUUUUAAGUUUGGUUAGUGAGCUCCAAGCGACGAGAUGACAACCGAUAUAAUGGAUCAAUGAUCUUUCGUUUUUCUGUGCAUCAAAUUAAGUUCUUUUGACACUUAAAAAGCUUGUUCUCAAGUGUUUUAUGAAGCUUUUUGCUGUUUUUUAUUACUUAUUAGAUAUUACAUUAGAAGUUCGUCUUAUUGCGUUUCUUUUACUUUUGAGACCCAAAUUGACAAAAUUAUGUCAUUGGAAGUCUAAUGAUUGAUUUCAGCUUGUGUAUGGAGCCGAUUGACGCCAAACAUUAAAAAGGACUUUUACUAUGGUCGAGGUCAACACAGAAGCUUGUGUGUUGCGACACUGACCCUCCCACCACCUCGAGGAAAUUGAACUUCAUCAAAACUCAACCUAGAGUAGCCUAUUGUGGACACUGAAGCCUAACGGGUGAAAAGAUGCAGGGACAAUUUUGUGUUCAAGUAAUCUUAAGUCACUUUUCAUUUAAGGGCAUAAUUAUCAAUGCUAGGUUAAAUACUUUUUGCCUACAAAUACCACAUUAUGUCAACUAUUUGGGUGGCUAGCUUAGGUUAGAAAAUUAGGUUAGACGUUAGAAAAUAUUUACUCUCCUUUUCUUAGUUUAGGUUUUCAUUUUUCUUUUCUCUUCUUUUUCUUUUCUUUUCUUUUUUGUUGUAGAAUUUUUAUUUCUUCACUUUUGCUAGAACCUUGUGGAUGACAAUGGAUUAAACUCUCGUGUUCCAUCAAAUUUUUAUCUAUUAAUAAGCAUCUUCUCAAUCUUUAUCUUCUGUAUUUUAUGCCUACCAUGUGUUUGUUAAAAUACUUGUGUGGAAUCUAAGUUUAAUCAUGUGCUAAAUCAUUUUAUUAGUUGGUUGAUGAGUGUGUUACUUAACUAAGUUAUUAUCUAUGCCUUAACUAGUUGUUUGUUCAAGUGUAUUAAAUUGCAUAUUAAAAUAGAAUUAACGCCUCUUGUGGAAGAUCUAGAUAGAUGAGAUCGGUAGGAGACUUUACCAUAUAAGACUUUAACAUGUUUGUGUCGAAUAGUGAGAUUGAGAGGAGAUCUAUAUGCCUAAGUGAGACUGAGAGUAGAGCUUAAGUGGUAUCUUUUAGUUUAAGAUGAGACUAAGAUGAGAUUCCUAGCUAAGAAGGGCAAACAAUAUAAUCAUCAUAGGUUUAUUAGCUUAGUUAGUAAUUCAUGAAACAUUCGAUUAUCAUUUCAAUCCAUUUGUAUUGUUUCUAGUAAAAAAGAAUAAAAGUAGUUUGAUAUUUUUAUUUGUUAAUUUAGAAUUAGUUUAAAUCUCAUUUUAUUUGGUUGCACUAAUGAUUUUCGACUCAACUAGAUUAGUAAUUGCUUAACUCGUAAUUAAUUUGAUAACAUUUACUAAUUUGACAAUCCCUUGGGUUCGAUCCUUGGAGUACUCCGUGUGUUCAAUUAUAACACAUAAAUAUUACAACUGAUUUGUCACACUUGCAGUAAAAGUCGCUUUUAAAUCUUUAUAUUUUAUGCUAAUUCUUUACUCGGUGUUCGUACAAAGGGACCAUUUUUCUUAGACCUUUGUUUCUUUUUAUAUUUAGAUGAAUGGUUCACUGAUAGAAUCUUUUCAGCCUAAGAGAGGUCUAAGACAAAGGGACCAUUUUUUUGGUAUGUAUACAGGGUCUUUCGACAAUGUUGAGUUAAGAGUAGGAUUUUGGCAGGACUUAUGGGGUUAGGGCUAGCCAGACUAAGCUUGAGAUUAACCACCUCUUCUUUGCAGAUGACAACCUUCUGUUUAUAGAGAACUCGAUAGCUAAGGCUAGACGUGUUAGGAAUGUUCUUCAUCUUUAUGAGGUGGGUUCAAGGCAAAAUGUAUAUUUCGGUAAGUCUCUUAAUUACUUUAGUCUCAAUACACUUGUUGAGUAACAAGGUUCUAUCUAAACCAUGUUAGGUGUUCAAGAGGAGUCUAGCGUGAUAGAUAUUUGGGUAUGUCGCUUCUAAUUAGUAAGGAUAAAAUUUUUGUCUUUUAAUACAUCAUGGACAAAGUUCAAAAGCAUGCCUAGAGUUGGUCUAAAUGUUUGCUUGGCUAUGGUAGUUGUGAGGUGUUCAUUAAAUUGAUUCUACAACCUAUUUUGACGUAUAUUAUGUCUUACUUCUUACUCAUUUUGUUAGUUACUAAUGCUAUUGUUUCAAUUAUAAGAAAAUAUUGGUGGGCUAGCAAAGUGGAUAACUGAGGGUGGACUAUGUUAGAUUAGGACACGUAGUAAAUCGAAGGAAAUGAGUGGAAUCGGGUUAAGAUAUUUUUACCUUUUCAAUCCAUCAUUGUUAGGUAAACAAGUUUGAAGGUUUUUGCAUAAUAAAGACUAUUACAAGGUCUUUUAUGUGAAAUAUUUCACUAAUGGUAACAUCUUUGAUGCUAAAGUGGUUGAUAAGCUUUUAUAUCUUUUGUCUAGUAUUUCACAAGUUAUUGAUUCACUUUCACCAGGUUAUUUAUGGGGGUUGAGUAAUGGUUAUUAGAUUCGAUCUUUUGAGGAUAAUUGAUGGGCCUCUAGCCCUAUUGAUCUUUCAGUUUCUUAUGAACAUCAUGUUGGGCUAGAGAUAAGGCCAAAAGAUUUGGUGGUCAAUAACUCUUCAUCUUGGGUCUUGGAGGGGUUAAAAUAUGUCAUAGGUCAUUCUACUAUUUACAGAUUUACAAUUUAGCCCAUGUACUUUUAUUUACAGAAAUUUAGUCCUUCUACUUUUCAAAUUUCAAAAUUUAGGUGCAAUUGUUAACACUAUUAUUUUUUUUGUUCACUUUGUUGGUAUGAAAUUUUGAAAUAAAUAAAAAAAACUUUCUUAGUAGCAAUGUAACUAGUAAAUGACAUUGUAAUAAAUCUGAAUUUUAACAAAAUAAUUUUAACAAUGUUAAUAAUUGAUAGCAAUGUAACUAAUAAAUGGCGUUCUAAUGAACCUAAAUUUUAACAAAAAUAAUUUUAACAAUGUAAAUAGUUGGACUUGAUUUUUGAAAUAAAAAAAUUAGAGGGAUAAAAUUCCAAAUUUACGAAGAGUACAAUGACUUAUUCAUAUAUUUUAACUGAGUCGAAGGUGGUCCACAACUUGUUUUCUGAUAGUUUGAGGGUAUGCAAGCUCUAGGGGCCAAUGCGACGCACAUUGUGUAUAAGUAACUGCUUUUAAUGAGUUGGGUGAUAGUCCUCAUAGAGAGUUCUAGUGUUUCAUUUAAAAGAUUAAGGUUGCGUUUGGUUUUUGAAAAUAUCUUCUAUGCCCAUAACCUAUUUUCAAUUUUAGAAAAUAGUUUUUGUUUUUUAAAUAAAAACAUGUUCAAUAAAUAGAAAUAAAGUUUAUUUUUAAUAAUGAAAAUAUGAAAGCAUGUUUAGUAUCUAUUCGUCUAUAAUAGUAAUAAAAGAAAUAAAAUAAAAUAAAUUUACAUACCAAAUUUAAUAUUUGAAAAAUUAUUUGAAAAAAAGAAUACUUUUAUGUUUAUAUGGGUUUGAACCAAUGCGAAUUCAUUUUGUUAGAAUUGAGUGACCCGAAUCAUUGUUAAAAUAAAAGACAGUGGUAAAAUAAAAUAACAGUAAAAUCCAUAUAGAACUACACUUCUUUUAUUUUAUUUUAAAAUAAGGUUUUUUAACCCUAUUACACUUCAUCUAUUUGAUAUUGAUUAGAACAAGAUGUUUCAACCUUACUAAACUCAUUCUAUUGGAAUAUGAUUUUUCAAGCCUAUAAAUAGAUAUAGUCUACUCCUCUUGUAUUCAUUCGAAUUUGACAUAGUGGAUUAUCUUCUCCUCUAUUCGUGACUUUUUUUCUGAAAGGGUUUCCAUGUAAAAAUCUGUGUGUUCUUUAUUUUUCUCUCUUUUCUUUGCUAUACAUUUUCAUUAUCGAUGUUCUAUUUUUAACAAAUUGGUAUCAGAGCUUUCAAGUUGUUUAUUUCAAUCACGAUAAUGACUUCUUUAAAGUAUGAAAUUCCUCUGUUGGAUAGCAACACCAAGUUCGCGUUGUGGCAAAUAAAGAUGUACGCAGUUUUUGCGCAGAUGGACUUAGAGGAUGCGCUACUAGGGAUAGAUAAGAUGCCUUCAACAUUGACGGAGGAAGAAAAGAUGCGUAAAGAUCGAAAGGCCUUAACACAGUUACAUCUGCAUUUGUCUAACGAAAUUUUACAGGAUGUGAUGAAGGAGAAGACCGCCACUGCAUUAUGGAAGAAGCUAGAACAAAUAUGUAUGUCGAAAACUUUAACCAGCAAGCUGCAUAUGAAGUAGCGUAUUUAUGCUCAUUGUUUGGAGGAAGAUGCGUCUAUGCACAAACACUUAACAAUGUUUAAAGAAAUUCUCUCAGACUUGGAGGCCAUGGAGGUUCAGUAUGAUAAGGAAGAUCUAGAGUUGAUUUUACUUUGUUCGUUGCCUCCGUCUUAUUCAACCUUUAGAGACACGAUUUUGUGUAGCUGCGAGUCUCUCACAGUUGAUGAGGUUUAUGAUUCUUUGACCUUGUAUGAUAAGAUGAAACAUCUUGUGGUUAAACUCGACUCUCAAGAGAGGGUCUCAUUGUUCGUGAGAGACAAGAUUAGAAUGAUGAUGAUGAUGAUGAUGAUAAUGAUCGUGGAUGGACACAUGAAUGAAAUCCUAGCAAUAAAUCUAAGGGUAGAUUGAAGUAUUCAAAUAUGGGAAAAACUUGUAACUUUUGUAAGAAGAAAGGACACAUUAAAUUUGAGUGCUAUAAGCUGCAGAACAAGAUCAAAAGAGAGGCUACGAAUUAGAAGGGAAAACAACCAGAAAAAUCUGAUGAAUCUGAUGUUGUAGAAGACUACAGCGAUAGUGAACUCUUAGUCUCUUUUGCCAACAAUUUUAAAGUGAGCGAUGAGUGAAUCCUUGAUUCGGGCUACCUUCUAUAUGAGUCCUAAUCGGAAUUGGUUUACAAAUUACGAAAUAGUGUCUAAAGGUGUUAUUUUGAUGGGAAAUAAUACUUCGUGUAAAAUUGCAGGUGUUGGAACAAUUAAAGUUAAGAUGUUUGACAGAGUUGUUAGAACACUUAGUGACGUGCGACAUGUUCCAAAGUUGAAGAGAAAUUUGAUUUCGUUGAGUACUCUUAAUUUAAAAGGGUACAAAUACACAGCUGAAAGUGGGGUUUUGAAGAUCUUCAAAUGUUCCAUUGUUGUGAUGAAAUGGCAGAGAAAGACUGCUAAGUUAUAUAUUUUACAAGGUUCUACUAUUACUGGUGAUGCAGCUGUCGCUUCCUCUUCUUUGUUAGAUGAUGAUGUUACUAAAAUUUGGCAUAUGCGCCAUGGCAGAAUUGAGCAAAAGAGGACUUUUUGAUAGGCAAUGAAUUUGUAAACUGAAGUUUUGUGGGCACUGCAUUUUUGGGAAGCAAAAGAGAGUUCGAUUCAGUAGAGGAAUCCAUAACACAAAGGGAACAUUAGAGUAUAUUCAUUCUAAUCUGUGGGGGUCAUCUAGAGUGCCUUUGAGAGGUUGAGCUAAUUAUAUGCUAACACUUUUGAUGAUUUUUCCAGAAAAGUUUAGGCAUUUUUCUUGAAGCAGAAAAGUAAUGUGUUUUCUGCAUUUAAGUCUUGAAAAACUAUGAUUUAGAGUUCUGUUCUAAUGAGUUUAAUGAACUGUGCUAGUCAGAAGGGAUCGUGAGACACUUGAUAAUUCAUCAUACUCCACAGCAAAAUGGUGUUGCAGAACGAAUGAAUAGAACAAUUAUGGAGAAGGUUCAAUGUAUGUUGACUAAGGUUAACUUACCAAAGUCGUUUUGGGCCGAAGAAGCCUCUACUACAUUUUUUUGAUCAACCGAUCUCUAUCCGUUGCCAUUGAGAAAAAAAACUCCACAAGAGGUAUGGUCUGACAAUCCUACUGGCUAUUUUGACUUAAAGGUCUUUGGGUGUCCUGCGUAUGCUCAUGUUGAUAAUGGAAAAUUGGAACUGAGAUCCAUUAAAUGUGUUUUUCUUGGUUAUAAAACUGGUGUAAAAGGGUAUAAGUUAUUGUGUAAUGAAAAUAGAAAAGUUGUGAUUGGCAGAGAUGUUUUUGAUGAAACUGCUAUGCUACCUAACUUAUCUAUUAAAAACUCUUUCAAUAAAGAAAAUUAAAAGAAGGUGGAGUAUCAGAUUAAUCCAGAAUCUACAACAAAGUAGACUCUUCAAGCUAAUACAAAAAUUCAGAAUAGAGUUACUUCUUCACCACAAUACUCUAUCGCCAAAAAUAGAACUAGAAGAGAAAUUAAACCUCCAAAGAAGUAUGUCGAGGUUGAUCUAGUUGCUUAUGCUUUAAAUGUGGCUGAAGAUAUAUAUGCAAACCAAGAGCCAUCUAAUUAUUCUGAGGCGGUUAGCUGUGAAGACUCAGAAAUGUGGAUGUUUGCUAUGAAAGAGGAGAUGGAAUCACUCCACAAAAAUAGAACAUGAGAUAUUGUAAAACUUCCUAAAGGUAAAAAGGCUGUUCGUUGUAAAUGUGUGUUUAAAAAGAAAGAAGAGACUCUAGGAGUUGAAGAACCCAAAUAUAAAGCAAGGCUUGCUGCAAAGGGUUACAGUCAAAUUUCAGGUGUGGACUUCACGGAUGUGUUCUCCUGAGUUGUGAAGCAUAGUUCGAUUCGAGCUUUGCUCAAUAUUGUGGCCAUGCAUGAUUUGGAGCUUGAGCAGUUAGAUAUAAAAACUGCAUUUUUGCAUGGAGAACUUGAGGAGGAUAUUUACAUACAACAACUAGAGGGCUUUACAGUCUCAAAAAAAAAGAACUAUGUUUGCUUUCUGAAAAAGUCCUUUUAUUGUUUGAAACAGUCACCGAAGAUAGUGGUACAAGAGGUUUGAUUCUUUUAUGACUUCUCAUGAUUUUAAAAGAAGUAGCUUUGACAGUUGUGUUUACUUUAAGAAAAAUAGUAAUGGUUCUUUUGUGUAUCUACUCAUUUAUGUUGAUGACAUGUUGAUAGCAGUGAAAGAUAAAUGAGAGAUAAGAAAGGUCAAAGCCCAACUAAGUGAAGAAUUUGAGAUAAAAGAUUUGGGACCGGUAAAGAAGAUACUUGGUAUGAAGAUUCUCAAAGAUAGAAAAUCAAGUAAAUUGUACCUAAGUUAGAAGGAGUACAUUGAGAAAUUUCUUUGCAGGUUCAAUAUGUAGAGUGCUAAACUUGUUAUGUAUGCUAUGGUUUGUUUACAUCCAGAUUUAUCAUAUGCAAUCAGUGCAGUUAGCAGAUACAUGGCGAAUCCUGGUAAAAAACAUUGGAAAGCAGUUCAGUGGAUUUUUGGAUACUUAUGAGGUACCAUUAAUGUUUGCUUAUAGUUUGGAAGAAUUAGAGAUGGAAUCAUUGGGUAUGUUGAUGUUGAUUUUUUCGGAGACCUUAAUAGAAAAAGAUCUCUCACAGGCUAUGUCUUUACAAUUGGAAGUUGUGCAAUCAGUUGGAAAUCCACUUUGCAAACUACAGUCGCUUUGUCUACCACUGAAGUUGAGUACAUGGCAAUUACUGAGGCUUGUAAAGAAGCCAUUUGGUUGAAGGGACUCUUUAGUGAACUCAAUGAAGACCUUUAAAUCAUUACAGUAUUUUGUGACAGUCAGAGUGCCAUCUUUCUUACAAAAGAUCAAAUGUUUCAUGAAAGAACAAAGCACAUUGAUGUUCAGAAUCAUUUUGUUCGUGAUAUUAUUGCUUGUGGUGAUAUUAUUGUUAGCAAAAAUAGUACUCAUGCAAAUCUUGCAGAUAUGAUGACUAAGUCACUUCCCAUAACCAAGUUUGAGCAUUGCUUAGACUUGGUUGGUGUUCAUUGUUAAAAAAACCCCUUAAGGGGUUUCAUGGAAGAGGUGGAGAACUUAUUCGUUGAGAGUUCGUGGUGAAGAACUUGUUCAUUGAGAAUUUGUGUCAAGGUGGAGAUUGUUAGAAUUGAAUGACCCAAAUAAUUAUUAAAAUAAAACACAGUGGUAAAAAAAAAAGAAAGUAAAAUCCAUAUAGAACUAUACUUCUUUUAUUUUAUUUUAGAAUAAGGCAUUUCAACCUUAUUACACUUUAUCUAUUUGAUAUUGACUAGAAUAAGAUGUUUCAACUUUACUACACUCCUUUUAUUAGAAUAUGAUUUUUCAAGCCUAUAAAUAGACAUAGUUUACUCCUCUUGUAUUCAUUCGAAUUCGACAUAGUGAAUUAUCUUCUCCUAUGCUCGUGGUUUUUUUUCGAAAGGGUUUCCACGUAAAAAUCUGUGUGUUCUUUAUUUUUCUUUCUCUUUUCUUUGCGAUACAUUAUCAUUAUCGACGUUCUAUUUUUAACACAUCUAAAAUUAAAAACUCUUGUUUUCAUCAUGUUCAGUUUUACAAAAGCAUUUUUAAUGAAAACAACUUUUUAUUUUUUUUAAUUUCACACGUUUUUAUUUUCCAAAAAUCAUUUUUUUAAUUCUUUAGUGAUUCCAUUUUUCCAAAAAAAAAAAAAGAAAACGAAAAUGACAUCUAUUUUUCUGAAACCAAACGGAGCCUAAGACUAUCCAAAAAUUAAAUUGUUUGGGUAAAGACUUGGGUAUGAUAUUUUACCUACAGCGCCAUCCAAUGUCAUGUGAUCCUACUUGUAAGAGAUGUAUGAAUCGUUUGGAGUACUGAUUGGAACUCCUUACACUUUAGGAGUUGCAUGAGAGUCUCUUGGGUGGUUAUUACACAUAUUGCAUCGGUCGACUUGAAAAUGCUACAAAAGCCACAAAUAUUCAUGGUUUCACUAGUUUGAUUGUUUUGCUUUGGCAAAUAUGAAAUAUAUGAGUUUGCCAUGCAGGGAAGACAACUUCUAAAUGGCCUUUGAUCAUGCACAAUCAUUGAAAGUUGACUUUUGAUUGCACAAUUAUGUUUGCCACCCGAUUCUUCCUACACAACCACAAAAUGUGAAGUGGGCUCUACCUAUUAGGCUUAUUGAGGAUACUACUUAAUUCCCGAGUGACCAUAAUAAGAGUGUGGUUAUGGUGUGGUUGGCUUUGUUCUUGAAGGCCUUGCACGUCCGAAUCGAGAAGUUUUUUUUUUUGCAAAGCUUGUAGAGGUGAGGCUCUUCACUUUGGCUCUCUAAUUUGCUAGAGAUAGAGGCUACUCCAACAUUGUGAACUGAUCGAGAUGGACUCCAUUUUUGUGGUUAAUAAGUUCAUUUUAGUGACAUUAACUUAUCCUUACGCCGCAUUCACCUAUUAGAGGCUCGUGACUUUAUUAAUUUGUUUGAUUCGAUGUCUUCUACUUUUAUUAAUAGAAUUGGUAGCCUUGUUGUGCAUCAUUUAACUAGAUGGAUGGAUUGCUGAGAUGAUGUUUUUUUAUGUUGGUUUUGAUUAUCAAUUGGUUAUUCAUGAUUUUUUGAUAAAAGAUGCUAUGAAUACUUAAUAAAAUAGUUUCGUACUUCAAAAAAAAAAGAGGGGGGACUGACACAUUGAACAAAUUUGUUAAGUUUGAAUGUUGUUGUCGUUUUUUUAUAUCAAUCCUGCAUACGAGUAGAAAAUGAACAGAAUAUACGUGAUUUCACAAAGGCUCAGUAAUGCCACUUUCUAAUUUCUAUUGAAAGGCAUGACCAACAGAAAGGCAAUACUAUCUAAUUAGUAUUUGGGACCCAAACAAAAUUCCCACUCAAGCAUUAACCAAUUUUUGUUUCAUAUAAAAAAAUGUUUGUUGCACCCUAACCUGAAACAAGUGCAGAGAAAUAACUGCUGUUAAGAUACAAAAUAACUUCACGAAAACACAAUAAAAAACACCAUCUGUUGAUUAAAACCACAUUACUUGAGUCUAAUCAUAGUCAGGAUAUCUUGUAGAAGCAAACAUUGUCUACUACUAAGCACCAUUGGAUAUGCAUAUACUCAAAGAUGCUAUAACUAGGAAUGCACUAAAACCUCAAUCGCAGUAACCAGGAACUAUGUAUAACUAGGGUGUUAGGGAAAGUGUUGUGUGUAAGUUAAUGUAGAUUUCUUACAGUAAAGCAGAGUAGUCUUCAGAAAAUUUGCGUUCCAUUCGCAAAUAUUCAAGCUUGAAAUCAGGAAAGCUAAGCAGAACUCCAUAUUUGUCUAGAGAAAAACAUUAUCAUGAUGAUAUUAGUACUCUUUCAAGCCAAAAAGUUUAAAAGUGGUAAUGGAAUGACAAAUCAACUAUGGACUUAUCAAGAGCUAACUGAUAAGUCAUAAUCAUAUGAUUAUUUUAAGUUAUAUUUUAUUUACAUUUGCUUAGUUUCUUGAGUGUUUUUAUACAUUUUAGAUCCAUUUGAUUUGAUUUGAUUUUUUUUAAUGUUUGCAUUGUAAAUAGUGUUUUUAGGGUUUUUCACGCAUUUAAUUUUAAUAAAAUAUUUCGUGUGGAAUUUGUAGGUAAAACAAAUUUGGGAAGAAUAUGUCAAUACAUGGAACCAUGAGAUUAAAUGCACUAAACCUAAAGUUGAUCCAAGAUGCCAAGUGGAUGUCCAAUGCUCAAAGAAUCAAAAUUUGUAAUUUGAACACAUUCAAAAUUUCCAACCAAAACACUUCUUAGUGUUUCGAUCAUUUCUCGAGCUCUAGGACUCCAUUUUAGGUGUACCUUAUAUCGUCAGAAAGGGAGUUUGAAGAUCUAUAAAAUAUAGGAACACCAAUACCAAAAUGCAUCAGGAAGAAAUCCAAAAGUAAAGAGAAAUUUACAAAUUUCACAUUGAUGGACAGUUUUGAUGCAUUUUUGUGUUUGGAUCAUAUCUCCUAACAUACAUGGAGUUUGGAGCUGAAAUUUUUAUAGUGAAUGUACAAGAUGCAAAACAUCAAUCAACUUUCUUGGACUUUUCCCAUUGGGAGACGUUAACUUAGACGAAAGAAGUCAUCAAUUAACAUAUCAAAAAUGACUCAAAAGAUGACAAAGAAGGUGACCUAGAAAUUUAUAACUAGCAAGUCCUUUGCAUUGUCAUUUUCCUCUUCAAAAACCUCUAUAAAUAGCCUUUUGUUUCAGAAUAAGAGGCAUCUUGAAGUUGAGAUCAAGAUCAUUUUCUUGUUAGUAUUUGUUUGGUUCUUUAUCCUCAUAAAAUCUCAAGUUUCUUAUAUCUAAUAUGCCUUUUUCAUAUAAGUUUGAGUUGUUUAAUUUUGUUAUGUUAUUCUAAGUUUUUAAUGCUGAGGUAAAAGGGAGAAACUCUUGGCAAAUAUUAAGUCAUAAUUUGAGUUAAAAUUAAUUAUCAAUCACUUGCUAUAAUCAUACAUGUAAAAUAAGAUCAUUUAUUUGUUAUAGGCAAUAGAUGACAUAAUGAAUGCUUGGAUAAAUUAACCUUAAUUUGUUGUAGACAUAAAAAAAUUGACAUAAUAAAUAUUUGAAAUAUUUUUUUAUAAGUUUUGAAGUUAUCAAGUGAUUAUAAGACCAUAUGUUAUAUUUUUGGGUUGAACUUAAAUAAUUGAACUUUCAUAUUGCACCAUCCUUUGCUUAUGGAUUCAUUUGCUAAACUCUUGGGCUUUUGGACAAUCAUAUUGGACACUCCUUUGAUGGACAUAUCUUUCCUCAUGGAUUCAUAUGCCUAAUUAUUGGACGUAUAUUGCUAGAUUAUCCGAUUGGGAUCUCCAUUUUGUGUGGAUUCUAAUUGAGUAAUAAUAUUGAGUACUAAAAUUUAAUAUUAAUAUGACACCAAGAGUUGAUCCUCUAUCGUAAACAUAUUUUCUUUCAAGUAUUUGUUUUUAUUAUUUUUAGUUAAUUUCUUUUGUUGAUUUUUAUUUCUAGUGUUUCUUGUUCCUACUUUCAUUUUAGACCCUACCUGCACUUUGGUUAUAGAACUAAAAAGUCUCCGCACUAACUUACUCGUACAUGGAAAAGAAGGGCAAAAAUUUGAGAUGCAGAAGACUGGCUCCACAGUUGGACACUAAGAUCAAAGGUAGGCUUUCUACUAUCGGGCAUUCAAACAUAAUAAACCACAAGUACAUCAUAAAAGCAUAAUUGACCACCAAUAUUAUACUCUGAAUGAGAUAAUACAUCAUUUUUCUCUUACUUGGACUCGUAUCUGUUUUCCAUUCCAAUACAGAGCAAUAUGAGAAAUCCUCAAAAUCUUACAUAACUGGCUAACAAAAGAAAUGCAGCAGUUAGUAAACUAAAGUAUUUAAUCUUGAUUGAUGAAAAAGGCACAAGAACUUGAACAUUAACUAGUCUAAAAGCCUAAAUUGAAGUAUUUUUUUAUUAGUGAAAAGCCAAAUUAGAAGUAAAAGUAAAAAGGAGUUAGACAAAUUCUUUCAUCUACCUCAAAAGCUAAAGCAACAAAAAAAUCUUGCAAUUAAGUUACUUUCGCAUUUUGAUUUUUACAGAAGAAAUUAAACAUAAAUUGCUUUCAGACCAUAGUCAAUACUCAAUCUGUUUACCAUUAAACCUAACAUAUUCCAUUUUUCAGAAGAAAAAAAAUCUAAAACUAGAAUCUUUCCCUUUUUUCCCUUAUGUUAUAUUGAGAAACAACCACUGAUUUAAAAGCCUCCUGUUAAAUAUUGAUUUAAUUAUAAUCACAAGUUUUGAUAUCUCACAAAAAGAUCUAUAACAAUGUUCUCAAAGGGACAAAGCGCAUUAAAGAUGUUAGAAACUUUAUAUUCCCAUAGGCACAAGGAGCAAGAAAAAGCUUUCACUUCACUGAAGGUGCAAUAUACAUAUAUGUGUGCCUAUGCAUAUAAACAAAAUAAGCUUAAGGUUAAUAAUUUGAUACAAGCAUGCAAAUUUUCUUUUGUUGAUGAAUAUGCAUGAUUUCCCUAUGGUUGCAUGCAUUUUGUUGAAAACUUGAACAUUGAGAAGUAGAGAGAUCGAUAUUAUCUCUUUUCUGCUAAUAAAGGUACAUGAUUUCCCUAUGUGCACCUAAUCACACGCGCCUUGCCCAAAAUGGCUUAAGGUGCUCUUGUUGUCUAGUGCUAAGCAUAAAGCCUAGGUACGCUUUGAUGCACACCUUAAAAGCACUAUUCAUAGUGCAUUAAUAUGAAUUUAAAUAUUCUCGUACUGCCUACAUACAUUAUCUCACGUAACAACCCUACAAAACACCAACAUCACAAAAGAUUUAUUAGUCUUUACUAGCUUAACUAUUAAAUUAACAAAUUUUACAUCCUACAUAUGAAGCAGAGCCUUAAGAAAUUAUUAGCCUUUAAACUAUGAGAAACAAUUCCCUCCUCAACACAACUAACAUAAAACGAAGGCUAAAAAUAAACAUUACUGCAAUGAUCCAAAUCCAAUUGAGAAAUAUGCUUUCAUGUGAGCUUUAUACUUAGCAUCUGGAUAUCCACACAUAUUCAUAAAAAUAAAAUGCAACAGGUCAACAUAUAUGUAUCCAGAAGGAGCUUGACAUGCAAAUUAGGAUGAAGGAAAGAACAUAAAAAGCUUGCAUGAUUUCUAUCGUAAGCAUAGUUAUUGACCAGCUUAUUGCAUGUACUAGUCGCUGUACAUAAAAUGCUCAAUCAGAGCCCACUUACCAAGCACAUUACUAGAUCCUCAUUACACAACCUUUUGAGCUGUAAUAAGGAGUUUGAGACAAACAAAUGCUACUAGUAAAUCACUAAGAACCAGAGGCAGAGGCAUAUCUCAUUACAUAACUUUUAGAUGUGUGAAUAGACAAAUUAUAGAUGUCUGACAAUUCACUUCAUCUUGACAAAUUACCAUAAACCAAAACGAUUCCAAAUUACCAUCCUCAGUAAUCCUGCUUCGAAUGACCAUCAAAACGAACAAGUUACACCUGUUCUAUUCUUAAUCAGGAAACAACUAAUAGUAUGGAAACCAAAGUAAGAUGUGAUUAACAACCUAGUUGAAAGCAUCAUAUUUCACAACAUAUGAUUAGGCUUUGUAUCCAUAUUCGACAAUCAGUCUAGUAUUGUUUUACACAAUUGAAUACAAUGUGCUUGUUAGAAACAUAUCCAUUUAAGAUUUAUAUUCAUGAAAAGCUAUACGGGCAUAAAACAAAAGUAACUAGUCUUUUCUAAAAAGAUAUGUAUGAGUGAAGUGGAUUUUAAAAGUAAAAUAUAAAAUUACUCAAAAUUAAAAUUCAUCUAUAUAUACAUUGAAUCUUUAGGGGGAAAAUCUAUAUAUUGAAUUUAUCCCUUACUGAAAAGGGAAAAUUACCCAAACUAUAGAUGGAAAUAUGAGGAAUUACCAUCAACAACUAAGUAAAAGUUAAUUGAAUUUCAAUUAGAAUAUAAAAACAAAAAUCUAUUUAAAUUGAAAUUCAAUCAUUUUUUUUAGUACUUGUCUUUAAAAAGUGUUCUAAAGGGGAGUUCUUAAAAGCAAAGUUUCUUAAAAUUUUGUUAUAAAAAAAUGGGAGAUUGUUAUCUUUGAUUUUCUAAUGUUUUGAUAUAUCAAAUAAUCUCUUAAUUGAAUUUGAUAAGUUAUAUUUUAAGAAAUUGUUUUUCAAGUUAUUCUAAGUACUUAAAAGUAAAUAAACAAUUUGAAGUAUCGUUUUAAAGAAAAUUUUCAAGUAUUUUUCUUGUAGGGUGCGAUACCCAGUCUAAAAGAGUGCGAUAUCCAAGUCGACAGUAAGCUUUUUGCCACAAGGGUAUCGAACCCUUUUGGCAAAGGAAUUAAUACCCAAGUUGGCAAAGCUUUUUGCCACAUGGAUACCAAACCCAAUGUUCUAGACCCCAAGUCCCAAAACGUUUCUCAAAUCCUAAGGUACAGAACCCCAAUUGAAGAGGUACUAGACCCCUUCCAUCUUUGGUAUGUCACAUUUUAAAGGAAGGAACUAAACCCUAAUUACCAAGGUACCAAUACCUAUGCCCUUACAAUUACAUUUAAUGCUCGAAUUAAUGUCUCUAAUAACUCAAUUUUCCUUCUAACCACUACAAACUACUACAAAUCAAUAAGAUGGUAUAAAUAGAGAUCAAGAAUACUAAGAAGUAACAAUAAUCAAGCUUACAAAGUUUAUUGCACAUAAUUCUAAUAUUUUCAUUGUAUUUCUCUUAUACACACUUCGGUAGUUAUUUCUUUCAAUCUUUUAAAUGUUGUAAAAUCUUUUGAGUGAAAUCAACCUUUGAAAGGUAUUCCUUGUUAGUCAUUUUAUUUCUCAUCUUUGUAAGGGUUUACUUAAGGUUUUGGUAGAAAACCUCAAGGGGAAGUAGCUCUAUCUUGUUUAUUGAAAAUAUAGUGUUUGUAAAGGUUAAACCUUAUCUUCAAAAGGUUUCAAAUUAGUGAGUUUGAAAAAUCCUUAGUUGUGAUAAGUUAAGGUGGUGGAGAUAAGUAAUUGAAGCCGAAUCACUAUAAAUUAUUAUGUUGAUUUUUUAUUGUCAUCUUUCUUCUAAAAUUUUAAAACACCAAGUUACUCCCUCUUGAUAUUUAUAGAGCUUUACACCAUAAAAAACAAUAAUACAUAAAUAACACAAAUAUUACAAAUGAUCUAUAAAACACUACAACCUAUUAUACAAAUGUCAGUUCUUUUAAAAAAACACAUAAUGGAAUAAAACUUAAAACUAAAACUAAAACUAAAACUAAAACCAUAAUUACUUUUAGAGAAAAGAUAAUGGAGUAUUGUUUAUGUACAAGCCUCCAUAUAGAGGUGCUCGAUGUAACUAAAUCAUUACAAAAAUCAUAGUGAAAGCAAUUAAAAACAAGACUAGAAAGAAAAAGUUAAAUUUUGCUAUUAGAUCCUAUAUUUUGCGCAAGUUGUGGGUUUAGUACCUGUAUUUUUGAUAUUUGAAAAUUUUAGUCCUAACCAAUGAUUAGUAUUAAAUUCAUUAGGUUAAGUUAUGUUAUUUUUAAAAUUUGAUGUGUCAAAUAUAUUAUCACAUGUGUAAUGCUAUGUAUGUUUGUUAUUUCCACAUAUUACUCAAAAAAAAUCAGCUAAUAGAUUUAAAAACUAUCGCUUGCAUUAAUACUAAAAUUUUGAAAUUCAAAAAAUAUAACCACUAAAAAUUAUUCAAUUGGUGAACGUGGAUUAAAUCUAUAACUUUACACAUAAUACAAGAUUAAUAACAUAUUUUAACCAAACAUAUUUAACUGCUACCAUUGGGUCAGGAUUAAAAUUUCAAAUUUAAAAAAAUAUAAGAACUAAAAUUGAUCAAAUUAAAAUAUAUAUAGAUAUACUACAUUGAUAAUUUACAUAAAAUACAGGGUUUAAUAACAGAAUUUGACCAAGGAAAAUUUAAAGAAGUGAUAAAAGGGACGUGAGAGACGUCCAUUUAGUUUUAAAUUAAUAUAAAAUAUUAACAAAAUAUAAUUCGAAUAAUCAUUUCAAUAAUAAAUGGUAUAAAAACAUUUCAGUUAUUUUUUUUAAAAAAAUUGUUAUGUAAACAUAUUUAUUCUAUAAUAAAAUAUUAAAUUUUUAUAUUUAAAAACUUAACUAUUUUUUAUUUAGUAUUUUAAAUAGAUGACUACUUUUAUUUUGAUUUGUAGUUUUUUCCAAAUAUAGUGUAUCACGUUGAUUUUUAUAAUUUAUAUGUUUUUAUUUGAUUAGAUAAUGCUAUAUUUUUUAGCGUUAUAAAUUAAUACUUUAAUGUAUCUUCUUAAUAAUUAUUUAUUUGUAACAUUUGAGAUGUUAUUAUUAUUUAAUUUUGUAAUUAUUAUUUAAUAAUUAUUUAUUAUUAUUUAAUAAUUAUAUUUCCAAUUUUGUAAAUUUUCAAAGCAAAGUUUUAUUUUAUUAUUUAAUUUGAUAUUAUUUUAUUAUUUAAUUUUUUGUGCUACAUGCAUUUUAUAUUAUUUUUUUAUUUUUUAUCUUAAUUAUAAUUUUUAUAUAUUUAAAUAAUAUCAAUUUUAUCAAAUUUAAUAAUUGAUUAACAUAUGCAGUGCAUAACUAAUAUAAUUUUGAGAUUUUUUUCAUAAAAAAAGUAUUUUAAAAAGUAUAUCAUAAUAUCUAAUCCGAUCUACUCCAAUCCAUGGCAUGGGAGUGGCGUCUCCUUUCAUUCGUGUUUUAUUCUAAAAUGUCAAAAAGUCUUUCAAGUGUAGCUCUUUCAUCUUUGCGUUGCCAAUGUCAAAUCUAAUUCAACCUUCCACCACUGACUUGCCUUCCAAGCUGCUUCACAAAUCCAAUGCCAACGAAAGAAACUGUUGAGAACUUGACGAGCCCAAUAUACUUGCUACAGAGGACCUAGGACCUACAACUAAUGUUAUACAAAUCCUCUGAAGUUUGUUAAUCUUUUAUUUUCUAAUUUAUUAGUGCACUAUAAUACUCAGGUGGCAGAACAUAUCAUAUAUCAUUCAGGCAGCAGAGUCGGCCAUAUAUAAAAUCUAACCUAAGUGCACUAAAUGCUUAGAUGAUAAGGAAUUGAACGGAGGAAGUGGAAGAAGGACUUAAUUCAAGUUGUUUAACUUAAGAAGAAAAGAUUUGGAUGUGACCUGAAAUGAAGAAACCAAAUAAAUUUAGAAACCAAAUAAAUUUAGAAAAUAACAAAGGAAAUAACAAAAAUUAAAAAAAAUUAUAAAGGAUAAAUAUUCAAAAUAGUAACUAAAUAGAGAAAAGAUAGAUUAAAGUAAAGUGAAAGAUGAAACGAUAAACUGAUAGAUAAAAGGAUAAAUGUCUAAUUGAACCAUUUGAUAUAUAAAUCCCAAAAAACCUCAAUUAAUGACUAUAAUCAACCCUCCAAAAAAUAAUUUAUAUUUUCACUGUUUAGUUAUUAUUUUGAAUAUUUAUCUUUUAUUUCUUAAAAUUUUCUUAAAGUUUUCUUAUUUCUUUUGUUAUUUUUUAAAUUUAUUUGGUUUUUCCUUUCUGAUCACAUCCAAAUAUUUCCUUCUUAAAUCAAACAACUUGAAUUUGAUAUUUCUUCCACUUCAAUCUUUAUCAUAUAAAAGCUAACCCAAAUGUUUGGUUUGGUGUAUUGGUAUAGCCAAUACACCCCUAAUCGGUGGGCCUCACCUAAUGCGGCUGUAUUCCAUCGUUUGGUUUGAUGUAUUGCUAAUACGGGUGUAAUCCUUUACCUUCCUAAUCGGUGAAAACCACCGAUUUCUAAUCCUUUCCUUGAGCUCAGUUUAGGUGCUGCUUCAGUUUUGGUCCCUAUUUUACCCUCCCCAUUCCCGCUUCUGUUUUACCCAAAAUCCACGUAUUCUGUUUCUUCCUUAUAGCUUUCUUCUCCACUCUCAUCGCCUCUUCUCCUUCUCUUUUUUACCUCUCUUUUUUAUAUAGGUUUUUUCACGUGUGGUGGGCAUGGCAUGGCACUGGUAUUUUAUUAUGUCUCUCCAUUUCUAGAUCCCCAACACAACUCAAACCUCGACCAACUCUUCGAACAAUUUCGAAGGAGCUAACAUUCGCUUCCGAGACGCCGACGACAAGGAAAUCGCCAGCAACAGCUCCAAUCUCGAUGAUUCAAUUGUCGCCGUUGACAAAGCUAGUGAAUAUGUUUCUAUGGGAGAGCCCGACGUUUCGUUUUUCGGUUGCGACGGCGAAGAUGAUAAAACCAGUGCUGAUUAUUACUUCGAUUCUUACUCUCACUUCGGUAUAUUUUCUGCUUCUCAUCCUCUUUUCCAAGAUUCAAAUUUGAAGUUUUUUUACUGAUUUUUCUUGUUGAUUAGAAAACAAUGAGAAUGUGAGGAUUUCUUAGUGUUGCCUUUCACAUUUUUGUGAAGAAGGUUCGAAUGUGAGAAGAAAGUUUCUAUCUUCGCAAAAGUUAGAGCUUGUUGAGUUCAAUAGUUUAUUUAUAUCUAAGUAAUUUGUGGUUCACUGGUUGCAUGUUUAUGGGGCUAGCAUGUCGGUAUUAGGUAGGGCAUUGGGUUCACUGAUGUUUCAAGUCAUACAUUCUUGUAUUUAUCUCUAGUAAGCACUUUCCUCUAAAUCUUUGUCCCCUCUUUUGUGUAUGUGCAGGUAUUCAUGAAGUAAGUGUGCAACAACUUGGACAUUUGAAUCUUGUUUCGUUUUUGUCGACUUAUUUAUGGAAUGAUUCUGCUUCAGUCACCAUUAUUUUGUGAUCUAUUGGGUGCCGAAUAUCUGUGAUUGGAGGGUUGGUUGUAAUUUUUCUGUUUGUUUAAGCUCAUACAUGAAUUAAUGCAUCACAGUUACUAUCCAAAAACUGUCUUCUUUUUUUAACUUAAUCUUUUACUUAAAUUUCUGGAAAUGAUUUCUGCGUUUGUUUUCUUGGUUUCAGUAGAAGAACUUGAUACGGUUGCGUAACUUUUUCAUUUCUUCUUUUUUUUGUGAAAUGUUUUUCCUCUGUGUUAACCUACCAUUCCUUGUAUUUCAGGAAAUGCUUAAAGAUGUAGUGUGAACCAAGACAUAUCAAAAUGUUAUUUAUCGGAAUAAGUUUCUAUUCCAGAACAAAGUAGUUCUUGACGUGGGAGCUGGGACUGGAAUUUUGUCCCUAUUUUGUGCAAAAGCAGGGGCGGCACAUGUUUAUGCUGUAUGACUUCCAGUUUACAUCUUCCUUCUGUUUCUGUUUUAUGUGUUGUUAAUAAUCUGUCUGACCAAAUUCUUACACUCCUGGCGUCUAUCUCUUAUUUGUCAAAUGCUGUUCAUAUUUUUCCCUUUCCUAGGUUGAAUGCUCCCAUAUGGCUGACAUGGCUAAACAAAUUGUUGAAACAAAUGGCUUGCCUGAUGGUGAAGUUUUUGAAAUUGUUGUGUCUUCUUGUAUUGCUUCGUGUGGUUGGGGGCAGCUAGCUACUUUGUUAGUUAAAUUCUCCGUUGCAUGCUAUGAUUUGCAGAAAGUAGCUUAGAUUCCUGCUAUAACUGUUAAUUGAUUGAGAUUUUAACUCCAUCAUCAUGUCAAGCUCUCUUGAGUAGUUUGCUUCCUUAUUAUUUCGUGUGGUGAACGGGCUGGGCCUUUUAAAUUUAUUUUUACUCUUGCUCAUCAAAGCAAAACUUUUGUUGGGUUCUUAUAAGCUACAUUCUUUACAAUCAAAGUUUUUAUUCCUUCACCCGUGUCAGGUUGAUGAUGGAGUUGUGCUACCAGAUGAAGCUUCUCUUUACUUGACAGCAAUUGAGGAUGCCGAGUACAAAGACGACAAGAUCGAAUGUGAGUAUAACAGACUGCUAAAUUGAUAUAAAUCUAGGUAUUCAUGUUCAUAUGUAUUUGUAUAACUUUCAACGAGUUUUUCUAUUGUGUUUCAUUGCAAUUCAACUUUUUGUAUUCUUAUAUAUACCCCAUCUUUUCUACAUGGCAUCAUCUUGCUACAGUUUGGAAUAAUGUUUAUGGCUUUGACAUGAGUUGUAUAAAAAAGCAAGCUAUGAUGGAACCUCUUGUUGACACGGUUGACCAGAAACAAAUUGUAACAAAUUGCCACCUUCUCAAUGUGAGAAAAUACACAAGCAUAUUCCUGUAUGUAUGUAUAUAUCAUUGGGUAUCUAUAUAUAUGAACACUUACUGGAAAUUAUUUUACAAAAUAAUGUGUUUGGAGUACAACUGAAUUAUUUAUUUUGGUUUUCUGGUUUCAGACAAUGGAUAUUUCUAAGAUGGUUCCUGGGGAUGCUUCUUUCACUGCACCUUUCAAGCUUAUUGCAGAGCGUGAUGAUUACAUCCAUGCUUUCGUUGCAUAUUUUGAUGUUUCAUUUACCAAAUGCCACAAAUUGAUGGGUUUCUCUACAGGUUUGUAUCUACACCAAAAUUCUCCAUCCUUUGUCCUUUCCAUUUUAUCUACGAAUAGAAAUCAGCAAGCCAGCCUAGAAGAACUUUGCCUUGGCUAAUGGCAAAUACAAAAUGCAGGACCAAGAUCGCGAGCUACCCAUUGGAAGCAAACAGUCCUAUAUCUAGAGGAUGUGUUAACCAUCUGUGAAGGGGAGACAAUAAUUGGGAGCAUGACUGUAGGAUACCUUGUUUGCAUGUUCCUUAAACGUUUCACCAACAUUUUUUUAAUUCCUUUUCUACUUUCUUUUUUCUCGAAAGGUUUUCCCUGAGAAAGAAAAACACAUAAGAUGCAUGUACUUCAUUAACUCAAUCCAACUGUUUUCUUCUCAUGUAUGCUUCAUAUUGAGUCUUGUGUUUUGUGCUGGUGUGAGGGAGCAUAUAUACAAAUGACAUUGGAUGUAUGACAUAGGACUAAAUAGAUUUUGAGCUUUGACAAGCUACUUAUAAGCAUUGUUUCUUAUAGAAGAAACACAUUAUUGGAGAAAGCUUUUGAAUCUCCCAACUAUUGGAUUUGGGUUUCUUUUUGACAAUUUGUUUAUUGUGCUUUUGUUUAGAUGAUGAGAAAGGAAAGUCAAGAAUUAUAUUUACUCGUUAAGUUAAAUGAAGAUAUUUGUAAUUUAAAAAAUAAAAAUUCAAUAUAAAUUUAAAUUAAGAGUUUAACUAAAAAAUAAGAGUUAGUGGCAAAAAUUAAUAAAAUUUAAAUUUUAGUGGUAAAAUUCAAUAACAUAAAAAUUAAGUUACAAAUUUACUCAUUUUAAAAAAAAUAACGGAAAAUAUAAAUAAAAAUAAAGUACAGUGACAAAUUUCAAUAUUUAUCUAUAGUAUGAUGAUAAAUUAUAUAUUUUUAUUAAAUUAUAUUUAAUAAUAAUUAUGUUAAAUUAUAUUUUACAGUAUUAUAUAUUAUGAUUUUAGAAAAUUCAUAUAAGAAUAUUUAAUAUUAAGAAUUUUAUUAAAUCAUAUAUUUUAAUUAAAAUAUAUUUAAUAUUAAUUAUUUUAAAUUAUAUUUUAUAGUAUCAUAUAUUAUGAUUUGAGUAAAUUCAUAUAAGAAUAUUGAUUAUUAAGAAUUUUAUUAAAUUAUAUAUUUUAAUUAAAAUAUAUUUAAUAAUAAUUAUGUUAAAAUAUGAUUAAAUUAUUUAUUACUGAUAUUAAUAAUCUUAUUAAAAUUUAAUAACAAUAACCAUAAUCAUUUAUCUAAACAAAUUUCUGCUAAGGGUAUUCUAGUCAUUUUAGUUUUUUCCCUUAUGCUAUUACACCUCUAUUCAAUUCAACCAAACACAAGAUUACUAUUACGCCUCUAUUCCAUUACAUUCAACCAAAUAGUUGAUUUGCUAUUACACCUUUAUUUCAUUACACCUCUAUUCCAUUACGCCUCUAAUCCAAUACAGCGAACCAAACGUGCCCUAAGUGUUUAGAAACCUAAGGUUUAACCAAUACUUACAAUUACAAGAGAAGAGAACACUUUUAUUAAUACACAAUCCAAGAAAAUUGACACAUGUCAACACACUUCUCUCUUGCAUCAUUACAAAAAUGAAAGCUCCUACUCCUAUUUAUAGAGUUUAAUGACCGUUGGUUUGUUGACACAUGUCAACAUUCUUGUCAUUAAUUUUACAAAUAUCUAAUAGUUAGAAUGUUAAUCUAGAAUAUUUAGUCUUCAAGAUAGUAUCCUAUUUUUUUAUUUUAUAUUCUAGAAUAUCCCAAAGAAAAUAUCUCUUAAAGGAUAAGUUUGAUUUUUAUCUAAAAGUUGUAUUGGCUUUCAAUAGAAACCAAUUAGCUGAGUCGCCAAAGUCUCCCAACGAUUCGAUUUCAUGUGGCACCUUACUCGACACACCGCCACAGGGCUCGAACAACUUGUCGUUCUCGACAGAGUCCAAGGUGAAACAACGUGGGGUGGCAUCCGAUACUUGGUUGCCAACUGGAUGGUUGAUCAAAGAUAGGGGUCGAAGCUCCGAUGCCAGACCUGGUCUGGUUGAUAAGGUUAAUUCCAUACUAUCUACCAUAAUUUUUUUUUCUGUUAAGUUUAAUAUCAGCGUAUUUAUUCAAUUUUUAUUCUAUGGGUAUUCAUGAUUAUCGAAUAUCAAGUUGUGCAUGAUUGCCAUUUUCAUUAGUGACAUACAUGACACAUAUAAAAGCUUUUAACUGUCCCUUCAGAAAAACAAGGUGCAUUGUGGAAUCUGGCGAGUGAAUGUAACGAUUAAAUGUUGGUUAAUUGGUUCUUAAAAGAAGGAUUUGACUUGGGUGAAUGUUGCGUUUUAAAAUAUCUGAUUUAAGGGAGUCAUAGGAAACUAUGUGAAAGUACAUUUGAGUUGAUACCAGUUCAUUUUGUUGCAUCAUUGAUUUGUUUAUGCAUGUAGGGUGUAUAAAUUAGAAUUUGAUUGAGACCCUCUUGUUGUAUUCAUCUAAGUAGAUAAUUGGAAAUGCAGUGAAAAAACUAAAAACAAUGGUUGUGCAGUAUUAUGUUGAUCCAUCAUCGGGCCGAAAAUUCAGAUCGAAGAAAAAAGUGCUGUACUAUCUAGAAACUGGCACCCCUCAACCUAAAAGGAAGAAAGGAACAGAGACUCCUGUUGGUGAGGAAGUUGGAAGUCCGAAAUAAAAACGUUGUUGGUUGAAUAUUUGUCCAGACCCUGGGUUUUGGUUUAUGCUUGAAUUUUGUUUUGCAGUUGACAGGGGCCUCUCCAGGCAACAAAAAGAGGAAGUCUGAUAGAAAAUGAAGCCUUCCAACUUUAUUUUCGUUAAUGUACCAGAGAAAGUGGAUUGGUUGUUCAGCAGCAAUGCCUCUGCAGACUCCUGGACUCCCUUCCUUGGGGAUGACCAAGUCCAAGUGCCUGAAUCUACUACAUAAGAUUGGUCUGCUACAUUUACAUCCCUAACAGCCUGCCAAACUGAUUAAGUAAUGGUUUGCAAACAUUCCCUGUUUCUAGGUAGAGGUUAUAGGUUUCUUUUGUAUUCGUUUAUUCAUUCUUUUGUUCUCUUUCCAUUGUUAAUAUGUAACCUUUAGCUAGGAUUUCCUUUUUAAAUGGCUUUGAUUCAGAACAAAGAGAUGGUUUUCGUUUCAUUUUAGGCCUAAUUUGGGACGAGCUCGUGAAUGAAUUGAGAGUAAAAAGCCUACUUUGGCCUUGGGAUGAAUUUCUCCCCAUAAUGACUAAACUUCCGCUACAACAACUGGUUCUCCUGAGCUGACCUAUUGAACCUGUUUUUUUUUCUUCUUUUCCAAGAUUGUUCGAAAGGCAAAGGGGAACAUGUACAAAAGUCGUGGCGAAGCCGACAAACCAGCAACUCAAGUACUGAACCAUGCUCCGAAAUCCUAGAACUCUCAUUCCAGAAAUGGUGAAAACUCCAUCUCUCAAAGCUGUUUCAUCCUUCGGCUCUAUUAAAUAAUGCCAUCCUAGAAAAUUAAAAAUGGAGCACCAUUCAACGAGUUCUUACCCCAUAAAGUGAUGAGAAUGAAUCACCCACCUUCAGUACUUGGGUUUAGAUUUCCGUUAAGCACAUUUGGUUUAUCGGACAAGGAAUGUGAGAGACUUCGUUAACGGCCAACAAUACCAUUUUGCAGCCUUUAAUUAAUUUGAUAAUUCACCUGUGUACUUGGUUGAGUAAAAAUAUAAAUAAAAUAAAUUUUUUGAAAAGAAAAAUGAGAUGAAAGAGCAUUGAAGUGAUAACUAUUUUCUAUCCAAAUAAGCAAGGGUUAUAAGUUACUUUGAAACUAUGAGUGUGUUUGUUUGCCAGUAAAAUAUUUUCUGGAAAAUGAUUUCUGGAAAAUAAUUUAUUUUUCUAGAAAAUGAUUUACUGAAAAUAUUUUUUGGUGUUUGGAUGAAUCUGUGUAAAAUAUUUUCUGUUGUUUGGCAGAUUUCCUGAAAAUAUUUCCCGGAAAAGUUAUUUUUACAUAUAUUAAUAAAUUUAUAUACAUAUUAAUAAAUUUUUAUAUUUUAAAUUAUUUUUACAUAUAUUAAAAUGAUUUAUUUAUAAAUAAAUAAAUCAAAUUAAAUAUAUAAUAAUACUCAAUUAUUAAAAUAUAAAAGCAUUGCAAACUACUUCCGAAAUUUACUAAUUAGUAGUGAAUCUAAUUGUAGUGAUCUCCUGAUGAAAUUACACUCAGCAUAAAAGUAAUUUUUUUGUUGUCUUACAAACAACACAGAUAACAUCAUUAUCAAAUUUCAGCCACUCUCAAGUAUAACCAAUUCCUUAGCCAACCAAUCUACAUUGUAACACAAAGCUAACUCCUAUAAAAUUUAUCCCAAUGCACACAUUUACAGACAUAAAUAUGUAUAUAUGUAUGCAUUCAACAAAUACAUAACCAUAUGCAUGCAAUCAGCUAUGUUAUUUGAAAGCUACUACUAGAUCAAGCAUUGCCCCAAUACUAUAAACUGCCAUCCAAUAAAGAGGAAAAAAUACAAGCGAAGAGCCCAGCUUUUUACUUAGACAUAUGGCGAAACGUGCUCACGCAACUGGUAAGAAAAAAUCACUCAUGGCCCAAAAAAGAAUUUCAUAGAACUAAUAGUAAAAUCAAAAUGAAUGAUACAUACAAUCAAAAUUUUCAACUGACAUCUAUUGAUUUAAUACAACCAGGUAAAGAGGUAGACAACCAUCUGAUAUUUAUGAAGCAAAUGAACUAGCAAUAUACUAGAAAUAUCAGCAAUUGCAAUCAACAAAGGCAACAGGCUCCAUUGAAGUCCCCAAUUUAAAUCCAUUGAUUUAAUACGUGCUCUCAUUGAAGUCCCCAACUCUAGGAAUAUGGUUCUACCAGAAGCCAGUCAAUUAAGCACAAUCAAUAAAAAUUCAAGAAACAUAAACCCGAACCCAGAAAAACUAUUGCAUUUACCUUACGGUGCUUGCCUAUUAUGUUGCCAUGAUUUCCAAUUAUAACAGCAGUAUUCCAGAGAGUCUCUCCAUGAUUUAUAUCCCUCUCAAGAAUUGAGCUUAUAAUGACCAUGUUAUACUUGAGUGCAAAUUCCUGAAGAAAUUGUGUAGAUUCCCCGUUAACAGGUUCUGCAAAUUCACACCACCUCUUUUCUCGUGUACAGAAGGCAAAUGGCAUCAUCCAUGCUUCCUGAACUUGCAUCAUAGACUCAUUAAUUUGCAUUUUCAGAAUAUUAUGCAUCGAUCAAUAAAAUUGACCAUACCUGCAAGCAUAAUAUGUUGACUCCUGAAGCACCAGUAGCAUCAAUUAUUGGUCUCAAUUUCUCAAAUAUAGCUUUUUUCUGGUCUGAAAAGGGAGCAGUGGUUGGGAGAGUAAUGGAGUUUUGAAUAAAACCGACCCUUACCCGGGGUUCUCUUAACAACUCUUUGUCAGUAGAAAAUUUGAAAGCCUGGAAUGAUUUGAAAUGGAAAAGCACAUAUAACUGCCUUCUACAAUAUACUUGUAUUGAAAUGACAAAAAUCUAUGGAGAUAAUAGCUACAAGUAUGCUCAGGUCAGGUUGGUGAGAGAAUAAUUUUGUAAUGGAAAAGGGAUGUUUUUCAACCACUUAGAUAAGAGUGGAUUGAAUGAAAAUCAACAUAUUUCAAGGAGAUCCUGGUAGUACUAAAAUUAUACAUUAGAACUAUUAUAACCAAAUGUUCAAAUGUAUGAACUAGAAACUGGAAAAGGGGGAAAAUGGAGGAAGAAAAAUAUUCCAUACAAAUAUCAGAACAUAUGACAUAGAUUAACUAACCCUGCCUAAAGAUUAACAUAAUCUUUAGUUGCAGCCAAAAUGCAUGGUAGUGCCUUGUAUAUCUAAAGUGUCCAAAACAUAUAUUGUUCCUUCACUUUAAUUGUUUUAUAAUAGUACUACGAUUUCAGCCAGGCCAACCUUGUGGUUAUUGUUUUCCAAUAUUGAUGAGCUAAGAUGAUGGAUCUCUAUAUCAACGAAUCGUUAUAAUGCAGUAAUGUUGGAUAAAUAAAUAGGCACCUGAAGAUUAAACUCAUGUUUUGAAGAGAGGGCUUUAGCUGAUUCAGGUGGAACAAUAGUUUCAAGUGCUGUUUCGCAAUUCAGCCCCAGAAGCAACCGGCUGACUUCCUGUUAAUAAACCAUAACAAAAUUCCAAAAGAUUGUUACUUUCACCAGCAAUAAGAUCAGUAGAUUUUGACUUUUAAUAGGCAAAACAUGUUACUUGUUAAUGAGAUAAAUUGUUUACUAGGAUCGACUGCAAUGAUCAUUUCAGUGGCAAAAACUUACCAAAAUGACAAUAACCAAUCGAUUCAUAAUAGACAAUUUGAAAUGGGGUUUCCUUUUUCAUGAUCAAAUUUGCUUUUACAAUAUAUAUAAGCAAGAAAAAUAACAAGAAAUAUUGGAAUUUUUUGCCCAGUGCAUGGUCAGAUUAAGAAAAACAAAAAUACCCAAAUCAACAAAGUAAAGACAUAUAAAUUACAACCCCGAAAGCGGGAAAAAAGAAAAAGAAAAGUCCUGGUAGAGUUGAGGCUUGAGAUUUGCGCUCAAGAGGUGGUGAAGCGAAUUAUACCCACAAAUUGACCAUCUUUGAAACAUUGCUUUUCUUCUGUGCUUCCAUUUUCUUUCCCAAUUCCAUCAGUUUUCUCUAUUUUCUGAUUCCCUCAAUUAUUGCUCCGAAAUCAAAACAUAGAAAAAAGGUUUACGAACGCCGGUGUCUGGUGUUGAUAAUCGGUGUUGGCUGAUGGCAAGCAGAAGAUCAGGUGUCAAGGAUAGGGGAAGGGGAAAGGGAAGGGGAAGGGGAAGGGGAAGGGGAAGGGAAAGGGAAGGUGAUACGAGUCACAAAAGCCCAAAUUCUUGAAGGCGAGGCCCAAUAAGUAAAUUCCUAGCCCAAUCAAGAAAUCCAUCCAUACUUAGUUGAAAAUCAGGCCAAAUUGUCAAAGUGGCCCAAGUUGUAAAGUUUUAUUUUUAUUUUUAUUUAUUUAUUUACUUAGUUUAAAUUUUUAUGUCAAUAUUCAGUCCAAGAGUCCCAAAUAAAAUGACCUUUGACCGAAUUUCCAUAUUAAAAUAAUUAGGAGUUUUUUUUAUUUUAGUUUUCUAAUUAGAUUAGGACUAGUUAUAAGGCCUAUUUAAAGGCAUGGCUGUCCACCUUGUUAAACACUUAUCAUUAUUAUUAAAAUUUCAGAUUUGUUGAGAGCAGAAUUUUCUUUGAGUUUUCUCCAAGAUUUUUCUCUUGAGUUUUCUUUAGAAGUUGUUUUAACAAUCUUGUGAUUGUGGGAGCCAUCUUCAACCUUCUUCUUGCCAUUGAUAUUCUUUGGAGGGGAGAUUAGAGCCGUUUGAAGGGAGUUGUGAGAUCUUUCGAGAUUUCAAGGCUUCUUAGGACUUAUCUUUUAAUUUCUUACUGUCAAUUCUUUCUUUAUUUCUACUUGUGCUGAAUCAUUAUCUAAUCUAUUUUCUGUUCUUAUUGUGUUUUCAGCCUUUUUCUAUCUUAAGGAAUCAACCCAAAAAUCCCCAAUUUUUAGGGUUUUUCCAUACUCUUUUUGGGUGAAAUUAGAUUGUCGAAAUUUGGGGAAAACUAUCUUGGUGUUCAAUUGGGCAGAAUCACAAUCUCCUUGAGGGUUUCAAGAACCCUAACACUUAUUUCUAUUCUCAAUUUGAUUCUUUGCUGAUUUGGGGAUUUUAUUUCAGAUCUGAAAAUUCAAAAAUCUAAUCUUUUAAUUUUCUGUUUCGUUUCAGAUCUAAUUGUUUAGGGUUUUCGUAGGAGUUUCUCGUGACUUGGCAACUCGAUCUUGGUCCGCGCGCAACCCCGUAUCAGAAGGGAAGAUUGGUGUCUAAUUUUCCUGAAAAUGUCUUACCGAAUUAGAAACGGUGAGACAUUUUCCAAAAUUAAGGCUUCUUUUUCCCAUGUUUGUAAUUGAUUUUACGUGAAGAAAAUAUUUUCAGCCAAACAAACACUAGAAAAGGCUGAAAACAUUUUUCGGAAAAUGUUUUACUACAAUCAAACGGACCCUAUGUAUAUUUCAAACUUUUCAUUUGUUUUUCCUUUAUUUUUAACUUUACAAAGUAACGGAGGAAAAGAAAAUUAUUUUUUUUGUCAAUGUUUUUAUAUUUCCAGUUUGUUACGAGUUGUGUGACCCAUAUUUUUGUUAAAAUAAAAUACAAGUGGUUGCUUAAGUGAAAUCUAUUUGAUGUUCCUCUUAUAUUACUCAAAUUUGACAUAGUGAAUUUUCUUUUUCUCCACCCAUAAAUUUUCUCAAAAGAAUUUUUACGGAAAAUUCUGUGUGUUUUAUUUUUCUCUCUUUUUUUGUGAUUCAUUGUCAUUAUCGACAUCCAAUUUUACAUAGCUAAACAUAUUGAAAGAAAUGAAAAACAAAUCAAUCUCUCUAUUUUUCUACUCCUUUAAAUUUUAUCAUUUCAUUUUUUUACUCCACUGAGCAAAAACAAACCGACAUUUCGGUACAAAAGAUCCCCACUCAAACAUCAGCCAUCAAAAUAGGGGAAAGGUCGAGAGGGGGCAUGUUACAAACAAACAAAAGAUCAUGUUGGGAAUUUAUGUCCAAUAUAAAGCUUUGAAAACUACUUCCUGGACGGGUAAGAGCAUCUAUUCUUCUCGCAGAAGUUAUGCUUAAGUAUCUUUCCUUCCAAAGAGUUGAUAAUAUGUAAUGAUUUGAAUAGUUAUAUAUGGAUCACACUUAUAACAAUGGUUGCAUCAAUUUCAGCAUCAAGGUUUCUUAGGUUAGUCCUCUAGGCUAACUCAAGACCAUCUCUAAGGCCUCAUACUUUUGCCUCUAAGUUACUUAGCAUAAGCAGCGUGGCAAUAGGAUACUAUAAGCCAUCCGUUAUUCUCAUCUCAGAUAAGGGCCCUACCACCCGCCUUCCCAAGAUUUUCCAAAGUUAAGCCAUCAAAGUUUAGCUUUGCUUAUCCUCUCCCUGGCGCAUCCCAAUAGAAUUUCAUCGACAAUGGAGGAGCCUAUUUCCUUUCCUUAGCAGUAAGUGUGUCGAAACCUUUUUUAAAAUCGACCUUUUAUUUUAAAAUGAAAAUUGAGUCGCCACCAAUUUUUUUUAUUUAGGUGUGAUUGGAUCACCUCAAAACUCGUUCAUUUUAAUAAAACAUUAGAUUUACUAAAAUGGUAAUCUUUGAUCUACAAAAUCUAGGAAAUAGGUUCGGGAGUCGGUUACGUAUAAGGAAGGAUUAGCCCCCUCAUAACGCUCAAAAUUGGUACCUAGUUGAUUACUUGAUGUUUUGAUGUCAAAAAUUGAAAAUUCAAAAAGAAUUUAAAAUACGAUCCCUUUUGCGCGAUGUUGUUUAAUGGUAUUGAAAACAUCCCUAUCUAAAUCGAAUUUUUAAUGAGGAGGUUUUCUCAUUUUGAAUCAAUCGAGACAAAAAAUAUGUCCCGUAAGUUGGGGCACAAAAUCUCGAAUUCUUGAAAACAAGAACGCUCGCCAUUUAAUUAUUGUCUAAAUCUUAUAUAUUUUAAUUUUUUAUAAAAAAGAAGGGGGGAGGAUAUCCAAUUAUUUCGGUUCAAUGAGAGAAUUGUACUCUGUAAGUUAGGGAACAAUUUCUCAAAUCCUCAAAAUAAAGAACAUUGCCUUGAUUCAAGUUACUAAAUAUACAUCAUAUAAAAAUGAACCUUACAUUUAAAGCAAUAUGCGACUAAUUUAUUCGAGUAGUGGUACAAAAAUGAACAAAUAUUUAAACGUGUUACAUAAUAUGGUAGUGGCAAAAAUAGGAUAAAAUAGUUUACGCGGGUAAAAAAUGAUAAUAAGAUAAUAAAAAGUAAUAGUUGAAAUAAUUUUGUUAGCCGAUUAAUAAUACUAUUUAAUAAAAACAAUAAUUAGUAAAAUAAUAAGUGGAACAUUAGCAAUAACAAAAAUAGUAAAAAAUAAUAAAAAAGUAUGAUAAUAAUAAUAAUAAUAAUAAUAAUAAUAAUAAUAAUAAGAUAUUAACUAGCAUUAAUAAUCAUUUAACAAAAAUAUCAACAUUAAAAAAUACACAUAAAAAAUAAAAAUAAAAAGAACUAAAAUGAGAUGAUUAAGAAACUUAAAGAUAAAAAUGCAAGUUAUGUAAAUUAAAGGGUAAAAUAUAAAUAGGGAAUUAAAAAUGCUGAAAAUUAAAUAAAUAAAUAAAUAAAAAGGCAAGGUUAAAUGAAAAAAAGAUUAAAUCGAAACCAUAAUAAAAUUUUAGGGGAUAAAAUAAUAAAAAUAGUAAAUAGAGAGGCAGAAUUAAAUAAAUGAGGGAUUAAAUUGAAACUUAAACAGAACUUAAAGCAUAAAUUGCAAAAUAAAUAAGAGAAGGGGAAAUAAAGGACUAAAUUGAAAAUAUAACAAAAUUUAACGUCUAAAUUAUGAGAAAAUAGAACAUAAAGGAUUAAAUUAAAAUGGAAUAGAAAAGUUUAGGAACCCAAAAGGAAAUUAUCCCAACCCUAUGUCAUUUCUUUAGUUUAACCGUGGGUCAAAUGACCGAUUUGCAAGGAAAUUAAAAUUAUGGGGUAAAAUUUUGAAAAAUAAAAUAAAAAGGAAUAGGCCGAAAAUAAAAUGGAACAAAAAAAGCGGAAGGACCAAAAUGAAAAUUUCUCCCUCCAAGCGAAAUCAUGCGGAUCCUAAGGGGUCGGGUCGGAUUAUAAGGGUCGGCUUUGAAACGACGCCGUUUUGGGCGUCUGAAGCCAAGCCCAAAACGACGUCGUUUUGAAAGGGCUAUAUAAGUUUAAAAAAAUGUUAAAAAAAUCAUUUUUUGCAUCAGUUAAAAAAAUCUUCUUUUUUUUUUCUCUUAACACUCCCUUUCCGUUCAGCCCUUAUGCCGGUGAAUUUUCGCCGUGGCCACAGGUCACCGACGACAGAGACCGUCGCCUCCGGUGGCCAGAGUUCCUGAAAAAAGGUCAUUUUUAUCCUCUUUUUUUAGUAGAUUAUGGAUCUAGAGUUAGAUCCUCUAAAAUCUAGUCAAAACUUGAUUGGAAAUCAAAAAAACCUUUCGACUCUUCUUCUCUAAUAAAGCCGUCGACGGUGGUGGAAAAUGAACAGGUAAAAAAAGUUUAAACCUUUUGUUUUAUUUUUCUUGUAUUUUUUGAAACAAAAAAGAAAAAAAACUACCUUCGUAUUUUCUUUUUAACUUUUGUUAUUUUUUUAUAUUUUCAAUUUUUCUCUUCCUUUGUUACAAAUCAUUUUCGAUCUUUAUAGAAGAAAUAAAAUACAUUAUAUAUUAUUAUUUCGUUUUGUCUUUUCUUUGUUUCGACUUCUGCUCUUUACUGAUGUCUUGUAAGUGGCUUUGUAUGAUGAUGGCUAGGAGCUAUUCGGUCAACCAUGGUGGGGAGUCACAUUUUUUGCCAUUUCUAUGAAAGAGGGUAGACCUUGAGCAGCGCAUUUGCUGAUACGGCAGAUGCGGCAGCUGAAGACUUAGGGAGGCUAGGGUUACUGAUAUUUUUUAAUUUUUUAGGAUUUUAGGGGGUUUAGGGUUUAGCGUUUACUGAUAGUAAGCUCAUAAAAUUUUAGCAACGUUUGCUGAUAGUAAGCUCAAAAUGGUCUUCGAGAAGUUUGUGCAGAGAAACUCAUGCUAUGAUAUUUGGGGCACCUAUUUUUAUCUUACUCAUUUUGUAUUUUAGCAACGUUUGCUAUUUUGAUUAAUCUAUUCAUUUCAAGCUUUGCUGUCAAUAAAUUUCAAUCUUGUCCAUUGUUACGAUUUUUUUCAAGCAUUUUUCAUUGAAAUAACGAUUAAUGGACCAAUAAUAUUCAAGUAAAAGGAUUUUUGCAUAUUUCUCUGAAAGGCUUCUAAAUAGUACAAGGACCUGAAACAAGACCACUAGUUAGAACUAACCAAAUUUUAGGUUUGGAUAUAUCUGAGUGCGAAUAGUCUAAGUUAUGAUUAUUUCUUCGAGUUUUUUUGUCAAAGAUAUCAGAUCCAAACAAGAAGUCAUGGUAACACAUCAGUGAUGGAACCAUGACGAACAACAAGCAAUGUCAACCUAAGCAUUAAAAAAUGGAUCACUCUCGAAAAAUGACAUUCUGCAUUCAUUCAAAUAUCAUUCAAAUACAUCUAGUUAGGAGCAUUUGAUUCAUUCUAAUCAUAACAUCCUAAUCGCUUGGCAUAAAUAUAGGCCUAUGAAAUGAAUUCUACAGGUUAUAUUCCUUAGAGAACAGUGUAACAGAUUAGUGAAACAACAAAUUUUACAUCCCUGAAGUUACAGUGGAGCAGAUUGAAGCCACAAAACUUAUCUCCCUAAAGUUGCAGUGUAGCAGAUUGAAGAUAGCAAAUCUUAUUUCCCUAAAGUUACAGUGGAACAGAUUAAAGCUACAAGCCACAAAUCUUAUUUCCCCGAAGUUGCAAUGGGGCAGAUUGAAGAUAGCAAAUCUUAUCUCCCUGAAGUUGUAGUGGAGCAGAUUAAAACUACAAUUUUUAUUUCCCUGAAGUUGCAGUGGAACAUAUUAAAACUACAAAUUACAAAAUCUUAUCUCUCUGAAUUUGCAGUGGAACAGAUUGAAGCUACAAAUCUUAUCUUCCUGAAGUUGCAGCGGAGUAUAUUGAAACUAAAGUUCUUAUACCUCUGAAGUUGCAGUGGGUUAGAAUGAGGCUACUUGAAGAAGAGAAGCACAAAAGAAAUCGAGAUUCAGUGGGAUCGAACAAAAUUGGUCCUCCUUUAAAGUCUUUGCUCCCUUCUCGUUACACGACAAUGAGCAAAGAGAGGCAGCUGUAACAAGCCAAUUUUGUCCGGCCCAAACCCAAACCAAAUAAACCAAACAACAAUCAAAUAAAUAAAUAAAUGAAUAAUAAAAGUCCAUUAAUUACAAGCCCAAAUAGCCCAAAUCAUUUUUUGGAGUUUGUUGCUGCAUUCCCUUUGUUGGGCUUUUUGUGAACGAUAGUCCAUUCACCAACUAUUUCUUAUAUAGGGUUUUUACCUCUAUCCAUAAGACCUGCUAAGAUAAUCAACAAUUAUUAGUAAUAAUGAUUUAUUAUCUAUCAAUUUAACUGGUGUAAAAUUUUUAUUACACACAAUCUUAUUAUCAUUUUCAAGUGGUAUUUCUAAAAAAUCUUUUUCUACUGAUAACCAAAUAGAAUGUCUAUCAAUAGUAAAAGGUAAAUACCUACAUAUAAAAUUAUUUCCUAAUAAUAUAUCACCCUGCAUUUUAGGAAAACAUACCAUUUUAGGAAUUAUAAAUCUAACAUUGUUUAUGUAGAUUGGUAUAUUUUUAAAUUUAUGUUUUAUAAUAGUUUUAUUACCAUCUAUUCCCAUUAUUUUUAUAGGUUUUUUCAUUAAUUCCCAUUUUUCUACAGGAAUUGUAUUCUUUCUGCAACUACUAAUUGUAGCUCCAGUGUCUAUCAAAGCAUUUAGAGAAUAUUUUUUAUAUUUUCUAAACUGGAAUGUAACUUUAAUAUUUAUUCCAACUUUUGAUUUUUUAUCAAUUGUUGAAGUUUGAAUUUCUUCCAUUCUAAUUUUUCUAGAAUUACUACUGGGUUCAGUAGGAAAUAUAGGAAUUUGAACGGUUUUAAUUCCUAUCGGUGUACUGUUUGUACUAUUAUUAUCCUCUUCUUCUUCUAGUUGAGAACUAGAGGGUAAAACUAAAUUUUCAUUUGUAUUGGUUAUAAAAUUAUUUUUAAAAUACAGUCUGUUACCAGACGACAUAUACUCUAUAGUACUUACUGGUUUAGAAGUAAUAGUAUUAUUAAUUUUUUCUAUCAUCCAAUCUGUUGGAAUUGACAAAUCUCUUAAAUCUAAUAAUUUCGGCUGUAUUUCUGUAGUAAACCUAUUUGGUUCAAAGAGUUCAAUAAUUUUAUUAUUAAUCUCUUUUAUUUCUACUUCUGCCGUAUUUGUAUAUUCAUUAAUAGAAGUCCAACUGAUUGCCAGAUCUUCUGCUAAGUCAUUAAUUUCAGAAUUUUUUGUUUGAAUCCUUAGGCAAAGACACUCUUCUAUUAGAGGGUCUAUAAUGGAAAUAAAGUAAUUUGGUUUAACUUUAAAUCCUAUUACGCCUGUAUGUAAAUUAGAUUGAAUACCUCCAAUAAGUACUUUUAUUCGAUUUUCAAAUCUUUUAUCUAAAAUAACUGCUAUUAUAGGAAUAUCAUGACCUCUCCUAAAUAAGGCUCUAAUAGUAAUCAUAAUUAUUCCUAAAUGUAUAUAUCUAACCUGAGGAUAUUUCUUUUUAAUCCUCUUAAUUUUUUCUUUAGUAAAUAGAGGGAUUUCUGUUAAUCCUCCUCUAAUAUCCUUAGCGACUGUGUUACCGCUAAUUUUUUCUAUAUGUCUUUGUGUCCAUAUUUUGAACUUAGAGAUCUUAUAUAUUUCUUCUUUAGAAAUAUGAUUUUUAUUAAUCUUUUCUAUCAUUUCAUCAGAAAAGUCUUUUUCUUCUCCGAUUAAACUACCUAAUUUAAUAUCUUGUUUUUCAGAAUUAGGAAUUUCUUCUAAUUGAUUAUUAGAACUAUUUCCUAUAUUAAACAUAAAUAUAUAUUCUUCGUUGUUAUUAGAAUCUGUUUCUGAUAUUAACUCAUAUAAUAUUUCUUCAGGAUUUAUUUCCUGUUGAAAGCAUAUUUCUAAAUCUUGUUCUUCAAGACUUUUUAUCAUUUUCCUAACAUUUUUCCUUUGUUAGGACAAUUACUAGCUAUGUGACCUUCUUCAUCACUUAUGAAACAUUUACAAAUUUGUUUCUUUGGUUUAGAAGUUUUUCUCCUAACAACCUUUUGACUUUUACCAGAAAAUUUUUUAUUACCUGGUUUCCAUUUUCUUAAUUUAUAUUUUUUACGCUUUUUGUAAGUAUUAGGAUAUAUUUGUUUACAUCCAAUUUCCCACUCAUUUUCUAGUAUUUUUGUACAAUACUUAUUACUUAAUUUAUGCUUAACAUGUUUAGCAGCUUUACUUUGCAAACAAUAUAAGGUUAUUCUUUCUCUUGCAAAGUUUAUCCUAUUUCCUAUAGAAUCUAAAUUUUCUGUUGGAAGACCAGAUGUUUUAUUGUGCUUCUCUAAAUAAGAUAUAUAUUUGUUUAUACAUAUCUCAUCCCGGGUAAUUUAUGAAAAUAUUGGUUUUUCCAAAAUUCUAUAUUUUCAUUAUUUAAUUUUUGAUAUUCAUGAAGAAAUUUUUUAAAAAAUUCUUCUAAAUAUCUAAUAUCACAUAAUUUAAAUUUUGAAAGGAUAUAACUGGAUGUACUAUCUUGAUCUUUUUUUUUAUCAAAAUAUCAACAAAAUUCUGUUUUUAGAAUUAAGGUUAAUCCUUUUAGAAGAUCUUUAGGGGUUUCUAUCUGAUUGAUUAAUUGUCUCUUUUGUUCUUUACCCUUCUCAGUCCCAUCGUCUGAGAAAUUGUAGAACAUCUCCUUGAAAUGUUCCAACAAAAUAAUUUAAAAACUUUUCUUUUGACCAUGUGUUGUUUACAACAGUAGUCAUUGAUUGUGCCCAAUCAUCUUUAGUUUUUUCAUAGUCUGAAAUAGGUGUAUUUGUUAAAUCUAAAUGUAUUCCUCCCUGGGCUACAUUUCUUUUAUUUAAGUCAUCUAUUCUUGGUUGAACAGGUUGACUAGAUGUUUCUCCUGGAUAUUCAGGUUUAACAUCAUUUGUAGCUAUAUUUUCGGUUUUGUUACCAAAAUCCUAACUGUGUUUUUAUCAAUUUCAAAAUCUUUAUUUAAAGACCUAAGAUAAUCAUCUGUUUGAUUAUCUGACUCUAUUUUUCUUUUUCCAUACGGAUCUGUUGGUUUAGUAUCCAUGGGUUCUGGUAUUUCUAUAUUUUCUUCUUCAGAUGAAGUGUUUUCUUCAUCAGAAUUAUAGGUAGAGACUUUUAUGUCUUCAUCCUGAUCUGUUGAAGUUUUUUCUUCAUCAGAUUGAUUACUAAUUUUUUUAUCCUGAUCUGCUGAAGUUUUUUCUUCAUCAGUUUGAUUUUUGAAUAAUUCUGUGUUUUCAGAAUUACUCGCAUUACUACUGUCUGUAUCAUCAUAUUUUAACAUAUAAUGAUAAUUAAACAUAGAAAAUAGUUCUUUAUAUUGUUCAUAAAGUUCUUCUAUUAAUUUUAAAUAUUCAACUCUUUCUAGUUGAUCUUUAGUAGUAGUAAAUUUUUUUUCCAAAUGUUCUAUAAGGUUUUUAUAGGACUGGAAAUCAUAUCUUUGUUGUUUAUCAUCUUUUUUACGUUUUUUAUGUUUUUUAUAAUUUCUUAACAUAGAUUUUGAUUCAUCAGAAGAAGUGUUUUCUUCCUCGGAUAAGACUAAAAUAUUAUCAUUACCAUAAUAUAAAGGACCUAAAUCUACAUCAGACUCUAUAUUAUUAUUUAUAACCUGAUCUAAUUUAUUAUUAACACUAAUUAAUAUUUCUUUAGACUCAUGGUUUAAGUCUAAAUUUUUUACUUCACUUAAAAUAUUUACUUUUUCUUCUACAUUACUAACCUUUUUAUAUAGUUUACCAAAAUAAAAAGAAGUCAUAUCCACAAGACUAUUUAUACCCUUACUCAAAGAUGAAAUGUUGUUUUCAUUUCUAGAGUCUAUACGUGUAAUAUGAUUACAAGUUUUAUCUUGAAAUUGACACUCGAUUUGUUCCAUAAUAUUUGUUUCUGGUAUCUAAGACUGUCUAUUAUCUUAAUCGUCUUCACACAACGCCUAACGUCCUCCCUGGACUCAACGGCAACAAGAAGACAGAAUAACAGAUAUAUGGGUUUUGAAACAAAUAACUGUGAAACAAACAGAAAUGUAAAUCAAAAACAAAAACUUGUAAUGAAUAUUACGAUAUUAUUUCUCCAGAAAUUUGUUACUCCGGCACCAAUAAAAAAAGAACAAAUUAAACAACUAGAAAAAAAUCAUUGGUUGUUUAAAAUCCUUGAAGAUAAUUUUAGUGAAGAACCAUUAAAAUUAUGGAAAAAUAGUCCUCGAUACUGUGAAAUAAAAUUGGUAAAUCCUAAUAAAAUUAUUAAGGUUAAACCUAUGAUCUAUACUAAACAAGAUAUAGAUGAGUUUGAUGUUCAAAUAAAUGAAUUAUUAGAAAAAGGAUUAAUAGAAAAAACUAAUAGUCCUUAUUCUAGUUCAGCUUUCAUGGUAAGAAACCAUGCUGAAAUUAAAAAAGGAAAAGCUAGGAUGGUAAUUAAUUACAAAAGAUUAAAUCAAAAUACUAUUUUUGAUGGAUACUUUAUCCCAAGAAAGGAAGUUUUGAUUAAUCAAGCUAAACAAGCUAAAUACUUUAGUAAAUUUGAUUGUAAAUCGAGAUUUUGGCAAAUCAUGCUAACCGAUGAGUCAAAACCUUUAACGGCUUUUAGUGCCCCUAAUGGUCAUUAGCAAUGGAAGGUAAUGCCAUUUGGAUUAUGUAAUGCCCCACAAAUCUUCCAGAGAUGGAUGGAUUUCAUUUUUAAUAAGUAUAAAAGAUUUUGUGUGGUAUAUAUAGAUGAUAUCUUAGUCUUUUCAGAAACACUAGAAAAGCAUAGAAAACAUCUAAGUAUUAUUUCUCAAGAAUUUCUAAAUCAUGGAAUUAUAUUAAGCCCUAAAAAGAUAGAGUUAGAGAAAACGGAGAUAUAAUUUUUAGGAUUAAAAUUAUCUGCAAAUGGUCUUCAACUCCAAGAUCACAUUAUUGUAAAAAUAAAAGAAUUUCUUGAAAAAAUUGAAGACAAAAAACAGCUUCAACAAUUUUUGGGAAUUGUUAAUUAUGGAAGAAAUUUCUUUUAUAACUUAUCUGAAAAAAUAGGUGAGUUAUAUGAAAAAUUAAAAAAGAAUAUACCUUUCAGCUGAUCUAAACAAGACUCAGAAAUAAUAAAAAAUUUAAAAUCUGAAAUAAAUCAGAACCCUAAAGUUUAUUUACCUAAACAAUGUGAUAAAUUAAUUUUAGAAACUGAUGCAUCGCAAAACCAUUGGGGAUGUAUUUUAAAAGCUAAAACCACUAAUAAUGAAGAAUUAAUAUGUGGUUAUAGUUCUGGUAAAUUUAAACCAAAUGAGGUUAAUUAUGUUAUAUAUGAAAAAGAGCUUCUUGCUAUUAAAAAAGGAAUAAAAACUUUCCUUAUAUAUUUAGCACCUGAAAAAUUUAUCAUAAAAACUGAUAAUAAGACGGUAAAGCAAUUCCUUACUAACAACAAUUUCGAAACUGUACCAAGAAGAAUUAGGUGAUAUAAUGAUUUAUGUACUUUUAAUUUUGAAUUUUUUAUAUAAAAAGUGCUGAGAAUAUUCUUGCUGAUUAUUUGAGCAAGCCUACUUAUGGAUAGAGGUAAAAAACCUCUACAACCAGGUGAAUGGACUAUCGUUCACAAAAAGCCCAACAAAGGGAAUGCAACAACAAACUCCAAAAAAGGAUUUGUACCUGCACAAUUACCAUUUUAUACUAACCAGGGAUAUUAUGUGUCUUAUCCAAUGGUAAACCAACCUCUUGGAACAAAUGUUUUAAAAUAUCCAAUGGUAAACCAACCAGUUGGAAAAAGUUUUUCAAAUAUGGUGUGUAAAUCACCAAUGUCCCAAGAUUCAUAUUUAGCAUCACAAACCAGUUAUGCUGAAAUGAUCAAAGGAUUAGAAAAUUUGUUGAAAAAACAACAAAUUGAAGAAGAAAAAGAAAUUUCAAAAAUAAAAGAUUUUUAUAAUCCUGGUAUUUCACCAGAAUUUUAUAGUUUUAUAAACGAGAUAUGGAAAAUCCAUAUUUCAAAUCAAAGAGCUAAUUUCAGGAGAGCUCUUACACAGUUUUCAUUAUUUUUAGUUGAAAAAACAACUAAAGAAAAUGAAGCUGAAGAUUUAUUACUAAAAUCAGUUUUAUACAGAGAUUGAGAUGAAUUCCAACUCUUUAUGAUGGAUAUUAAGGAGAUAAACAAUCUUCUUGAUAUUUUUUAAUAUUUUAUUCGUAAAGGGAAAAACAUUCCUAAUAUGAAUAAGAUAUUUAGAAUCUGUUUAUAUAAUAAAUCUAGACAGAUUUUACCUAUAGAAAUAUUUAAUGAAAUUAUUGGAAUGAUCUGCAACCAGCAAAAUCGAUUUAGACAAUUUUUUCCUGAAUAUUUUCUCCAAUCUUAUGUUUUUACUAAUUUUAUUGGAAAUAGUAUUCCAACUAUAAAAUUUAGAUUGGAUCACGAACCGUUCAAUAUAACAAGUAUUGAAUGGGGAUUUGUAAGAGAAAUUAUAGUACAAAAUUUCUCCUUUCAUCUUUUAAAAGAUUUUCCAGCAAUAGUAAAAUCUUUAUUACAAACCAUCAUAAACAAUGAUGAUUUUUUCUAUUAUUUUUAUAUCCAAAUUAGUACUUUUAUUGGUAUUUCUGAAAAAGAAAGAUUUUUUCAGCCAUAUCAAAUAUGGGAUAUACAAAAGAUGCUAAGAAACCCCCGAUUAUCUACCUUAAAUGAAGAUAAAGAAUGCUUGACAAAAACAAUUGACAAGUGUCAGAAUAAUUCAAGCUAUUAUCAGAUCCAAGCUGGGAUUGAUUUAAUAGCUAAAGCCAAAUAUCUUCUCCAACAAAAAGAUUAUCAAUUCAGAACCGAUCGAAGAAGGAUAUUGGCAUACCAUUCUUAUCUUAUUACAGAAAAAGAUGAUGAAGGUAUCCGACUGUUAAAAAAGAUUGCAGAUAUGGACAUUAAAGAUUUUCCAUCUAAUAUUCUGGAACAAAUCAGAAGUACAUGGGAAAAUUGUCAUUAAGAUAUAUCUACCGUUCAUCAUUAUGGUUAAAGUAAAAAAAGAUGGAGACCUAAAAGAAAAGAAAUCCACAUACCAACAACAAAGUUUGGCAAAAGUGAAAGUCAUCAUGAUGCAAGCGGCAGUGAUGUAAUAUCCAGAUCAAGCGCGGGAGGGGGGAAGAUGAUUUACAAUGGAUGGGUAGAGUGCGAUUUACAAGCAGAAGGAUUUAUAGACUCUUUAUUACAAAAGGAAAAGUUUACAAAAGAGAAACUAAAAAAGAAAUAUGAUUAGAAAUGUACAAGAUCAGAUGCUAUACAAUUGAUCUUUCCUCUCUAUUUAUAGAGGAGAUUAAAAAUUCUAUACAAUUGUAUUUUCAAUUCCGAACAGUGUUCUGAUAAGGAUUCAACUUCAAAUGGAUGUGGCUGCUUCCACGUCUCAUUUGUCUUAUUGUUUCUCUAUUUGCAUGGUCAUGGUUGUUUCCACGUUGCAUGCUUGAAUUAAUGGCCGCAUCCAUCACUACUUGUGUCAUGGUUGCUUCCAUCACUGCUUACAUCAUCAUUGUUUUGAUGAUAGCUUCCACGUUGCAAGACUUUUUUGUCUGCAUCUGGCUUUCUUUUAUUAACAUUAAUGGUUGCUUCCAUCACUGCUUGCAUCAUCAUCAAUCCACGCAUGUCUUGAUAUGACCAUGGGAAACAUCUUUGAAUUCUUGGAGUAAUUUAAUGAUGUCUCACUUUUUCUCUACAUUGAUGUAAGCCUCGAUCUUCACCUCUUUCUUUUCUUAUUUGUCUCCUAAGCUCACAACUUCUACUGACUCUUUGUAAGGUAGGAUUUGUUUCUCAUCUUGUUCUACCAUCCUUAACAAAUCAGGAGAUAAGUUAAAAUCUAGAUCAUUUUCAAAGUCCUGAGGUUCCUUUAGACACAUAUCUCGUCCAAAAGGAGAUUCUGAGUUAGUAGCAGCGUCACUCAUAUCAUUCAUAUCUGGAGACCUGUUAUAGGAAUGAAGGAAGACUCAAAGAACAAAUGAAUCUAAGAAUAAUUAUCUGUGUGGUAUGAGUAUGAAUGAAAUGGAAAAAAUAAAAGAAUAUUUGCCCAAAAUGAGACAAAAAGAUGCAUUUUAUUGAAAUAAAGAUGUUGAACAUAUGCCUUUUCCACAAAACGAUUCUUAUUACUCCCAGGCUUAGAGCAAUAAGUCUAUUUUGAAUAUUACUCUAAAUUAGAUCUAAAAAUUAUAGGGAUCUCUUCUACAGUCCAAUUGUUCAGAACACUUCCGGGGAUAUAAGGACGAAUGCCUGAUAGGUUUUCCCCAAUUUCUUCUUCGAAUAUGGCAUUGAUGCUCAAAAAUUUUCCAACAUUACUUCAAGCUUUCUUUUUCUAACAUCUUUCGUUCAGGAUGAUUGACUUUUCCUGACACAAACGUCUUGAAUAUGUGGGGAAAGAUCAUCGAUUCCCACUUGACCUCUCCCACACUCAGUCACACUCUUCUUUUUUCUUGCUUCUUUUCUAACUCUUCUUCCUUUGCCUUGUAUCUAGUUUGUAUUUUAAGCGAAAGCGAUCUCGUUUCUCCAUCAGCAUUGGUGUUUCGACUCUUCCUUGAAGAUAUUUCCUAAGUCUCCUUCUAGGUAUAACUCAUUUCCCAGUCGUCAACUGUAGGCUCAUCCUCGUAGUUUUGGAUAUUUUAGGCACUAGGAUCUUGUUUCCUUCGACAAUGAAAGUUGCGUUAACAAAUUCUAGUGAUCGGAAGGAACAUUCUAUUGCCUCUUCAUCCACUCCUAUGUAUGGUGUGUCACUAGUUACGGAUGUAAUGAUAUCUUCUUCAGCAUUUAUAGUCACCAGUCGACCUUCCGUUACCAACUUUAACUUUUGAAGUAGUGACGACGGCACUGCCACAACUGAGUGAAUCCAAGGUCUACCCAACAAGCAAUUAUAAGAGGGCUUGAUAUCCAUCACAAAAAAGUUUACCUUAUAUGUGUUUGGGUUAAUUUAGAGAGGUAUUUCAAUCCUUCCUAUUACCCUCCUUUCCGUACCGCCGAAUGCUCUCACUAUAUUUUAGCACGUCUUUAUGUGAGAGCUAUGCACUGGUAAUCUAUUCAGUGUGGAUAGAGGCAAGACGUUCAGUGUAGAUCUAUUAUUGAUUAACACCCUUAGCAAUGUAUAUCCUUUGUAGCGUGUAGUGAUGUGUAGAGCCUUCUUGGAUCCCAUGCCCCUUGGCGAUAUUUCAUCAUCAUUGAAAAAGAUGAAAUUGUCGGCACUCAGAUUGUUAACCAGACGAUCUAGCUUGUUCACAGAGACAUCAUCAGCGACAUAAGUUUCAUUUAACACCUUCAUCAACGCGCUACGAUGUAUCUCUGAGCUCAAGAGUAAGGCUAGUAUUAAUAAGCGAGCUGGUUGUUUGUGUAGCUGUUCUACAGCACUAUACUCGCUAUGCUUUAAGAAUUUCAGGAAUCUCUUAGCCUUAUCCUCAGUUACCGACUCAUUAACAGGUAAUUUAAGUCUAGCCGUCUUUUUUUCCUUGUGCUCAACUGCCAGGGUUUUUCCUUUAACGGGCUCGGUUCUUGUAACUGAUAUUGCAUGUCUUUCUGAAUUUGUUUUAAUCUCUCUAAUCUUUGAUCCAUUGCUUUGGUUUUUCUGCGGGUACCGUAACGAUAUUCAGUUGGUAGAUUAUUAUUGGUUUUUAGUAGAGGUGCUCAUGGGCCGGGCGGGCCGUUGGGGAGGGUUUGGGUAAAAAUAUAGGCCCGAAAUAUGGGCUUGGGCAAAAAAAUAAGGCCGUUUAGAAAAUGGGCCAGGCCUCGAGCACCACUUUUUUGGCCCGGGCCCAGCCCGAUAUAUAAAUAUAUUUAUUUUUAAAUUUUUUUUAAUUUUAAAAUAUUUUUAAAAUACUUUUUUUUUAUUUUUUAAUUUUAAAAUAUUUUUAAAAUACUUUUUUAAUUUUUAAAAUAAAUUUUUGGUAUUUAUUAAAAAAAUGGGUCGGGCUGGGCCCGGGCUUAUGAUUUUUUUCCCGGGCUGGGCCUGGGCAAAAUUUCAGGCCCAUAUUUCGGGCCGGGCUAAAAUUUUUUAUGGGUCUGGCCCGAACCCGGCUCGGCCCGGCCCAUGAGCACCUCUAGUUUCUAGGGUAACUGUCACAAUUUCGAUUAAUUAGGGUCUUUUUAUGGGAUUUAAUGCAUGUGAUGAAAUAUAAUGCUAAUGAAUGAAAUGAAUGCAAAAGAGGCAUUGAUUCUGAUCAAUUAUAUUAGAACAACUUUACUAGAAAACAAAUAUCUUUACAUAAAACGGAUAUAUUUACAUAUACGACAUUGCCCUAAUACUAAAAACCUUGACUUUCCUAAGAAGCCAAGUUAAUUCUCGGUCAUGAUCUGAUUUUGAUUCGUAUUUUAAGCUCAGUAUGUUGGCUUAAACUGCUAGGGUUUGCACAUGGUGGGCUACUUCCCAUACUUGAGUCACAGUUUUACCCAUGAUGUGAUCUCUAUCCCUAAUCCGGCAUUGAGAGCGUUAGAGUUGCUCUUUCCAGUGUUCAUUGUUUCUUUUGAGAAGCUCAACUCGAAGUUCAUAAUUUUAUAGCGCGACUUCGAGCUCUCCUAUCUUUCCCUUCAACUCUUCAAUCUAAUUUAAGCUUUUUUUCAACUCAAUUGCGGAGUUGCGACCACGAUACUGAUGCAAUGACCUUUCUAGUUCUAUUACCUAGACUCUUAAUCCAACCUUUUCAUUUUAGCUUUCUAGCAAAUCCCUUUCUAGAGUACCUUUUUGAACUCAAACAUCUUGGAAUUUUUUUCCCACUGAUCAACCCUAAUCUUUUCUUCUUUAAUUUCUUACCGCCAUCGUUUUGAUGUUUUGCCCAACUCGGCAGUCCUUAUUGACAAACGUAACUUUUUAUAAUCUAUUUUUAGACUGUCCAAGUCUUCCUCGACCUUGUUCUUUCUUUUCUCAUUUUCUCAGCUUCUAACUUUUGGAUGUCGAAGUCUAAUCUUAGCUGCAUCUUUUCCUUUUCCAAAUGUUCUAUCUUUUUCCUCAGCUCUGAAUUUCUCUUUUCAAAGUCUUGCUUUAUGAUAUCUAGCUCAUACGGGAUCACUUAUAGGUGUUCUUCUAUUGGUCGAGUGCUUUGUUGACUUGACACAGCGACAUUGUCAUUGACUCUUUUACCUCACCACCAAUCAUAUUCAGGGGUUGUUAUUGGAUUUACGAUAAAUCUUUUCAUUCUGUGGGUUUGGUUCCAAGCGUUUGAUAUUUCACAAACCUUCUUCUUGUAAUUAUCACCCUUGUACGAAAACUCACACUGAGCCAACCUUUGCGUUGCCAGUAUGAACUUCCUCAAUCUAUACUUGUAACACCCCUUACCCGUAGUCAACACCGAAAUAGGGUACGAGGCAUUACCAGAACACAUACGCUUGUAAACGUAUUUAACCGAGUUAUAAAUUUCAUCUAAAUUAAAAUUUUCAAAAUUAUUAACAUGCUUUUAUAAUUUUUCAUAAUAUAUCCUCAAAACAUUAUGAUCAUAAUAAUUAGGGCCUACGAAACCCGAUACACACUCAUGCAAUUUAAUGCUUCAUUUCCAUUUCAUUAUUUCGAUAUUUUAUAUACCAUCAUUUUCAUGAAUUUUGUACAUACUAGUAAUAGUUCAUUUCAAAUUCAUGUUAUCUCACUUCAAAACUUUACCCGUUAUAUCAUUUAAGUAUCAAUGGUUACAUUUAUUUCAGAUCAAUACCAAUAAUAAUUCAAUUCCAUAUUUUCUAAUACCCUUAUUAUUUUCCAUGUUUAUCCCGUUGAAUUUCUCAGAAAUUUGAUGGAUUUUCAGAGGUACACUUUUAGUGUACAAUUCCGGGUCCGUCAAUUCAUAUUCAUGUGCGGACAUUUUCAUUUCAGAGAGCACACUCCCGCGAACCUCAUCCUUACAGCGGGAUUACCAGUCCAGGCUAAAUUCAGACCCUAAUUCGGAUUACCCGUCCGGGCUAAAUCCAUUUUCCACAUAUUCUUCAGGAGGGCUAUAUCAGGAUAGGAUCACCCGUCCGGGCUAGAUCCUUUUUACCGUCAAUUCCUUUUCAGAGAUCCAUCGAAUUUUCCUUUCAUUCAACCGAGAUUUAUUUCCUCUUUUCAUCAAGUAUAUCAAUACUUAAUCAAUUAUCAUACAAUAAACAUACAACUCAUAUUCACAACAAUAACAAACAUUUCAAGCAUUUAAGAAUAUAAUUCAAGUUACACGAACUUACCGGGCUAAAUUGUAAAAAUACUAAAAUACAAGAGCAUUUUGGUAAUUUUCCAUUUUUUCGAUUUUCUAUCCGAUCUUGAUCUAAAUUAAUUUUUAAUUUUAAUAAAACAACUCAUUUCAUGCAAAUUGGUCAUUUUGACAUUUUUCCAAAAUUGCCCCUAAAGUUUUACUUUUAUUCAAUCUAGUCCUCGAACCUAAAUCAUGUAAAUUAACCAUUUGUAAUGCAAAUCCAUAAUAUUCAUACAUUUAUUUUCCUCCUCCUCCUCUCCAUUCCACAUCCUUAAUUUAUAUAACAUGCUUAUAAGUAAUAUUGUCUAUAAUUUUCACUAUUUUCUUGUAAAUUUAUUCAAAGCUGUCCAUUUGAGUCAUAGUCACUAAAUUAUUUGUAUCUUGAGAUAAAAAAAUCAAAAUUAAUAUCCAUUAAUUUUUCCUGAAACUAGACUCACAUAUCUUCUUGCCAUAAAAUUUUCAGAAUUUUUGGUUUAGCCAAAUGGUACAGUUUAUUCUUUAAAGUUUCCCUUGUUUCACUGUCUGACAGUUCCACCCACUCUUCACUAAAAAUGAAUUAUCUAAUUGUACAGAAUUCGGAUGAUGUUAAAGUUUGUUUUAUUUAAAAAUAGACUCAUCAAAUAUUCUAAGAAUAUAAAUAAAACAAGGGAACUGUCUUAUUUUCCAAAGUCAGAACAAGGGAACUCGAAAUCAUUCUGACCUUAUCUCAUAUAACCUAUUAUAUCUCAUAAUUUAUAAUUUCAUUGCUUACACUGUUUCUUCUAUGUGAAAAUAGACUCAAUAAGCUUUAAUUUCAUAUUUUAUUUAUCCUAUAAUUUGAUUUCCAAAAUUUAUGGUGAUUUUUAAAAGUUAACCUACUGCUGCUGUCCAAAACUGCUUUAGUGCAGAAUAUUGAUUACUAAGUCUAUAACACUCUUAUUUUCUUUUUUUACACUAUUUCUCAACACUUUCUCUUAUUUUCUCUUCACUAACAUAUCAAGAACAUAUAACUUUAUAUAAUAAAACCCUACAUUAACAUCAAUCUCACACUUUUUCAAUAAUAUCAAACUCAAAAAUAUAUUGAAAUCAUGAUGUUCUUACCUUGCUCAAUUGACUUCAAUCUUUAACUUGAUUUUCUCUCUCCUCCAGCCUCUAUUUCUUGAAUCUAACUUGAUAUUCUAGCUCCCCAUAGUCUCUUUGUCAAUUUUCUCUCUUGGUGGCAAUGAAAAUUUCUUUGAUUUCUAAGUAAAAAGGGUGGAUUUUUGGUGAAAAGACCAAAUUGUAAAGAAAGCAAAGCUUUCUUUCUUCCCCUCUUCUUCUCACGUUAAUGCAUGCAAAAAUGGUGGGGAUGACUACUUUUCAUCCUUCUUUCCACAUAUAUAUAUACUAAAUAAAUUAAUAAUAAAAUAAUAUCAUUUUAAAAAAAAUCAAAUUAAAAUAUUAAUAAACUAAUAUUUAUUUAUUUAUUAAUCUAAAAUAUCUCCAACAUCAUCAUUAUCUUCUAGAUUUCUCUCUCUUCUAAUUGACCAUUUUGCCCUUUAUGAUCUUUUAAAAUUCCAUCCUUGAGUCAUCACUUUAUUUGGUAAAAUUGUGAUUUAGUCCCUCGAACUUCUUCACCUUUUUCAAUUUGGUCCUAAUCCAUCCAUUUUCUUAGUUUCUAGAUUAUUCCACCCUUAAAAUAUUUACAUCAUUGGUCCUUCAACUUUUUCAUAUUACAUUUUAACCCCUCAACUUUUAAGUAUUUACUUGUGGGUAACAAAACUUUUCUCAAUUUUGCGAUUUAAUCCUUUCUUGAAUUAAUAUGUUAUAAUUUACUUCCCAAUAUUGCCAUAACUCAAAAUUACCCCUUUUUAGCACUUUAUUUCCUUAUUUUACUAUAUCAGAGAUAUUAUCUUACUUUCCUUACUAUAAAAAUUUUCGGGAUAUUACAAUACUGUCUCAAUACAAGUAGAGGGACAUAUCCAAUAGCUCCCCAUAUCCCGAGUAGAGGGACCCGGUCGAAGUUUCCCUAUCGGUACAAAAUCUCAUCAAGGAUCAUCCAAGGGGCUCUCCAUUCAACGUCUUCGUCUUAGAGACUCUGAAGAAUUGCCAUACAUUUCUCAUCUGAAAUGGUGUCUCGCCUUGGUGUAGCCACGAAUUCUUUCAACGGAGAGUAGUUCUUGGAAAAUACUCGAUAGGAGAAUUUCUUUACCUUUCAAAAGUGGUUGUGAAACCAAGCUAGUAAGAGUUGUGCACACCUAAUAAAUCUUCCUUCACCCGCUCUCCGGCUUGCAUUCAAAGAUCUGAAAGUUUCAGCCAAAAUUGUCGAGACGGGCGUGGCCCUUUUGUCAAGUCGGUCAAAUAGAUCUGAAACUGCAUCGUCUACGUACCCUAGUGCUUUGGUGAAAAUAAUCAACCCGUAAAUACUCAAGGCGAAGACGUCGACUCUUUUCUUCAUAUCCGAAUGUGCCAAGAUAAAAUCCCACAAACUUUUUCAAGAGAUGCAUUUACUAUAUCUCUUUUGUUUAAUUUGGGUCGUGACCCAUUUCUCACUCAUCCCUAUGAUGCUUAUUAGCUUUUUUAGGAAAGUCAGGACGUUGGCGGCUCUAAAAUAAGCUUUGUCGGCUUGGAUUCUUAGGCAACGAAGUAGAAUUGUGUACUCUUCUACGGUGGGCACCAAAUCUACCUUCCCAAAAGUGAAACAAUUAUAUACGGGAUUCCAAUAUUGGGCCAGAGCUCAAAACAAGUGCUUAUCCACUUUGACAUCGAGUAAAUAAGGCAGAUCACCAUAGUUAUACUAGAAUAGCUGUUUGGCUUCGUCACCCCAUUGGUCUCACACCUCUUUCAACUCUUGGAGGUUAUUCUGAGUCACACUGAUGCGAGUGAAAUCCCAUAAUUCUGACAUGUAUCCCUCUGUCAGGUUGUCACCUUUUCUUGUUGUGUCUUCUUGGACCAUAUCCGAACGACCGCAUUGUCUUUCACUUUAUCAACAAAUCCUUUUUCCAUAACAAGUUCUCUAUUUAGUACUGAACGUGAAUCAAUACCCUUUUCUAUGAUGAAAAUGCAAUGCAAUCACAGUUGAAACAAAAUGAAAAAAGUCAGUACAUUUCAUACAAACCUAGAAUUCAAAGCAAGAUAUAAGAAAUAGAACACCCAAUCAGGUGACCACUUGAGGUUCAGUGUGGUUCUACCUAAGGUAGGCUCUUAGGGCUCAUUAUAUGCGGUUUGAUUCUAAAGUAAGGGUACCUGAACCAACAGAUUCCUCGAUCCUCACCCAUUAUAGGCUCAUAUGGACCGAGUUCGGUUCAGAGGAAUACAUUUCCCUAUGGCUAGAGGGAGAUGAAGAUCUCACGAAGACAUAAGUACGGAUGUAUCUAGAAAGCGAUCCACUAUUUUAUACGGAGGUGAAGACCUCACGAAGGAAUAGCUUAUCACUCCCACUUAAGAAGGGCAAAAUCAAACGAUUAUGCAAUGCAGCAAUAUGUGGAAACAUACCAUGAGACUUGAACCAAUAAAGUAAACAUAUCAUUAUGUAACAAAAUGAUAAAGACCACAAAAAUGAAAGAUGAAAUGCAAUGAAGGGAUCGUAAAUUUAAACCGGAUUAUCAAUUUUUGACAAAAAGACCAAAAGUAAUCAACUCGCGGCUUGACUCUCUUAUUUCGUCCCCAGCGAAAUCGUCAAGCUGUUGAAACCUUUUUUGAAAUCAACUUUUUAUUUUAAAACGAAAAUGGAGUAACCACCAAUCCUUUUUUUAUUUAGGUGUGGUUGGAUCACCUCAAAACUCGAUCAUUUUAAUAAAACGUUAGAUUUACUAAAACGGUAAUCUUCGGUCUACAAAAUCCAGGAAAUGGGUUCCGGAGUCGGUUACGUAUGGGGAAGGAUUAGCACCCUCAUAACGUACAAAAUUGGUACCUAGUUGAUUACUUGAUGCUUUGAUGUCGAAAAUUGAAAAUUCGAAGAGAAUUUAAAAUACGAUCCCUUUUGCGCGAUGUUGUUUGAUGGUAUUGAAAAUAUCCCUAUCUAAAUCAAAUUUUUAAUGAGGAGGUUUUCUCAUUUUGAAUUGAUCGAGACAAAAAAUAUGUCCCGUAAGUUAGGGCACAAAAUCUCGAAUUCUCGAAAACAAGAAUUCUCGCCAUUUAGUUAUUGUCUAAAUCUUAUAUAUUUUAAAUAAUUUUUUUUAAAAAAAAGGAAAUUUCCUUUAAAGGGGGAAGGAUAUCCAAUUAUUUCGGUUCAAUGAGAGAAUUGUACCCUGUAAGUUAGGGUACAAUUUCUCAAAUCCUCAAAAUAAAGAACAUUGCCUUGAUUCAAGUUACUAAAUAUACAUCAUAUAAAAAUGAACCUAACAUUUAAAGCAAUAUGCGACUAAUUUAUUCGAGUAGUGGUACAAAAAUGAACAAAUAUUUAAACGUGUUACAUAAUAUGGUAGUGGCAAAAAUAGGAUAAAAUAGUUUACGCGGGUAAAAAAUGAUAAUAAGAUAAUAAAAAGUAAUAGUUGAAAUAAUUUUGUUAGCCGAUUAAUAAUACUAUUUAAUAAUAACAAUAAUUAGUAAAAUAAUAAGUGGAACAUUAGCAAUAACAAAAAUAGUAAAAAAUAAUAAAAAGUAUGAUAUUAAUAAUAAUAAUAAGAUAUUAACUAGCAUUAAUAAUCAUUUAACAAAAAUAUCAACAUUACAAAAUAUACAUAAAAAAUAAAAACUAAAAACUAAAAUGAACUAAAAUGAGAUGAUUAAGAAACUUAAAGAUAAAAAUGCAAGUUAUGUAAAUUAAAGGGUAAAAUAUAAAUAGGGAAUUGAAAAUGCUGAAAAUUAAAUAAAUAAAUAAAUAAAAAGGCAUGAUUAAAUGAAGAAAGAUUAAUCAAAACCAUAAAAAAAUUUCAGGGAAUAACAUAAUAAAAAUAGUAAAUAGAGAGGCAGAAUUAAAUAAACGAGGGAUUAAAAUGAAACUUAAACAGAAUUUAAUGCAUAAAUUGCAAAAUAAAUAAGAGAAUGAGAAAUAAAGGACUAAAUUGAAAAUAUAACAAAAUAUAACAUCUAAAUUAUGAGCAAAUAGAACAUAAAUGAUUAAAUUAAAAUAGGAAUAGAAAAGUUUAGGGACCCAAAGGGAAAUUAUCCAAACCCCAUGUCAUUUCUUUACUUCAAUAGUGGGUCAAAGGACCGAUUUACAAGGAAAUUAAAUUAUGGGUAAAAUUUACAAAAAAAAUUAAAAGGAAUAAGACGAAAAUAAAAUGGAAAUUUCCCCCUCCAAGCUACGACACGCGGAUCCUAGGGGUCGGGUCGGAUUAUUUGGAUCAGCUUUGAAACGAAGUCGUUUUGGGUGUCUGAAGCCAAGCCCAAAACGACGUCAUUUUGAAAGGGCUAUAUAAGUUUAAAAAAUCAUUUUUUGCAUCAGUUAAAAAAAAUUUCUUGUUUCUUUUUUUUUCUCUCUCUCAACACUCCCUUUUCGUUUGGCCCAUGUGCCAGUGAAUCUCCCCCGUGGCCACCAAUCAUCUGCGAUGGAGACCGUCGCCUCCAGUGGCCAAAGUUCCUCAAAAUAGGCCAUUUUUAUCCUCUUUUUGAGUAGAUUAUGUAUCUAGAGUUAGAUCUUCCAAAAUCUAUUCGAAACUUGAUUGGAAAUCAAAAGAACCUUUUGACUCCUCUUCUCCGAUGAAGCCGUCGACGGUGGUGGAAGAUGAACAGGUAAAAAGAAAGUUUAAACCUUUUGUUUUAUUUUUCUUGUAUUUUUCGAAACAAAAAAGAAAAAAAAUAAAAAAUAAAAUAAGACUACCUUCGUAUUUUCUUUUUAACUUUUGUUGUUCUUUUUUUUAUUCGAUUUUUCUUUUUUUGUUACAAAUCAUUUUCGGUCUUUAUAGCCGAAAUAUAAUACAUUAUAUUUUUGUUUUGUUUUGUCUUUUCUCUGUUUCUGCUUUUGUUCUUUGUUGUUGUCUUACAGGUGGUUUCGUGUGAUGGUGGCAAGGAGCUCUUCGGUCAACCAUGGUGGGGAGUCGUGUUUUUUGCCAUUUUAGUUAAAAAGGGUAGACCUUGGGCGACGCAAUUGCUGAUGUGGCAGAGGCGGGGGUUAAAGACUUAAGAAGGCUAGGGUUACUGAUAUUUUUUUAAUGUUUUGGGAUUUUAGGGUUUUUGUAUUUGGGCUAUUUGGGAUUGUAAUUAAUGGACUUUUAUUAUUCAUUUAUUUAUUUAUUUGAUUAUUGUUUGGUUUAUUUGUUUUGGGUUUGGGUUGGAUAAAAUUGGCCUGUUACAAAGUGCAUAGAAAACACAAGCAUGUUCAAGGGUAUGCUGAAGGAUAUCAUUGUUAAUUAGGGUGGAGUGAAAGACAAUGUUGGUUUGUAAGAUCCAAAGUUCCCAAAGAAAGUAAGCAAAAACAACAUUCCAAGGUAGGGAUGGCCUAGAAAACCAAGCUUCUAAGUGAAGAUUCUCAAAUAGCCAAAGUAUCCAACCUCUGUUAUGUACUUGAUUAAUGUUCUCUAGAUUGCACAAUUUGUUCAACUAGAGAUCAUUGGCUAGGCAUUUGCGAAGUAGAUGUUUCAAUGUCUUCUUGGUGAUUCUCACAUAGGGGACAUGACAAGUCAAUGGUCAUAUCCCUCUCAAACAAGCGUAUCUUAGUAGGCAAAAUGCAAAUGCUGCAUUUCUAUCAGAAAAUAUUCACCUUUGGAGAGAGAUUUGUUUUCCAAACAAAAUCCCAAAUAAGUUUAUCCCAAUUAUCAACAAAUGGAGGCCUAUUAUUGGCCAUACCAUAGGCUCUGGAAAGGGAAAAGAUCUCAACAUUCAAUCGUGACCAAAAAAUCAUGUCUUGAUCUUGCAAGUGGGACACUGUUAGGGUACUUAGGAACAUAUUGAGAAUAUUCGACUGGAGGUUAAAAGAGAGGGUAGAAGCUUGUCGUUCAUCCUAUUCGAUUUUAACUUGUAGAAAGGAUUUUUCCUCCUCUUCUAGUCGUAGUAGCCUUGUUAGGAAAGAUCUAGGUGCACCAAAACCUGUCUAGUAAUAUUCCCAUCCCAUACUACCCAUCUAAUGCCUUGCUAAAAGAGUAAACUAAUCCUUCUAAGUCCACUCCAAGUUGCGAAAAUAUUGUUCGACCGAGGAUUACCAAUGCGGGUUUGAGUGUAUUCGGCUAUAAGCAUUUAUGCCCAAAGAAUGCACCAUCCAAGAUUUGAUAUUUGCUUCCAAGUUUGGUGAGACCAAUGAGAUUAACAAUAAAUCUCUCUAUUAAGUACCUUUAUGACCUUUGACUAUUUCUUGAAGUUUCAAUAAUUAUGUAUGAUUCAAUCUAAUGACUAAAUAUGUAUGAUUCGAUCUAAUGAAAUAUAACUAAAGUGUAGUUGAAUUGAAGUAGAGAGGUUUAAGAAAAAGGGAAAAUCAUUAUAGCGUGUGAUUCAAUUGUAUUCACAGGCAAUCAAUUAUGUUUAAUGUUGUGAAGAUAAUUGUGAAUACAAAAAUUUAUUAUUUCACUAAGUAAAAAGAUGAUAAGAAAACUUGAAAUGUGCUUAAAUGAAUUCGGGUGUUGCAUACUAACUCUACUAACAGUUGUAUAGUAGCCUGCUCUUAAAAGUAAAAUAUGUUGGUCCCAGGAUUUAUUUCCUUAUAUGAACCUUGAAGAGAACAGAAAGAACACAAAAUAAUCUCCUAAAGUUUAAUCACGAGAAUAUUGUACUCGUUAUGUGUGAAGAUAUUGAGAUUAGACGCACAUAAUGAGUGACCCAUUUGCGAUAUACUAUAUUACCAAUGACCAUAAUUUUUACUCAAACCAUUAUAGUUUAAGGUUAUAAAGUCGGUGAAUUUUAGGUAAAAUUCUAUUAUUAGUCUAUGUAUUUAGUAAAAGUUGUAGAUUUAAUCCAUACAUUUUUAUUUAGUCAUUUCAGUUCUCACUAAACAAUAAUUGUUAAAUUCAUUAAAUAAUGUUUUGCUAUUUCUAAAAUUUGAUGUGACAAACAUAUUUCCAUAUGUGUAAUGUCAUAUUAGUUUAUUAUUUCCACAUAUUACUUUCUAAAAAUCCAGUUAGAAUUAAUGAUUGUCAUUUGCGUUAAAAUUGAAAUUUCAAAAUUCAAAAAGUAUAGAGACUUAGAAUAAUACAAAUAGGGAAAAUGGACUAAAUCUGCAAUUGUAUGAAUAUUACAUGACUAGUAAUUGAAUUUAAUUAAACAGAUUUAGUUGCUACUGUUUGAGUCGGGGCUAAAAUUUUAAAGUUUAAAAAGUAGAGAGAUUAAAACUAUACAAUAACUAAAGUUGAUCAAAUAAAAAUAUAGAGAUUAAAUUUGCAAUAAAGAGGGAGAAUUUAACUUAAGAAUGAGAAGUAGGGAGAGUUUUACCAUUGAUGAGAGAAUGAACCUUGGUUAGGUGGACAGUUAAGGAGAGGUGGAGCAAGUUAACAUACCAAAUUACAAUAAAUUUGAUUUUAACCAAGUUUUUGGAGUUGGUAUGGCUAUGGAUGAAUGAGUUGAGUUGGAACAAAAGCCUAGGUGUUGAGCAUCGUAGGUGUAGCUGAUGAGCCGAAAAAAGGUAAGGGAUUUCAUCAGAAUUAACAAUACAUUGUCCGGUCCGUACUACUGAGGAAUAAAAAGAGGAACAUGGAGGAGCCACCGGUGUUACAGAUGCAGCAGCACUUGUAUGAAAAACUCCAUCACCCUAUCUAUCCCAUUGUUAUGUCAAAUCCAAAGUUGCUGUUAAUUAUGGUUCACUUUCAUCCUACUUUUUUCUGCCGCCGGCGCUACAACGCCUUUUAAGGCUCUUCCUUAUUCAAGUAAAAUUAAAAUUUGUAGACUAAGAACUUUUAUUUAUUAAAUUCAAGUGAAAAAGUUUAUGUUAUGUGUAAAUUAUAUGUAAAAUUUUAGUUUAAAUUUUAUUUUGCUUUUAAGUUUUAUCAUGUGUGAUUUAUGAAAUUUAUUCAAGUAAAAUUAAUUUUUUUUAAUUUAAUUUUAGAUGUAUUUUGAUUAUUAAUUUGAUUAUAUUAAUUUUUGUGUUAAUUAUUUUAAUAUAUAUAUUUGUACUUGAUCCAAUAUUUUUACUUUUAAAAAAAACCUAAAGAUCAUUGCGAAGUUUAAUUAAUUUAAGAUUGACAGUUAAUUUAGGAUUGUUUCUCAAAAAUAUUUUUGAGAAAAAAAAAACACUUUUGACUUGAAGAGAAGUUAAAAUUUUCAAUUUCUAAAAAUAAAAAAUACUUUUGGGUUAAUUUUUAAGUUGGGAGAAACAUUUUCUCUCUCAAGAAGCAAUUUAUUUAAGAAUGUUGUUAUCCAAAAGUGUUUUUUUUGAAAAUAAUACUAAAACACACCCCCUUGAAUAACACCUAGUUACUUCUUAGAAAUUACAAGUUUGACUAGUGUAAUAUUCUACUAAUUUAAUUAAUUAAAGGGUUUAAUGAAUUUAUAAAUAACUUUAAAAUGUAUUAAAACAAAUGAGUGCUUAGCCUUUUGAAUUUCUCUAUUUAAAUAUGAAAAAAUAUUUUAUAUAUUGCUAAUGAAGUUUUUAGAUUCCAUAAGUAGGAUUAAAGAGUUGACAAAUGUCUCAUAGGAGUAUAGUAAAAUAUAAAAAAUAUAUUUUAAAAAAAUACAUGAUAUUUUUUAAGGUAACUUAUGGAAUAAAAAAAACAUACUACCAGUGUACCAAAUACUAGUUUAAAUAUAGUGGUAAAUUUUUCAUUCCAAAAUUAAUCUUUUGGGUUAAAGUGAAAACCUUUAAAUAUAUUAAAUUUACGAGAAAAUAUUUGGUACGCUGCUCGUGGAGUUUUUAGACUCCAUAAUUAAGGUUAGAAAUUGACAAGUGUAUUAUAGGAUAUAGUAAAAUAUUUUUUAAAAAUAGAUACAUUGAUAGUAUACCAAAUACUAACCCUAAAUUUAAAUAUCUAUACUUAUUAUAAAAUUUUGAAUGGGUUGAAGUGUUAAUUGAGUACAAAACUCGGUUGGAAAAAGACAAAAAUACCUUUACUUUACAAGCACGGUAUACCCAAAAUGAUUGCAAGUACUUAACACAAUAAGGAAAAUAACCUUGGAUUCUCUAAAGUGUCGAGCAAAAAUCAGUAAAAGAAUAAAGCAUCCACCAAACUAGAGAGGACAACGACGAAACCAUCCCUAAAUUCACUUACAAAAGCAAGACUAAAAAAGUUAUAAAAUGUAAGACAAAAAGUUCCAAAAUGAAGAAUUAUUAAACAAUGAAAAAAACAUAUAAUACUUAAGACAACAUGAGUCCAAAAUAACUCGUAAAAUAAUUUAUUAUUCUGAAAUACUCUCAAAACAAAAUAGAUUAAGAAGUCGAAGAAGGUCACUGUUCGAGUAUCUACAACCAACCAACUUUUCAAGAAAAAUUGUUGGUCAUUUGUCCAUCACAACUUAUGAAAACAACAAAGAUAUCCAUAACACAUCUGCAAACUGAAAAAGGAAAAGACACGUGAAGUGAAUAAGAAAAACAAAAAAAAAAUUAGUGAAAGAGAGAAAAAGGUGAAUAGUAACCAACUCAAAGACUAGCACUACUGUUAAGCAAAACAAGGUAGAAAAAACAAAUUACUUCAUGAAAAAAAGGGAAAUUAUCCUUAUAAUUAUAUUGUUAUUUAUUAUGAAGAUUAAAUCAUUUAAUAAUUUCUUAAUUAAGUUGUUGUUUGGAACCCAACAUUUUGUUUAUUGGUUAAGGUGUUCAUUAUAUCUCAAAAUUGUGGGAUCGAUCAAGAGAUUGUGCCUAUGUGAUAAUUUAAAUAUGUGUGUGAGCUUGAGAUUCUAUUGUAUCAAAAAAAAAUAAUUUAUUUGAUUGGUUCAUAACAUCAACUCAAUUAAUAAAUUAUACAUAAUAAAGAUAUAUAAUAUAUUUUUCACUAAAUUAAUUCACAAGUUAUACUGCACCAAUAGGUAUGUAUAUAUAUAAAUUUAUCCACCUUUGUCCAUUACAGUUAACCACAGCCCCUUAUCUUAUUUCACAAUUUUAAAUGUGCUUUUUCAAGGCACUUUGAUUUUUUUUUCAUAUUAAUUAACAUUUUUUUAAUUUCAAAAAUAAAUUUCACAUGCAUUUUUUGCAUGUGGCAUAAAAUUUAGUAAUAUAUAACACUAAUAAAUAAAAACAUAAAUUGUUAAUGUGUUAUAUAUUCAUGUCAAAUACUAUUUUUAUAGUAUUAUAUUUUAUAUUUAGUUUUUUUUAAUAAAUAUAUCAAAAACUUGCAAGCUGCAAUUUUUUUUUAAAAGACCCCAUUGAUGAACCGAAAAGAUCAAAAGGGUCACUGGGAUAGAACCAGCUGAUAAUGAUAGGCAGUAAUGGUCUCAUCACAUUCACAUGCAUGCAGUAGCAAACAAAAACAAUAUUCUCGUAUUGGGAAAAAAGUUGGAGUUUUUAUCGCAAAACGAAUGGGAGAGACAGAAGCCAACUGGAAAUGGUGAAGCAAAAGGAAUCAGAUGAUCAAAGAAAGUUUGAACUUUGAACAAAAAAAAAAAACUAAAACGAAAGAGCCAAGCAUCACUCUUGUUAAACACAGUAGUUAACAUGAAGCAACUGUUGUUCCAGUGGACUAUACUUACACCAUUUCGCAAGAAAAGCCACUUUGUUCCAGGGCUAUAUUUAUACAUAUAUAAAUGGUGUUAUGCUUCAGUGUAGUUGUGGUGGAUGAGGCGCAAUGUCACGCCUGUGAAGGAUCACGUACUUCGAAGAAAGACCGGUUCUUGACGACAAUGUCGUACAUAUGUAUGGACCUGAAGUUGUCGAAGUUCCUUGGGAGGGAAAUGAGGUGACUUGAGUUUGCUGAUUUGUGGAAUUGGAGAAGCUCAGGUUGGUCCGAGUUGUAGUAACGAGUCCAGCCAAGCUCACCCAGACGCUGCUCCAGUUCGGAGUAGGAGCGGAUCACUUGGUUCGUGGGGCGGUAGACUAGGACGCGUGGUCGAGCCCCUGCUGCGGUCGACGUUCCCGGAUAAAUAGGAUCUUUUUCCUCGAAGGAUUCUCUGGUUGGAUUGGAUAUCAAUCGAGCCACACCAUUUUUGUCAAAUAUCCAUACACCCGACAUUGUAUGCCUAGACACAAGAGAUGAUGGCUAGUUAAUUGUUGCUAGGUUGAAACUUGAAAGCCCGUGCCUCCACCUUUAUAGGACAAGGGACUCCCAGUGUAAAGACUACUUUAUUAUAUAUAGUAAUGUAUUACCGGCACCUUACAUUCUUUAGAUAAAUGCCAACUCAAUAGUUAAUUGUAACUUCAAGAAUAUAUAUAUUUGGGCUUUAUUGUACAAAAUAAUAGUUCAUCGUAUUCUUGAAUUGAUUGUCACUAAACUAACUAUAAAUACGAUUAAAGCAAGCGCACCUAUCGAACAAUAGUAUAGUUACGGUGAGUAGGGAAUAUUGUAUUCACGAGGACUAAAAGUACUAGUAAUUACCGGUUUUCUAUUAUUUAGCCGAUAAAUUGGAGUGAUUGUUUUUAAUCUAAAAUUACUAAACUAAUUUAACUAAGAAUGCAACAUAGAAUAAAAUAGGAAAAUAACCGAAGAUGCCAAUGAGAGAGAUAAUACCCAGGAAAAAAUCCACCUACACUUCACUUAUUAUUAUGAAUCUGAAUUAAAUGAUUUAUUCGCUUAUGCCUUGAUCCGUAGAAAUCCCUAAAUUAUGUUAAUAUCUCUUUCGAGAGUAUGAACAACUAACUCUAGGUUGAUUAAUUGAAAUCUCUUUCUAAUUAAAACUCCUAUUGUCGCAUUAACUCGAUCUAUGGAUUCCCCUAUUAUAUUUGACUCUAAUCCGGUAGAUUUAUGUCGUCCUAUUUCUAGGACUGCAUGCAACUCCACUCAAUUAUGCUAUACAGGGACUUUUGCUCCACUAAAAUAAGUACAUUAAACAUGAAUUAAUAUCCUUAGAUUAUUAAAACAUGAAAUAAGCAUACAUAAUUGAGAACAAGAAUCAAGUAUUUAUCAUGUAAAUCAAAAAUUAAAUAAUAAGAUUCAUCAUAGGUUUCAUCUUCCCUAGGUAUCUAGGGAAUUUAGUUCAUAAUCUUAAAUAGAAACAUCUCAAAGUUAAGAUAACAACAAGUCAUAAAGAAACCCAAAUAAGUUUCUAAAGAAAUUAAAUGGAGAUCUUCAAUCUUGAAGGCGAUCCGCUUCCAAGAUGAUUCCGAUGGCGUUCUUCGAGUAUUUUCUUCAAUCUUCUAUGGGUCCUCUUUUGGGUUCUCUUCUAAUAUAUGUAUUUAUAAACUUUAGGAUGCUCUGAAACCCUAAAAAUUAGAUUUUUUGUGAAAAAGGGAAGCAGGGUGCAAAAUCGACACAGGCCAGCACAUGGGCGUGUGGCCAGCCCGUGUGGUUCACACGGGCGUGUGCCCAGCCCGUGUGGAAAAGCUAAAGCCGUGUGGAUCCUGAAAACAGCUCUUUUUGUCUUAGUUUGGCCUAUUUUUCGCUCCUUUCACUCCCCUAUGCUCACUUAAGUAUAGAAACAUGAAUUUAAAGGAUUAGGAGAUCAAAUUCACUAAUUUACAUACUAAAUCAUCCAAAAAUGCAUUAAGAAUGGGAUUAAAAACAUGUUACUUUUAUGGCUUAUCAUGAAUCUAUGAGAUAUUGAAACAAUGAAUUGAAGGAAUCUGGUUUCUAGUAAGAGUAUAAGUAAGUUGUCCAAACUAGAACAUUUGAUUUGAUGGUAAAGGACCCAAGAGAGUGAAUCACUUGCUUGUAAGCUAUAUGAGUUAUCCACUUCGUUCUUCAUGUCGCAGAUGGUAAACUCACUUUUUUUGUUAAUGGCGAAACACCCCUAAGUGUUCCAAGUGCCCACUCUAUCGCACAUUCAACAUGUUAUUGCUAAUGCGUUUGUUCUGUGAUACGUCGGAUGUUGUUAUGUAUAGUCCAACUAGAGUAGAGGUAGGCUGCAAGCUCAUGUAAUUGGGGUGAUUGAAGAAUUAAUUAGGAUCAUUGCAUUGAAUUCUUACUUUCUUAGACACUAAAAUGGAAGAUUAAUCACUGCAUAUCUAUGCACCAAGAGUAUGUUUUUUUUCCUUAUCUCUUGUUUGAAUGUUUCCCAUUCUAUUGUAGACCAGCAUUAAAAUUUUAACUACGGGUUAUAGUAAUUUAAGGCUAAAUUAGUUAAUUAUGUCAUUUUUGUUAUUUGGUCUUUUAGGUUGUUUUUUUUUAAAUCGGGAAAAUAAGUUAACUUUGGAGAUAGUGUGUGAAAGGGACCAACAGUCAUUUUUUUAACGUUGACAACGAUAAAAUUUUUGAAGGGCCCUAACGGUAAUUUUUUUCCUAUAAAUACUAGGCAAUUUUUUAUUCUUUUCACUCAAAUCCAACUCUCUCAAUUCUUUAUAAACUCUCAACUCUCUCAAUUUUCUCAAGUUCUGUUCUCAAUUUUCUGAUACGUUUGUUUAAAAAUAUCAUAGAUUUAUUUAAUUAUUUCGUAUAUUAUUCGUUUCAAUUAAAUUUUCACGAAUGACAACCUCUCACUACACCAAAUGAGGCUUUUAACGGUAUAUUUUGUGGCGUUUUUACUACAAACGCCGCUAAUAAUCUCGCAUUAGCGGCGCAAAAAAUAAACCGCUGCUAAAUAUCAGGCAUUAGCGGCGCAUCAUGAAAAACGCCGUAAAAGAACAUCAUUAGCGGCAUUUACCAUCACAUGCCGCAAGAUCUGAAGACCAAAACGCAUCGUUUUGGUCUUGAUGUAUACUAGAAUUAGUGGCGUUUAUAGUAAAUCGCCGCUAAAGCAAUUAAUAGCGGCGCAAUGGCUGAAGCGCCGCAAAAAUCUAAACGAAAACGCAUCAUUUUGUCUCGCUAUAUAUUAGCGUUAGUGGCGCUUUAAAAAAACACGCCGCUAAAGCAAGUAUUAGCAGCGCUUACUAAAAGCGCCGCAAUAUAUGUUAACCAAAACGCAGAGUUUGGCCUAGAGGUAUGUUACAAUUUAUGGCGCUUGUGGAAAAACGCCGCAAAAUAUCCUAACCAAAGUGCACCGUUUUGGUCUUGGUGUAUGUUACACUUAGUGGCGUUUAAUAUAAAACGCCGGUAAAGUAUAAUAUUAGCGGCGUGUUGUGGUAAGUGCCGCAAAACAUCUUAACCAAAACGCAGAGUUUGGUCUUGAGGUAUACUAGAACUAGUGGCGCAGAGGGAAAACGCCGCUAAUGCAUACUAUUAGCGGCGCUUUCGUAUAAGCGCCGCAAAAUUUGAUAACAAAAAUGCAACGUUUUUGUCUUGAUGUAUACAGUUAUUAGUGGCGCAUAUUAAGAAACGCCGCUAAAUCAUAGUAUUAGCGGUGCUUGGGCAAACGCGCCGCAAAAUAUGCUCACCAAAACGCUGAGUUUUUACAUGAGGUAUAUUAGAAUUAGUGGCGCUUGCGGGAUAUCGCCGCUAAAGUAUAUUAUUAGCGGCGCUUCUUUAUAAGCGCCGGAAAAGAUAUUAACAAAAAUGCAGCGUUUAAGUCUUGAUGUAUACUGGAAUUAGUGGCGUCCACGAGAAAUCGCCGCUAAAGCAUGGUAUUAGCGGCGCUUUUUGAUAAGCGCCGGAAAAUGUCUUAACCAAAACGCAGAGUUUUGGUCUUAACCAUGCAUUAUAUAAUGUAGGUUAUUAUAUAUGUUUAGUUUAUCGUAUUUGGUCUAUGGUUUAUGGUUUAAAGGUUGGGGUUUAAGGUUUAAGGUUAUGUGUUAAGGAUUUAUGAUUUAAUUUAGGGUUUAUGGUUUACAGUUUAGAUUAACUAGUGUUUUCUAAUUUAUAUAUUAAUUAAUUUCUUAUAUAAUUGUAAAAGAUAUAAUAUUAAUUUCGAUCUUUAAAAUUGUGUGAAGAUUUGGUUAUUCAAAAUCGAUAUAAGCUAUAUCCAGAAGGAUAUCCCCAUCUUAUCCCAUCUCGGUUCAGUAUUUUUAGUGCUCUGUUCAGUAUAAUAUAUAUAUAUGAUUAUUAAUUUAAGAUUUUAGCUAGGUCAUAUUUAGGGUCGGGUUACUAUUUUAAGGUUAUUGUAAUUGAUCAGGAGUACUGUAUAUAGUAUUAUGUAAGAGCUGAUCAGAUUUAAUGUUUAGGUGUUAGGAGCUGGGUUAGACGUUAUGGGCCGAUUAGGAGUUAGGGAUUUAUGGUUUAGCCAGGGAUUUAGGGUAGACCUUGGGCGACGCAAUUGCUGAUGUGGCAGAGGCGGGGGCUAAAGACUUAAGAAGGCUAGGGUUACUGAUAUUUUUUUAAUGUUUUGGGAUUUUAGGGUUUUUGUAUUUGGGCUAUUUGGGAUUGUAAUUAAUGGACUUUUAUUAUUCAUUUAUUUAUUAAUUUGAUUAUUGUUUGGUUUAUUUGUUUUGGGUUUGGGUUGGAUAAAAUUGGCCUGUUACAAAGUGCAUAGAAAACACAAGCAUGUUCAAGGGUAUGCUGAAGGAUAUCAUUGUUAAUUAGGGUGGAGUGAAAGACAAUGUUGGUUUGUAAGAUCCAAAGUUCCCAAAGAAAGUAAGCAAAAACAACAUUCCAAGGUAGGGAUGGCCUAGAAAACCAAGCUUCUAAGUGAAGAUUCUCAAAUAGCCAAAGUAUCCAACCUCUGUUAUGUACUUGAUUAAUGUUCUCUAGAUUGCACAAUUUGUUCAACUAGAGAUCAUUGGCUAGGCAUUUGCGAAGUAGAUGUUUCAAUGUCUUCUUGGUGAUUCUCACAUAGGGGACAUGACAAGUCAAUGGUCAUAUCCCUCUCAAACAAGCGUAUCUUAGUAGGCAAAAUGCAAAUGCUGCAUUUCUAUCAGAAAAUAUUCACCUUUGGAGAGAGAUUUGUUUUCCAAACAAAAUCCCAAAUAAGUUUAUCCCAAUUAUCAACAAAUGGAGGCCUAUUAUUGGCCAUACCAUAGGCUCUGGAAAGGGAAAAGAUCUCAACAUUCAAUCGUGACCAAAAAAUCAUGUCUUGAUCUUGCAAGUGGGACACUGUUAGGGUACUUAGGAACAUAUUGAGAAUAUUCGACUGGAGGUUAAAAGAGAGGGUAGAAGCUUGUCGUUCAUCCUAUUCGAUUUUAACUUGUAGAAAGGAUUUUUCCUCCUCUUCUAGUCGUAGUAGCCUUGUUAGGAAAGAUCUAGGUGCACCAAAACCUGUCUAGUAAUAUUCCCAUCCCAUACUACCCAUCUAAUGCCUUGCUAAAAGAGUAAACUAAUCCUUCUAAGUCCACUCCAAGUUGCGAAAAUAUUGUUCGACCGAGGAUUACCAAUGCGGGUUUGAGUGUAUUCGGCUAUAAGCAUUUAUGCCCAAAGAAUGCACCAUCCAAGAUUUGAUAUUUGCUUCCAAGUUUGGUGAGACCAAUGAGAUUAACAGUAAAUCUCUCUAUUAAGUACCUUUAUGACCUUUGACUAUUUCUUGAAGUUUCAAUAAUUAUGUAUGAUUCAAUCUAAUGACUAAAUAUGUAUGAUUCGAUCUAAUGAAAUAUAACUAAAGUGUAGUUGAAUUGAAGUAGAGAGGUUUAAGAAAAAGGGAAAAUCAUUAUAGCGUGUGAUUCAAUUGUAUUCACAGGCAAUCAAUUAUGUUUAAUGUUGUGAAGAUAAUUGUGAAUACAAAAAUUUAUUAUUUCACUAAGUAAAAAGAUGAUAAGAAAACUUGAAAUGUGCUUAAAUGAAUUCGGGUGUUGCAUACUAACUCUACUAACAGUUGUAUAGUAGCCUGCUCUUAAAAGUAAAAUAUGUUGGUCCCAGGAUUUAUUUCCUUAUAUGAACCUUGAAGAGAACAGAAAGAACACAAAAUAAUCUCCUAAAGUUUAAUCACGAGAAUAUUGUACUCGUUAUGUGUGAAGAUAUUGAGAUUAGACGCACAUAAUGAGUGACCCAUUUGCGAUAUACUAUAUUACCAAUGACCAUAAUUUUUACUCAAACCAUUAUAGUUUAAGGUUAUAAAGUCGGUGAAUUUUAGGUAAAAUUCUAUUAUUAGUCUAUGUAUUUAGUAAAAGUUGUAGAUUUAAUCCAUACAUUUUUAUUUAGUCAUUUCAGUUCUCACUAAACAAUAAUUGUUAAAUUCAUUAAAUAAUGUUUUGCUAUUUCUAAAAUUUGAUGUGACAAACAUAUUUCCAUAUGUGUAAUGUCAUAUUAGUUUAUUAUUUCCACAUAUUACUUUCUAAAAAUCCAGUUAGAAUUAAUGAUUGUCAUUUGCGUUAAAAUUGAAAUUUCAAAAUUCAAAAAGUAUAGAGACUUAGAAUAAUACAAAUAGGGAAAAUGGACUAAAUCUGCAAUUGUAUGAAUAUUACAUGACUAGUAAUUGAAUUUAAUUAAACAGAUUUAGUUGCUACUGUUUGAGUCGGGGCUAAAAUUUUAAAGUUUAAAAAGUAGAGAGAUUAAAACUAUACAAUAACUAAAGUUGAUCAAAUAAAAAUAUAGAGAUUAAAUUUGCAAUAAAGAGGGAGAAUUUAACUUAAGAAUGAGAAGUAGGGAGAGUUUUACCAUUGAUGAGAGAAUGAACCUUGGUUAGGUGGACAGUUAAGGAGAGGUGGAGCAAGUUAACAUACCAAAUUACAAUAAAUUUGAUUUUAACCAAGUUUUUGGAGUUGGUAUGGCUAUGGAUGAAUGAGUUGAGUUGGAACAAAAGCCUAGGUGUUGAGCAUCGUAGGUGUAGCUGAUGAGCCGAAAAAAGGUAAGGGAUUUCAUCAGAAUUAACAAUACAUUGUCCGGUCCGUACUACUGAGGAAUAAAAAGAGGAACAUGGAGGAGCCACCGGUGUUACAGAUGCAGCAGCACUUGUAUGAAAAACUCCAUCACCCUAUCUAUCCCAUUGUUAUGUCAAAUCCAAAGUUGCUGUUAAUUAUGGUUCACUUUCAUCCUACUUUUUUCUGCCGCCGGCGCUACAACGCCUUUUAAGGCUCUUCCUUAUUCAAGUAAAAUUAAAAUUUGUAGACUAAGAACUUUUAUUUAUUAAAUUCAAGUGAAAAAGUUUAUGUUAUGUGUAAAUUAUAUGUAAAAUUUUAGUUUAAAUUUUAUUUUGCUUUUAAGUUUUAUCAUGUGUGAUUUAUGAAAUUUAUUCAAGUAAAAUUAAUUUUUUUUAAUUUAAUUUUAGAUGUAUUUUGAUUAUUAAUUUGAUUAUAUUAAUUUUUGUGUUAAUUAUUUUAAUAUAUAUAUUUGUACUUGAUCCAAUAUUUUUACUUUUAAAAAAAACCUAAAGAUCAUUGCGAAGUUUAAUUAAUUUAAGAUUGACAGUUAAUUUAGGAUUGUUUCUCAAAAAUAUUUUUGAGAAAAAAAAAACACUUUUGACUUGAAGAGAAGUUAAAAUUUUCAAUUUCUAAAAAUAAAAAAUACUUUUGGGUUAAUUUUUAAGUUGGGAGAAACAUUUUCUCUCUCAAGAAGCAAUUUAUUUAAGAAUGUUGUUAUCCAAAAGUGUUUUUUUUGAAAAUAAUACUAAAACACACCCCCUUGAAUAACACCUAGUUACUUCUUAGAAAUUACAAGUUUGACUAGUGUAAUAUUCUACUAAUUUAAUUAAUUAAAGGGUUUAAUGAAUUUAUAAAUAACUUUAAAAUGUAUUAAAACAAAUGAGUGCUUAGCCUUUUGAAUUUCUCUAUUUAAAUAUGAAAAAAUAUUUUAUAUAUUGCUAAUGAAGUUUUUAGAUUCCAUAAGUAGGAUUAAAGAGUUGACAAAUGUCUCAUAGGAGUAUAGUAAAAUAUAAAAAAUAUAUUUUAAAAAAAUACAUGAUAUUUUUUAAGGUAACUUAUGGAAUAAAAAAAACAUACUACCAGUGUACCAAAUACUAGUUUAAAUAUAGUGGUAAAUUUUUCAUUCCAAAAUUAAUCUUUUGGGUUAAAGUGAAAACCUUUAAAUAUAUUAAAUUUACGAGAAAAUAUUUGGUACGCUGCUCGUGGAGUUUUUAGACUCCAUAAUUAAGGUUAGAAAUUGACAAGUGUAUUAUAGGAUAUAGUAAAAUAUUUUUUAAAAAUAGAUACAUUGAUAGUAUACCAAAUACUAACCCUAAAUUUAAAUAUCUAUACUUAUUAUAAAAUUUUGAAUGGGUUGAAGUGUUAAUUGAGUACAAAACUCGGUUGGAAAAAGACAAAAAUACCUUUACUUUACAAGCACGGUAUACCCAAAAUGAUUGCAAGUACUUAACACAAUAAGGAAAAUAACCUUGGAUUCUCUAAAGUGUCGAGCAAAAAUCAGUAAAAGAAUAAAGCAUCCACCAAACUAGAGAGGACAACGACGAAACCAUCCCUAAAUUCACUUACAAAAGCAAGACUAAAAAAGUUAUAAAAUGUAAGACAAAAAGUUCCAAAAUGAAGAAUUAUUAAACAAUGAAAAAAACAUAUAAUACUUAAGACAACAUGAGUCCAAAAUAACUCGUAAAAUAAUUUAUUAUUCUGAAAUACUCUCAAAACAAAAUAGAUUAAGAAGUCGAAGAAGGUCACUGUUCGAGUAUCUACAACCAACCAACUUUUCAAGAAAAAUUGUUGGUCAUUUGUCCAUCACAACUUAUGAAAACAACAAAGAUAUCCAUAACACAUCUGCAAACUGAAAAAGGAAAAGACACGUGAAGUGAAUAAGAAAAACAAAAAAAAAAUUAGUGAAAGAGAGAAAAAGGUGAAUAGUAACCAACUCAAAGACUAGCACUACUGUUAAGCAAAACAAGGUAGAAAAAACAAAUUACUUCAUGAAAAAAAGGGAAAUUAUCCUUAUAAUUAUAUUGUUAUUUAUUAUGAAGAUUAAAUCAUUUAAUAAUUUCUUAAUUAAGUUGUUGUUUGGAACCCAACAUUUUGUUUAUUGGUUAAGGUGUUCAUUAUAUCUCAAAAUUGUGGGAUCGAUCAAGAGAUUGUGCCUAUGUGAUAAUUUAAAUAUGUGUGUGAGCUUGAGAUUCUAUUGUAUCAAAAAAAAAUAAUUUAUUUGAUUGGUUCAUAACAUCAACUCAAUUAAUAAAUUAUACAUAAUAAAGAUAUAUAAUAUAUUUUUCACUAAAUUAAUUCACAAGUUAUACUGCACCAAUAGGUAUGUAUAUAUAUAAAUUUAUCCACCUUUGUCCAUUACAGUUAACCACAGCCCCUUAUCUUAUUUCACAAUUUUAAAUGUGCUUUUUCAAGGCACUUUGAUUUUUUUUUCAUAUUAAUUAACAUUUUUUUAAUUUCAAAAAUAAAUUUCACAUGCAUUUUUUGCAUGUGGCAUAAAAUUUAGUAAUAUAUAACACUAAUAAAUAAAAACAUAAAUUGUUAAUGUGUUAUAUAUUCAUGUCAAAUACUAUUUUUAUAGUAUUAUAUUUUAUAUUUAGUUUUUUUUAAUAAAUAUAUCAAAAACUUGCAAGCUGCAAUUUUUUUUUAAAAGACCCCAUUGAUGAACCGAAAAGAUCAAAAGGGUCACUGGGAUAGAACCAGCUGAUAAUGAUAGGCAGUAAUGGUCUCAUCACAUUCACAUGCAUGCAGUAGCAAACAAAAACAAUAUUCUCGUAUUGGGAAAAAAGUUGGAGUUUUUAUCGCAAAACGAAUGGGAGAGACAGAAGCCAACUGGAAAUGGUGAAGCAAAAGGAAUCAGAUGAUCAAAGAAAGUUUGAACUUUGAACAAAAAAAAAAAACUAAAACGAAAGAGCCAAGCAUCACUCUUGUUAAACACAGUAGUUAACAUGAAGCAACUGUUGUUCCAGUGGACUAUACUUACACCAUUUCGCAAGAAAAGCCACUUUGUUCCAGGGCUAUAUUUAUACAUAUAUAAAUGGUGUUAUGCUUCAGUGUAGUUGUGGUGGAUGAGGCGCAAUGUCACGCCUGUGAAGGAUCACGUACUUCGAAGAAAGACCGGUUCUUGACGACAAUGUCGUACAUAUGUAUGGACCUGAAGUUGUCGAAGUUCCUUGGGAGGGAAAUGAGGUGACUUGAGUUUGCUGAUUUGUGGAAUUGGAGAAGCUCAGGUUGGUCCGAGUUGUAGUAACGAGUCCAGCCAAGCUCACCCAGACGCUGCUCCAGUUCGGAGUAGGAGCGGAUCACUUGGUUCGUGGGGCGGUAGACUAGGACGCGUGGUCGAGCCCCUGCUGCGGUCGACGUUCCCGGAUAAAUAGGAUCUUUUUCCUCGAAGGAUUCUCUGGUUGGAUUGGAUAUCAAUCGAGCCACACCAUUUUUGUCAAAUAUCCAUACACCCGACAUUGUAUGCCUAGACACAAGAGAUGAUGGCUAGUUAAUUGUUGCUAGGUUGAAACUUGAAAGCCCGUGCCUCCACCUUUAUAGGACAAGGGACUCCCAGUGUAAAGACUACUUUAUUAUAUAUAGUAAUGUAUUACCGGCACCUUACAUUCUUUAGAUAAAUGCCAACUCAAUAGUUAAUUGUAACUUCAAGAAUAUAUAUAUUUGGGCUUUAUUGUACAAAAUAAUAGUUCAUCGUAUUCUUGAAUUGAUUGUCACUAAACUAACUAUAAAUACGAUUAAAGCAAGCGCACCUAUCGAACAAUAGUAUAGUUACGGUGAGUAGGGAAUAUUGUAUUCACGAGGACUAAAAGUACUAGUAAUUACCGGUUUUCUAUUAUUUAGCCGAUAAAUUGGAGUGAUUGUUUUUAAUCUAAAAUUACUAAACUAAUUUAACUAAGAAUGCAACAUAGAAUAAAAUAGGAAAAUAACCGAAGAUGCCAAUGAGAGAGAUAAUACCCAGGAAAAAAUCCACCUACACUUCACUUAUUAUUAUGAAUCUGAAUUAAAUGAUUUAUUCGCUUAUGCCUUGAUCCGUAGAAAUCCCUAAAUUAUGUUAAUAUCUCUUUCGAGAGUAUGAACAACUAACUCUAGGUUGAUUAAUUGAAAUCUCUUUCUAAUUAAAACUCCUAUUGUCGCAUUAACUCGAUCUAUGGAUUCCCCUAUUAUAUUUGACUCUAAUCCGGUAGAUUUAUGUCGUCCUAUUUCUAGGACUGCAUGCAACUCCACUCAAUUAUGCUAUACAGGGACUUUUGCUCCACUAAAAUAAGUACAUUAAACAUGAAUUAAUAUCCUUAGAUUAUUAAAACAUGAAAUAAGCAUACAUAAUUGAGAACAAGAAUCAAGUAUUUAUCAUGUAAAUCAAAAAUUAAAUAAUAAGAUUCAUCAUAGGUUUCAUCUUCCCUAGGUAUCUAGGGAAUUUAGUUCAUAAUCUUAAAUAGAAACAUCUCAAAGUUAAGAUAACAACAAGUCAUAAAGAAACCCAAAUAAGUUUCUAAAGAAAUUAAAUGGAGAUCUUCAAUCUUGAAGGCGAUCCGCUUCCAAGAUGAUUCCGAUGGCGUUCUUCGAGUAUUUUCUUCAAUCUUCUAUGGGUCCUCUUUUGGGUUCUCUUCUAAUAUAUGUAUUUAUAAACUUUAGGAUGCUCUGAAACCCUAAAAAUUAGAUUUUUUGUGAAAAAGGGAAGCAGGGUGCAAAAUCGACACAGGCCAGCACAUGGGCGUGUGGCCAGCCCGUGUGGUUCACACGGGCGUGUGCCCAGCCCGUGUGGAAAAGCUAAAGCCGUGUGGAUCCUGAAAACAGCUCUUUUUGUCUUAGUUUGGCCUAUUUUUCGCUCCUUUCACUCCCCUAUGCUCACUUAAGUAUAGAAACAUGAAUUUAAAGGAUUAGGAGAUCAAAUUCACUAAUUUACAUACUAAAUCAUCCAAAAAUGCAUUAAGAAUGGGAUUAAAAACAUGUUACUUUUAUGGCUUAUCAUGAAUCUAUGAGAUAUUGAAACAAUGAAUUGAAGGAAUCUGGUUUCUAGUAAGAGUAUAAGUAAGUUGUCCAAACUAGAACAUUUGAUUUGAUGGUAAAGGACCCAAGAGAGUGAAUCACUUGCUUGUAAGCUAUAUGAGUUAUCCACUUCGUUCUUCAUGUCGCAGAUGGUAAACUCACUUUUUUUGUUAAUGGCGAAACACCCCUAAGUGUUCCAAGUGCCCACUCUAUCGCACAUUCAACAUGUUAUUGCUAAUGCGUUUGUUCUGUGAUACGUCGGAUGUUGUUAUGUAUAGUCCAACUAGAGUAGAGGUAGGCUGCAAGCUCAUGUAAUUGGGGUGAUUGAAGAAUUAAUUAGGAUCAUUGCAUUGAAUUCUUACUUUCUUAGACACUAAAAUGGAAGAUUAAUCACUGCAUAUCUAUGCACCAAGAGUAUGUUUUUUUUCCUUAUCUCUUGUUUGAAUGUUUCCCAUUCUAUUGUAGACCAGCAUUAAAAUUUUAACUACGGGUUAUAGUAAUUUAAGGCUAAAUUAGUUAAUUAUGUCAUUUUUGUUAUUUGGUCUUUUAGGUUGUUUUUUUUUAAAUCGGGAAAAUAAGUUAACUUUGGAGAUAGUGUGUGAAAGGGACCAACAGUCAUUUUUUUAACGUUGACAACGAUAAAAUUUUUGAAGGGCCCUAACGGUAAUUUUUUUCCUAUAAAUACUAGGCAAUUUUUUAUUCUUUUCACUCAAAUCCAACUCUCUCAAUUCUUUAUAAACUCUCAACUCUCUCAAUUUUCUCAAGUUCUGUUCUCAAUUUUCUGAUACGUUUGUUUAAAAAUAUCAUAGAUUUAUUUAAUUAUUUCGUAUAUUAUUCGUUUCAAUUAAAUUUUCACGAAUGACAACCUCUCACUACACCAAAUGAGGCUUUUAACGGUAUAUUUUGUGGCGUUUUUACUACAAACGCCGCUAAUAAUCUCGCAUUAGCGGCGCAAAAAAUAAACCGCUGCUAAAUAUCAGGCAUUAGCGGCGCAUCAUGAAAAACACCGUAAAAGAACAUCAUUAGCGGCAUUUACCAUCACAUGCCGCAAGAUCUGAAGACCAAAACGCAUCGUUUUGGUCUUGAUGUAUACUAGAAUUAGUGGCGUUUAUAGUAAAUCGCCGCUAAAGCAAUUAAUAGCGGCGCAAUGGCUGAAGCGCCGCAAAAAUCUAAACGAAAACGCAUCAUUUUGUCUCGCUAUAUAUUAGCGUUAGUGGCGCUUUAAAAAAACACGCCGCUAAAACAAGUAUUAGCAGCGCUUACUAAAAGCGCCGCAAUAUAUGUUAACCAAAACGCAGAGUUUGGCCUAGAGGUAUGUUACAAUUUAUGGCGCUUGUGGAAAAACGCCGCAAAAUAUCCUAACCAAAGUGCACCGUUUUGGUCUUGGUGUAUGUUACACUUAGUGGCGUUUAAUAUAAAAUGCCGGUAAAGUAUAAUAUUAGCGGCGUGUUGUGGUAAGUGCCGCAAAACAUCUUAACCAAAACGCAGAGUUUGGUCUUGAGGUAUACUAGAACUAGUGGCGCAGAGGGAAAACGCCGCUAAUGCAUACUAUUAGCGGCGCUUUCGUAUAAGCGCCGCAAAAUUUGAUAACAAAAAUGCAACGUUUUUGUCUUGAUGUAUACAGUUAUUAGUGGCGCAUAUUAAGAAACGCCGCUAAAUCAUAGUAUUAGCGGUGCUUGGGCAAACGCGCCGCAAAAUAUGCUCACCAAAACGCUGAGUUUUUACAUGAGGUAUAUUAGAAUUAGUGGCGCUUGCGGGAUAUCGCCGCUAAAGUAUAUUAUUAGCGGCGCUUCUUUAUAAGCGCCGGAAAAGAUAUUAACAAAAAUGCAGCGUUUAAGUCUUGAUGUAUACUGGAAUUAGUGGCGUCCACGAGAAAUCGCCGCUAAAGCAUGGUAUUAGCGGCGCUUUUUGAUAAGCGCCGGAAAAUGUCUUAACCAAAACGCAGAGUUUUGGUCUUAACCAUGCAUUAUAUAAUGUAGGUUAUUAUAUAUGUUUAGUUUAUCGUAUUUGGUCUAUGGUUUAUGGUUUAAAGGUUGGGGUUUAAGGUUUAAGGUUAUGUGUUAAGGAUUUAUGAUUUAAUUUAGGGUUUAUGGUUUACAGUUUAGAUUAACUAGUGUUUUCUAAUUUAUAUAUUAAUUAAUUUCUUAUAUAAUUGUAAAAGAUAUAAUAUUAAUUUCGAUCUUUAAAAUUGUGUGAAGAUUUGGUUAUUCAAAAUCGAUAUAAGCUAUAUCCAGAAGGAUAUCCCCAUCUUAUCCCAUCUCGGUUCAGUAUUUUUAGUGCUCUGUUCAGUAUAAUAUAUAUAUAUGAUUAUUAAUUUAAGAUUUUAGCUAGGUCAUAUUUAGGGUCGGGUUACUAUUUUAAGGUUAUUGUAAUUGAUCAGGAGUACUGUAUAUAGUAUUAUGUAAGAGCUGAUCAGAUUUAAUGUUUAGGUGUUAGGAGCUGGGUUAGACGUUAUGGGCCGAUUAGGAGUUAGGGAUUUAUGGUUUAGCCUUUAGCCAGGGAUUUAGGCGGGUCGGGUUAGGGUAUUAGGUUUAGAUCUUUUACAUAUGUAAAUGGAAUAACAAAGCUUGGUGGACACCUGUAUAUAUGAAUUUAGGGUUACGGUUAUAGGGUUAGGGGUUAGAAGUUAAUAGUUAGGGACUUAGGGUUUAGAUCUUAUUUAGUUUUUUUAAUUUAUAUUUUAAAUAUGUUCUUACAUUUUUGAACAUAAAUAAAAAUUAUAUAUUAACCAACCAAAUCUGAAAUAAUUAAUAAAACACCACAUUAAAGCACGAUAAAAUAAUAAUUCUUAGAGAAAUAUCAAAAAAAAUCAAUUGGCUGGAAUAAAAAUCAGAUUAAUUAAUUGUAUUUAAACUUACAUAUGUUAAUGGGAUAGCAAUGCUUGGUGGACACUUGUAUGGAUUUAGGGUUUGGGAUCAUAGUAUUAAGGAUUUUGGGGUCAAAUCAGGGUUUUGGGUUUAGAGUAAUUAGUAUUUUUAAAAUAUAUUUUAAAAAUUUAAUCUAAACCAAUUGAUGUAUUUAAUUAAUAUUAGUUUAAAUGGAAUUAAAAAAUAAGUUAAAAUUUUUGCUAAACGACGCGGUUUCUGUCCACGAUUUUUAAAUUAGCAUUUUCUCUAUAUUAACUAAACGGCGCUGUUUAUGUUAAUUUUUCGUGGCGUUUGUGUUUGAAACGCCGGAAAAGUGACUUGAUAUAUUGGCUAAACGUUGACGUCUAACUUAAGGAAAUUAAUUUUUAGUGGCGCUUUAGAAGAAAACGCCAGAAAUGUGCAUUAAAUCCGAGCAAAACGGUGCUGUUUCGGAUUAGAACCUUCAUUAUUUGUGGCGCUUGUCAAGAAACGCCGCAAAUACACAAGCUAUAGCGGCGUUUUUUAAUAAACGCCGAGAAAGUGUCUUCAAAUUUUUGCUAAACGGUGUCGUCUCUGUACACGCUUUUAUACUUAGCAUUUUCUCUAUAUUAAUUCAACGGUGCCGUUUCUGUUAAUUUUUUGUGGCGUUUAUUGAGAAAACGCCAGAAUUGUGCAUUACAGCUUAAUAAAACGGCGCCGUUUCUGUUUUAACUUUAAAUUUUAAUGGCGUUUUUUCAAAAACGCCGCAAAUGUUUCUUAAACUUUCGGCGAAACGUCGUCGUUUCUGUACCGUGUUUUAACUUAUAAUUUUCUCUAUAUCUCAGUGGCCAGAAUUCAAUACAUUCCAAAAACAAAUUUGGGGGAAAACGAAAGCAGUGAAAUCGAAAGAGAAAAAACGAAGUAAGAAAGGGAGAGGAGAACUCUUUCUGUGGAAACGAAGGCUUCAGAGGAUACUAUCAAAGCUGCGUCAUUUGUGUUUAAAAGGUAAGCUUUUUUUUGUGGAAACAGUGUAUCUUGAUUUAGGGUUUAGGUUCAGAGUAAAUUGGGAAUUUAGGGUUUAGGGUCCUAGUUCAGUCACGAAGCUUGUACCAAUUUGGUUUGGAAUUUGGGGAAUUUGGGAAUUUUUGCAUGUCUAGGGUUUGGGAAGAAGUUCCGAUCCUGUCGAGCUUUUUUAUUUCUAGUUUGUUCUUCUACUUUUUUCCUUAUACUGUUCUAUAUUCAUGUCUUGUUCCCCAGGAGCAACACUGCAUUUGCCCAACUGUUAAAGGAAGGAGAACUGAAAAUUGUGUACUUAGGUAAGUUUGUUGAUUUGGUCAUUUAUCAACAGUUGAAUGGCUUGGAAUUUUUUCUGCAUUUCUUACUGCUCGUAUUUAUAGUACUGCUUUUAAUUCGGGUUUUUUUGGAAUUUUUGGUGCAUUCCUUACUGCUCGUAUUUAGGGUAGUUUGCUGAUUUGUUGAAAUAUGCAGUGUUACAAUAUUUUUCAUUGCUUGAAAAAUAGAAGCAUUUUAGUAAAGAAAAACUAUAAAUAGAAAUGUAUAUUCAAUAUUUCAUGUUAAAUUGCAUUUUUAGAACUAAAUUCAAAAUUAGUUAUUGUUAAAAGUACUCAUACUUGAAAAUAAAAUUAGAACUAAAUUCCAAAUAUUUUAUAUGUCUUUGGUGCUGGAUGUAAAAAAUGGAUUGGUCUAAUUUACAAAUUCCAGUUGGUGCUUAUAAAAUUUACAGUAUUAAGCCUUUAGCUUUAAAUUUGAUUUUUAAAAAGUAAAAUAAAAUAUAUAUUUGUUUAAUAAAUUAUUGCUGUUGUGUAGGUGUAGUUCCACAAUAAAUUGGUAAUCUACCACAGUUGAGAUAUCUUUAUUUAUCUGGUUAUUCUCUAACAGGUAUUAUAUUACAUUUCUUCUCUAUAUAUGCUCAGUUUCAUUAUUGUUAUUUUUUACUUUUAUUCUCUUCCUUAAAUUAAAUUUAUGUUCAAAUUAUACAAAUACAUUAAAUAUUUUAAACUCCUGCAAAUUUGAUUUUGAAUCAUGGUACUGCAUAAUUUCCUUUUCGAUGAGAUCAUUCAUUGGAAUUUUCAAUUUACAGAAUUGCAUAGAAAGUUUCCUAUUUAUUUCCUCUUCACAAUCACAGAGGAGAAAUGGUUUCAUGUUGAGUUUUCUGAAUAAAAGUUUUGUUACCAAAAGGUGUAAAAUAUUGUAAAAUUAUUUAUGUUUUAAAAUCAAAUCAGCCCAUGCCCUGAGCUCACAACUUACAUAUUUAGGAGGAAAAUGAAUUCCACAAUAAAUUUUUUCUUUUGGUCCAAAAUGUUUAGAUUUGGGUUUUCAUCCUUUUGAAUACUUAGAAGUACUCAAAUUUGAAAAUAAUUGUAUCCAAUUAUAUUAUAUGCCUUUGGUGCACAACGUAAAAAAUUAAUUGGUACCAAUUAAUUGUAUCCAAAUGUAUUAUAUGUCUUUGGUCCAAAUGUUAUUGCAUAAUUUUUGUUUUUGCUAAGGAGCUUUGCUUUCACAAUGCGGACAGAGUAUUAAAAGUGUCCUACGAAAAGCUACAGCGUGUUAGAUUUUUUUGUAAAGUAUAAAAAUAGUGACUAAUCUAUUUGUUCUAUUUUGAAAUUACUAAACUUUUUGAAAUUAAAUACUUUAGCACGAAAUGAGAUUAAUUGUUGUUAAAUGAGAGACGAAAAGCUGACACGAGACUUUUUUAUUGAUCUAAUACAUAUCUCUAAUCUCUAACAAUGAUAACAAAUUUAACCCUCUUAAAUUUCUACAAAAUUGGGACAACAAUCUCUUACAUUAAAAAUUUUAAGGCAAGCUUCAAUUCUAACUGUAUAGAGUAUGACCUGCAGAACUUUUAAUAUUUCAAUAUAUGAAAAUUCAAUCUCGAUUAAAAGGUACAUAUCUCUAAUCUAAUAUUAUUGUAUUCAAAAUUUCGCAUGUAUUCGUAUAUUUUGAAUGAUAAAUAAAGUUUGAAUGUUUAUUAAAAUAUGUAAUUAAAAAUAUCACAUUACAGUAUGUGAUUAUUAAAAUAGCCAACAAUUUUUUUAAACCCUGUUAUGACAUUUAGACUAAAAAUCAUAAUUGAAUAAUAUCUUACAUAUCACAAAUUAAAUAAGUUACAUUAAUUACAUAACUUACAUAAAUUAAGUAAAUUAAAUAUCUUACAUAACUUACAUAAAUUAAAUAUCUUACAUAACUUACAUAAAUUAAGUAAAUUAAAUAACUUACAUAACUUACAUAAAUUAAAUAUCUUACAUAACUUACAUAAAUUAAGUAAAUUAAAUAACUUACAUAACUUACAUAAAUUAAAUAUCUUACAUAACUUACAUAAAUUAAAUAUCUUAUAUAACUUACAUAAAUUAUAAGGGAAAGCAUUGUUCAAAAUGAUCCAAACUCGACAGAAACAAAUAGUACUGAACAACAGACAGCAAUUGGAUCUUCGAAUGUUCCGAUUACACACGAGGAUCCUACGGAAGUUCAAAGUAACUUACAUUAAUUUCAUGCGUGUUGACUUAUAAUUGAUUUAUUUUUCAAAUUCUUAUAUUAUAAUAUACCAUUUCUAGCUGAAAAUGGUGGGACGCGUAGAGGUCGAGGACGUACGAUACUUAGAGAGUUAUACGAGUUAGAUCCAGUCGAGCGUGUCAAGGUAUGCAGAAAUAGUUUUGGUCAGCCUGUUGGAACAGAAGCUCGACUUUUAGCAGGAUACAUGGGCAUUUUAGCACGAAAUGCGAACAUGUUGCCUAUCAACUACGAGUCAUGGCGUCAAAUGCCCGAUAGCAACAAAAACCAAGCCCUCGAUAAUAUUAAGGUAACAAAAUGUUAAUGUGAUCUGUAAUGCUUAGGAAAUAGUUUCAUUUAUAUUUACUUUAUUAACUUGUGUUUUUUGUAGGUGAGGUUUGCUUUAGAGGUCUCCGAUGCUUAUGUAAAGAAGGCAUUGGGAAAAAGAUGGAGAGACAAUAAAAGUAUUUUAAAGACAAAUUAUUAUAAGACAAAAACAACCCUCGAUGAGAAAUUGCAAAAUGUCCCGCCGGGUAUGUUGAGGUACUAAUGGGAAGAUGCGGUUAGAUUUUGGCAUUCUCAGAAAGGCGAGGUACGACGUAUUUCCAAACUAUUGUAAUUAUUUUGGUUUAUAGUAUACUAUUUACGUACUAAAAAUUUUAUAACGUAGGAUCGAGAACGAGUUGGAAAAAGCAGCCGGCAGCAACAAAAAUUCACUUACACAGCCGGGUCGAGAAGUUUUGCAUGUGUAGCUGAGGCGGAGGUAUUUUUAAUUUUUUAAUAUUCUCAAAUAUGUAUAACUUUUUAUUAAAUAAUAUUUUUACUACUAUAUUGUAGGAACGGUUGUCCGGUCAAAAAGUUGGACGCCUACAACUUUUUGAAAUUACACAUAAGAAGAAAGAUGGAUCUGCUAUGACUCCUGAAGCUGGUGAAAUUAUGGUACGUUUACUUAAUACGAUUUCACUUGUUUUAGUUAUUUAUAGUGUUUAUUUUCUAAUGGUUUAAUUCAUUGCUUGUAAUGCGACUAUUGUUAUAUUGCAUUUGUUUUUUUUACUAUAUAUUGCGUUCCUAACUAUGUGAUUUAUUUAUUAGGAAAAACUAAAGGAAAAAAAGACGGAGUGCGAAGCAAUUGCUUCUACUGAUAGUUCUGUUCAUCUUGAAGACAUUGAUAACCGGAUUAUUACUGAAGUUUUGGGUCCUAAAAAGUAUGGUCGGGUUCGAUUUCAAGGAUCUUUUAUCAGCCCAACCCAAUAUUUUGGAUCCAGCUCGCACCAAUACAUGGCUUCGGGGAGUCAAUCUCAAGCUGAAGUUCAGAGGUUAAAAGACCAGAUGGCUCAGAUGCAAGCGACCACAUUUGAGGUUCAAAGGAAAUAUGAAGAACUUCAGCAGCAACUUAAAGCAGAGGCAGCAGCGAGGGAAGCAGAUGCCGCAGCGAGAGAAGCAGCGAGAGAAGCAGCGAUAGAAACAGAGGUUCAAAAGAAAUAUGAAGAACUACAGCUACGACUUCAAAAAGAUGCGGCAUCGAGAGAAGCAGAGCAGAGCAAAAAGUACGACGAACUUCAACAGCAGCUUCAGAUUAUGAUGAAGAUGUUUCAGCAGUCGCAACUUCCGCCGUCAUAGUGUAUGUUGCAUAAAUACUUUUAACGCUUUUGUAAAGAAAAGUAUGAAUUCACUUUUAUUUAUCAAUUAAUAUUAUUUUAGUCAUUUAAUUUGAAAUAUUAUAUAAAUUUAUUGUUUUUGGUUAGUUUAGAUCUGGUUGCUUUUGAUUUGUUGUUGCAGGAGGGUUGAAAAAAAAUUUAUUUUAAAAAAAUCCCAAAAUUAGUGGCGUUUUUUAAAAAAGCGUUGCUAAAAGUCAUAUCAAAAUAGUGGCGUUUGUGAAAUAAGCGUCGCUAAAGAACACUACUUUUAGCGGCAUUUUUAAACAAGCGCCGCUAUAGAACAUUACUUUUAGAGGCGUUUUCUUCCAAAGCGCCGCUAAAGAACGUGAUCUUUAGCGGCGUUUUCUUCCUAAGCGCCGCUAAAGAACAUGAUCUUUAGCAGCAUUUUUUUCUAAGCGCCGCUAAAGAACAUGAUCUUUAGCGGCGUUUUUUUCUAAGCGCCGCUAAAGAGCAUGAUCUUUAGCGGCUUUUUUUCUAAGCGCCGCUAAAGAACAUGAUCUUUAGCGGCAUUUUUUUAUGUAAGCGUCGCAAAAGUUAGCGACGUUGUCGUUAGCGGCAUUUUUUGUGGCGCUUUUUGAAGCGCCGGAAAUGGAGUUAGUGGCUUUAAAAAGCGCCGCUAAAGACUUAAAAAAACGCCGCUAAAAACUUAUUCUGCUGUAGUGUCUCUAAUUCGUUUUAACAACAAGCACAUUUCCGCCACUCAAGCGAUAAUGGUAAAACAAAAUUUUAAAUUUCGUUAUUUUCAACUAAGUUAAAUUUAAAGUUUUUUAUUUUUUAAAAUAUUUAAAAUUAAAAUUUUUGUCGAUAUAAAUAGGCAGAUGAUUGUGCUUUGGAGGGAUUUGUCGAAACCACCUUUUUGAAAAUAAAAAUUUAGUUGUCGACUUUAAAAACGAAAAUUGGAGUCGCCACUGAUCCUUGAUUGAGGUGUGAUCGGCUCACCUUAAAAAUAAUUUUGGUCUACGAAAUUUGACAAGAUAGGUUCAGGAGUCAGUUACGCACGAGGAAGGGUUAGCACCCUCGCAACGCCCAAAAUUGGUACCAAAUUGAUUAUUCAAUGUCUUGUUAUCGAAAGUUUGAAAAGAUUUUAAAAGGAAACUUUUUAUUUCAUGAAUGAAUCAAAAUAAUAGGACAUUCUUAUUUCAAAGAAAUAAAACACCACACCCAGUGAGUUAGGGCACAAUAUUUUUAAAUCUUCAAAAUGCCCGAAUAUUGCCUUUUGCUUUUGAAAAUUCUUAUUCCGAAAAGUCAAAAUAUCAGGACCAGUAAGUUAGGACCCAACAUUUUUGAACUCCCAAGAAUAAGCUUUUAUUUAAAAUUUGCGAAUUUAAUGCAAAAUGAAUACUUGGUUUUCUAAAUUCAUCGAAAAAUAAUCGCAAUCCAGUAAGUUAGGAUACGAUCUUUCUCGAGAAUCAUGAGUACCAAAUAUUUUGAAAAUUUAUAAAAUAUGAUGAUUUUAAUACUUUGACAAAACCAAAAUAUACAUUUUUUUUAAAAAAGAUAUGCUAAAAAAGGGGGUAAUGUAUAACAUGAAACCAAUAUUCUAACUUCAAGCAUAUAUGAAUAAACAUUUACGAAUAUAUAUAUAUAUAUAUAAGUAUAAUAUACAAGUAAAUUUGCAAACAAAAAGAAGGAAUGAAAUACAUCAAAUAGAAACAAAUAGAAAUACAUGUAAAAAAAGUAUAAAAGUAUGCAUAUGUAUAUAUUUACAGAAAUAAAAAGUAUACAUGUAUUGGUGAAACCUGAAAGUAUAUAUGUAUAAUAUACAAAAAAUAAUUGAAUAUGUGAAAUAAUAAAAAUUUUAUAAUGAUUUUUUUAAAUGGGAACAUGAGUAUAUUAAAAAAAAUGCCCAUGUUAUAAAGCGUGUAUUUAUAUAUAUAGUAUAAAGUAUAAAAAAAGGAAAGUAAAAUAAAAAAAAUAAAAAAAGAAAGAAAGUAUGUAUGCGUAAAAUAUAUGCAAAAUUAAAACCCUUAAAAGUAUAUAUUAAAAUAUGCACAUAUAUUAUAUAUAAAAAUAUGCGUGUAUAUGUAUAGCAAAUACAGUAGUAAUAAUAAUAGAAAACAAUGCAAUAAUAAUGAUAUAAUGUAACAUAAUAAUAGUAAUAAUGGUAUAAUAAUAGUAAAAAAAUGAUAUAAAAAAAUAAAAAUGAAAAGAAAGACUGAAUUGAAUUUUAAACAAAAAUGGGGGGGCUGAUUUAAAAUAAAUUUAAAAAAAGACCGACUUGAACGCGCGCAUAACAGUGGAAGACCAAAAGCGAAAUUAUCCCUUCCUUCCAAAACGCUGCGCAACAAAGGGCUAAAUUGAAACAAACAUAAAAUAUGCGGCCCAAUUUUUAAAAUAAGUAGAAUGGACUUAGUUGGAACGCAUUUGCAAAAGGGAAGGCCUAAAUGCGCAAUUAGACCUUUAAAGCCAAACGCACGGAUCCUCCCCUUCGGGUUGGGUCACUGCACGGGUCAAGGCUUGGACAAAACGGCGCCGUUUUGAGGUUUCAAUAAAACCUAAUUUUUCUUUUAAAAAUUUCAUAACCCGUUUUAAAACAAAAAAAGAAAUGUUGCACCUCCUUUUUGUUCUCUGCUAGGUUUUCAUACCCAAGCCGCCGUGCCACCGUUCAACAGUGCGCCAUAGCUCCGAUCGCGAUGGAUGUGGCACCGAUCAAUGCUUCUGGCCAAAGAGGUAAGUUUCCCUUCUUCUUUUCUUUGUUAUUUCUUUAAAAAAACCAUAAAACGCAAAAGAGAAAAAAUAAAAAUAAAACUAUAGGAACCCGAUUCACCUUAGGAAAAAACUUUGUAUUCUCUGUUUUUUUUCGAUUUCUUUUCUAUUUCUCUGUUAUCCCCCCUUUUACAGUACUUGAAAUCGGCCUUUUAUAGCCGAAAUAGAAAAGAGAAAAAGAAAAAGAAAAAUCUAAAUAAAUUUGUUCUGUUGUUUAUUGGCCCGAUUUUUACUCUUCUGUUUGUGUGUGUUGCUGCAGGUACAAGGCGAGGUGCGCGUGGAGCGAGAUUCGCGGCGGCGUGCGAGGGUGAGCUGCGGCGGUGCUGAAGCAAAUAGGCUCCUAGGGUGUCUGUUAUUUUUUUUGUGUGGGCUAGGUUUAGUGGAUUACUAGUUUUAGGCCUUAUUGGGUUGUAUUGUAAUUGGGUUUAAAAAAUGUAGAUGGUUUAUUUAUUUUGGGUUUUAGAUUGGGCCUGGGGCAAAAUUGGUUACUACAGCUGCCCCUCUUUGCUUGUUGUCGUGUAACGAGAACGGAGCAAAGACUAAGAAAGACCAAUUUUGCUCGGUUGCGGUGGAUCUUGGUGCUCUUCCUCUUCAAGUAGCCUCGUUCUUUCCUACUGCAUCCUUAGAGGUAUAGGAACUAGUGUUUCAAUCUACUCCACUGCAAUGUCAGGGAGAUAAGAUUCGUAUGCUGUAGCUUCUUAAUUUGUUAUCUUUAAUCUGCUCCACUCCAACUCUAGGGAGAUAAGACUUGUAGUUUCAAUUUGUUCUGCUACAACUUAAAGAUAAAUCUGAUGCGAUCUGCUUUACUGUAACUUCAGAGAGAUAGGAUUGGUAUACUUCUGUCUGCUCCACUACAACUUCAGGGAGAUAAGACUUGUAUCUUCGAUCUACUUCGCCACCAAUAUGGGAAGACAAGAUCUGCUGUCUUUGAUCCACUUCACGUCAAUACAUGAAGACAAGAUCUACUUUUUUCGAUCUACUUCACCACCUGUAUGGGAAGACAAGACCUACUUUCUUCGAUCUACUUCACGCCAAUAUAUGAAGACAAGAUAUGCUAUCUUCGAUCUACUUCACGCCAAUACAUGAAGACAAGAUCUGCUUUCUUCGAUAUACUUCGCCACCAGUAUGGGAAGACAAGAUCCGCUUUCUUUGAUCUACUUCACGCCAGUACAUGAAGACAAGAUCUGCUUUCUUCGAUCUACUUCGCCACCAGUAUGGGAAGAUAAGGUCUGUUAUCUUUGAUCUACCUCACACCAGUACAUGAAGACAAGAUCUGCUUUCUUCGAUCUACUUCGCCACCAGUAUGGGAAGACAAGAUCUGUUAUCUUUGAUCAACUUCACACCAGUACAUGAAGAAAAGAUCUGCUUUCUUCGAUCUACUUCGCCACCAGUAUGGGAAGAUAAGAUCUGUUGUCUUUGAUCUACUUCACGCCAGUACAUGAAGACAAGAUCUACUUUCUUUGAUCUACUUCGCCACCAGUAUGGGAAGAAAAGAUCUGUUAUCUUUGAUCUACUUCACGCCAGUACAUGAAGACAAGAUCUGCUUUCUUCGAUCUACUUCGCCACCAGUAUGGGAAGACAAGAUCUGUUAUCUUUGAUCUACUUCACGCCAGUACAUGAAGACAAGAUCUACUUUCUUCGAUCUACUUCGCCACCAGUAUGGGAAGACAAGAUCUGUUAUCUUUGAUCUACUUCACGCCAGUACAUGAAGACAAGAUCUGCUUUCUUCGAUCUACUUCGCCACAAGUAUGGGAAGACAAGAUCUGUUAUCUUUGAUCUACUUCACGCCAGUACGUGAAGACAAGAUCUGUUUUCUUCGAUCUGCUUCGCCACCAGUAUAGGAAGACAAGAUCUGUUAUCUUUGAUCUACUUCAUGCCAGUACGUGAAGACAAGAUCUGCUUUCUUCGAUCUACCCCGCCACCAGUAUGGGAAGACAAGAUCUGUUAUCUUUGAUCUACUUCACGCCAGUACAUGAAGACAAGAUCUGCUUUCUUCGAUCUACUUUGCCACCAGUAUGGGAAGACAAGAUCUGUUAUCUUUGAUCUACUUCACGCCAGUACAUGAAGACAAGAUCUGCUUUCUUCGAUCUACUUCCCCACCAGUAUGGGAAGACAAGAUCUGCUAUCUUUGAUCUACUUCACGCCAGUAGAUGAAGACAAGAUCUACUUUCUUCGAUCUACUUCGCCACCAGUAUGGGAAGACAAGAUCUAUUAUCUUUGAUCUACAUCACGCCAGUACAUGAAGAUAAGAUCUGCUUUCUUCGAUCUACUUCGCCAUCAGUAUAGGAAGACAAGAUCUGUUAUCUUUGAUCGACUUCACGCCAGUACAUGAAGACAAGAUCUACUUUCUUCGAUCUACAUCGCCACCAGUAUGGGAAGACAAGAUCUAUUAUCUUUGAUCUACUUCACGCCAGUACAUGAAGACAAGAUCUACUUCGCCACCAGUAUGGGAAGACAAGAUCUGUUAUCUUUGAUCUACUUCACGCUAGUACAUGAAGACAAGAUCUGCUUUCUUCGAUCUACUUCGCCACCAGUAUGGGAAGACAAGAUCUGUUAUCUUUGAUCUACUUCACGCCAGUACAUGAAGACAAGAUCUAUUAUCUUCGAUCUACUUCGCCACCAGUAUGGGAAGACAAGAUCUGUUAUCUUUGAUCUACUUCACGCUAGUACAUGAAGACAAGAUCUGCUUUUUUUGAUCUACUUUACCACCAGUAUGGCAAGACAAGAUUUACUGCUACUCCACUGUUGCUCAGGGAGAUAAGGCUUUAUACUUUCACCGAUUUGUUCUCUGGGGAACAUGACCUGUAUGAUUCAUUUAUGAACCUAAUUAUGCCUAAUGAUUAGGAUGUCAUGAUCAGAAUGAAUCAAAUGCUCCUAACUAGACAUGUAUGAAUGACAUUUGAAUGAAUGCAAAAUGUCAUUAAAAUGAUAUUUUAACGCUUGAGUUAUUAUUACUCCAAUUUUAUUAAGGUUUCAUCAUUAAUUUGUUAUAACACCUUCUUGCUCAGCUGGCGUCUCCAAAAAAACACUUAGUCAGAUUGUCCCACUGUAACUUUCAAAGUUUAAAAAUUUGUACCAUCUUUCUCCCGUUGUAAACCAAGAGUAAAAGAUUUGGCCUUUUCUCAAUCCUCUGCUAUCACAAUUCAAGGAUACAGGAUGUGAAACUCUUUGGUCUCUUACACCAUUCGCAGGGUGUCCUACCAAAUGCUCAUGCACAAAUGAAGAAUUUUCUUCUCCAAGAACAACUUUUUCUUAUUAUUUGGUGAUCAUUGCUUGCUUGUUCAUUUAAGCUUUGUCACCAACACGACAUCUUGUCGUUUUUCAAUCAAUGUUUUAGACAACAAAAUUUAAAGGGAUAGUCUUAAUUUAGACUCUUCCUUAUUAGAUUUCCAACCUUUGAACCUGGCGCGUUCUAAACAAUAGUCCUGUUUGAGGUUUCUAUAUUAUUUAGAAAUUUCAAGAGUAAUAUGCAAAACUUCCCUUGUGAAAGUUUUAUUAAUCUACUAAUCAUUAUUCUAACAAAAUAUGCUUGCAAAAAGAUCAUGGAUAAGAAUAGAGUUGGUUCUGAGCAUAGCUCGAAAUAAAUAAAUUGUCAAGGUUAAUAAAGAUGGAUAACAAAGAAAUUGAUUUAGGAAUGCCUAUCUUGGAAAUGAAUGAAGCGUUCCAAGAAUAACAAAAAUAGUAUAAGGAUUAGGCGCCCCAGAUAUCGCAGCUUGAACUUCUCUAUACAAACAUUCUAAAGACCAUUCUGAGUUUAACAUGUGUUUAGGAGAUCAACAGUACUUUGUCAAUGCCCCAAGAUGUUGCCUACCCUUUCCUGUUGAUUUAGGUAUAGCAAGACCACUGCAUGCCCCAUUCUGAUCAGUAUUUGAGCUGCUCUGAUUACCUCAUGCCUCAUUCUGAUCAAUAUUUGAGCCGUCCUUUUCGAGUUUUCAACUCAAAUCCCUUUGGUCUAAAGCACCCUUUGCGGGUUUUCACCUUAGCCUCUUCAUUUUACUUCUUCAUUUUUCAUUUUCAUCUUUUCAUUUUUUCACAUCACUACUUUUUCUUUUUUCCUUUUUUUUUUGGAUUCAAACUACCCUUUGUGGGUUUUUACCUUGGUCAUCUCCUUCUUUAAGCGGAGUAUUUUCUAACUGAACCUGAGUUUACAAGACUUUGCAGGUUUACCAUCUAUCUCACUCACAAUCAAAGCUCAUUUGGAAAAGACCUUCUCUAUAACAUAAAGUUCUUCCCAAUUUGGCAUCCGUUAUAUUUUUUGUAGAGUGAGGAUCUUCUUCAGCAUUAGGUCGCCAUCGUGGAAUUCUCUGGGACAAACUUUUUGCUAUAGGCUCGCAUCAUUCUUUUCUUGGUACAUUUGACUCUGAUGAAUAGCUUUUAGCCUUCUUCCUUCUAUCAAGUUCAAUUGAUCACAUUGCGAUUGGAUCCAUUCUGCUUCAUCCAACUUGCUCAGCUAAUACCUGGAGAGAAAUAAUUUCAACUUCAAUAGAAAAAAAACCCUGGACUAAAGAGAGAGGCACUGCUCCGGUAGAGUUUUCACCAUAUCAUGAUAUUAAUCUUGAACAUACUGUAAAUUUUUGAUAUCGUGCUGUUGUUCAGAUUGCAAUGACAGUACUUAACCCGGGCAUAUCCCGGUAUGACCAUGCGCAGACAUCUUUGAAUUCUUGAAGUAACUCAACAAUGUCUUACUUUGUUUCUUCGGUCAUGCCUGUUCCCUCAAGGUCACAAUUUCUAUUGUCUCAUCAUGAGGUAAAUUUUUUCCUCUUCCUGCUCUACCAUCCUUAACAAGUCCCGAGAUAGACUACAAUCUAUGUCAUUUCCACAGUCAUUAAAUCCUUCUAGACACAUGUCUCGUUCAAAAGGAAAUUCUGAGUCUGUAGCAGCGUCACUCAUGUCAUUGAUAUCCAAGGACCUAUUGUAGGUGCUAAAGGAUAUACAAAGAAUAAUAUGAAUGAAUGGUUUGGCAGAAAAAAUCCAAAAGAAUGAAAAAAAUCGUAAAGAAUGAAAGAACAUUUGCUCAAAGAUGAUUGCAAUAAUGUAUUUCAUUAAAACAAUAAUGUUUACACGUGAGCCUAUCUCACAAAGAAAUUCUUAUUGCUUCUAGGAUGAAAGCAACAAGUGUGUUCUGAACAUUACUCUAACAGAGUCUAAAUACUUCAGGGGUUUCCUCUACAGUCCCAUUAUUUAGAACACCUCUAAGGCGAAUAUCUAAUAAGGACCCUUUUAAUUGUGUCUGCAUGUAUGACAUCGAUGUGCAAAUUUCUCACCACUUCUUCAUACAUUGCAGUCCCCCCAUCCUUAAUCAUGACUAGGUAGCAUAUUUUCUGCACUAGACAAGUCACCAAACUUGACUAUACCCAUGUUGAUAAGUCUUUCAACUUGCUUCUUGAAGGCAGUACAAUUCUCAAUCGAGUGUCCCGUAACCCCAGCAUGGUAUUCACAUUGUGUGUUCGCAUCCUAUCAUUCGGGAUAUGGAGGUUGUAGAGGCUUCACAUGAAAAGGAGACACAACAUGUGCAUCAAACAAAUUUUGAUACAGUUCCUUAUACGGUACUGGGAUUGGCGUAAACUGGAACUUUUCAGUCUUCAUGCCGGAAUCUUGCCUCGAUGAAUUCUGUUGAUUACCAACCACCUUUCUUGGUUGACUCACAGUAACUGAUUUAGAGUAACCUGUGUUGUUCACCUCAUUUUCUUUUCUCUUUGAGGCUGACCUCUUGUUACUCUCCUCUGCAUCAAUUUUCCCGCUUCUUAUAGCAUUUUCGAUCAUUUCACCAUUCAUGACUAUGUCAGAAAAGCUUUUUGUAGCACUUCCUAACAUAUGCGUAAUGAAUGGAGAUUUCAACGUAUUGACAAAGAGCAUUGUUGUUUCUCUUUCUAAUAGUGGUAGUUGAACUUGAACGGCCACUUCCCUCCACCUUUGUGCAUAUUGCCUAAAGCUCUCGUUCGGCUUUUUUUCCAUAUUCUGAAGGGUGAUUCUGUCAGGAACCAUGUCUGUUACAUUACUGUACUGCUUCAUGAACGCUUGUGCUAAAUCCCUCCAUGAACCAAUCAUGCUACGGCUUAGUUGAUUGUACCAUUUAGAUGCUGCCCCUGCAAGGCUAUCCUGGAAACAAUGUAUCAAAAGUUGGUCAUUGUUAACAUAUCCCGCCAUUCGCCUACAGAACAUGGUGAUAUGAGCUUCUGGGCAGCUUGUCCCAUUGUACUUUUCGAACUCAGGCAUCUUAAACUUAUGAGGGAGUAUUAAAUCUGGAACUAAACUCAGCUCCUUAACGUCAAUGCCUCGAUAACUUUCAGUGACCUCCAUCGCCUUGACUUUCUCCUCGAGCCAUUUGCACCUUUCCUCUAGCUGCUUUGAUAACUCCUCCUUUAUUCUUUCUUUUUCAGCCACCUCAUCAAAGUCAAGAAUGGCAAAAUUAGCAUGGUGGUUUCUGAGAUUAGAGCCUGAUCCAGCUUGAAAGUUUGAAGCACCGGCCUAGAAUUGUUGAGGCCUGAUUGUGACAGUAGAUUUGUGCGAAUAUUCAACUUGAGUUUGCACCUGUGGAGGAGUAAAGCCUGGAGGGUAAAGUGAUUCAUCCUCGUUACCCUCUUGGCCAUCAGCCAUGGGACCCUUUCCUUUAUCACCUCCUCUGGUCAACAGUUUGGUUAGCUUUGCCAUCAUAUCAUUUUGGGAUUCCUGCAUUUUCUCAGACAUAUCCUGUUGCAUCUUGUCUAACCGCUCCUGCACUUGUAGCUGAAGUCGGUCUUGCAUCUCCUUCUGGUACUGUUCAAGCUUUUCCAAUCUCUGAUCCAUGUCUUUAAUCUUUGCUCGAGUGCCGUAAUGGUGUUUGGUUGGUUGGUUGGUUUCCAAGUUAACUGAGCAGUGAUUUUAAUUAAUUAGGAUCAUUUAACGGUGUCUAAUGCAUGUGAUGUAAUGAAAUGCAAAUGCAUGAAAUGAAUGCAAAAAGAGACGUUGAUUCUGGUUCAAUUCUUUACUAGAAAAGCUUCGCUACAAAACAAAUCUCUUUACACAAAGCGGAUAUAUAUACGGCUUCGCCCUCGUACUCCAAGCAAAGACAUCGAUCAUUUAGGUAUUAAAAUGUAUCUCGCGAAUUUGAGCUCCUUCUUGUUUGAUCUAGGUCGUAACUCCUUGCUCGCUCACGUUCAUUAUCUUCUUUAAGAGGUUGAAACCUUUGAUGACUUUUGAAUAAUCUUUGGCAAUUUGAAUCCUCGGGUCACACAGCAAAGUCGUAUACUCUUCUUGUUAGGUUUUUCGUGUCAUGUUUUCUUAGACUAUACUCGGACAACCAUAUUAUCUUCCACCUUAUCAAGAAACCCGUUUUCCGUGGCAAGUUCUCUAUUAACAACCAAACGUGAAUCAACACCUCUUUUCUAUGAUGAAAUGCCAUGCAGUCAAAAAUGUCAUGCAGCAAAAGCAAAAACAAACCCAGGUUAGUAUCACACAUAAAGAUAUAAUCCAAUACAAACAUGAAAUAGCAAGAACACUUAUUUCGGAAUCCACUAGGGUUUUGGAAUAGUUCUACCUAGGGCAAGUUCCUAAAGCUCACUAUAUGAGGUUUAGUUUCUAGAGUAAGGGUACUCGAACCAGCAGAUUAAUCGAUCCUCACCCAUCAUAGGCUCAUGUGGAUCGAGUUCAAUUCAGGGGGAUACAUUUCCCUAUGGCUGCACGGAGAUGAAAAUCUCACUAAGACAUUGGUACGGAUGUAUCCCGGAAGCGGUCCACUACCCUGCACGGAGGUGAAAAGCUUACGAAGGACUAGUUUCUCGCUCCCACUUAAAUGGGUAAAACUGACCAUGUAAUGCAAAAUGCAAAGUAACCGACUUGGUCCAAUCAUGCAAACGUAUCACGAUAAAAAUCAAUGAAUGCGAAGGGAGAUCAUGAUUUAAAAAACUUUUGAUUUUCGACAACAAAGACAAAACAUAAUCAAUUCAUGGCUCGACUCUCUAAAAGUCCCCAGCGGAGUCGCCAAGCUAUCGAAACCAUCUUUUUGAAAAUAAAAAUUUAGUUGUCGACUUUAAAAACGAAAAUUGGAGUCGCCACCGAUCCUUGAUUAAGGUGUGAUCGGCUCACCUUAAAAAUAAUUUUGGUCUGCGAAAUUUGAGAAGAUAGGUUCGGGAGUCAGUUACGCACGAGGAAGGGUUAGCACCCUCGCGACGCCCAAAAUUGGUACCAAAUUGAUUAUUCAAUGUCUUGUUAUCGAAAGUUUGAAAAGAUUUUAAAUGGAAACUUUUUAUUUCAUGAAUGAAUCAAAAUAAUAGGACAUUCUUAUUUCAAAGAAAUAAAACACCACACCCAGUGAGUUGGGGCACAAUAUUUUUAAAUCUUCAAAAUACCCGAAUAUUGCCUUUUGCUUUUGAAAAUUCUUAUUUCGAAAAGUCAAAAUAUCAGAACCAGUAAGUUAGGACCCAACAUUUUUGAACUCCCAAGAAUAAGCUUUUAUUUAAAAUUUGUGAAUUUAAUGCAAAAUGAAUACUUGGUUUUCUAAAUUCAUCGAAAAAUAAUCGUAAUCCAGUAAGUUAGGAUACGAUCUUUCUCGAGAAUCAUGAGUACCAAAUAUUUUGAAAUUUUAUAAAAUAUGAUGAUUUUAAUACUUUGACAAAACCAAAAUAUACAUUUUUUUUAAAAAAAAAUAUGCUAAAAAAGGGGGUAAUGUAUAACAUGAAACCAAUAUUCUAACUUCAAGCAUAUAUGAAUAAACAUUUACGAAUAUAUAUAUAAGUAUAAUAUACAAGUAAAUUUGCAAACAAAAAGAAGGAAUGAAAUACAUCAAAUAGAAACAAAUAGAAAUACAUGUAAAAAAAAGUAUAAAAGUAUGCAUAUGUAUAUAUUUACAAAAAUAAAAAGUAUACAUGUAUUGGUGAAACCUGAAAGUAUAUAUGUAUAAUAUACAAAAGAUAAUAGAAUAUGUGAAAUAAUAAAAAUUUUAUAAUGAUUUUUUUAAAUGGGAACAUGAGUAUAUUAAAAAAAAAUGCCCAUGUUAUAAAGCGUGUAUUUAUAUAUAUAGUAUAAAGUAUAAAAGAAAAGGAAAGUAAAAUAAAAAAAAUAAAAAAAGAAAGAAAGUAUGUAUGCGUAAAAUAUAUGCAAAUUUAAAACCCUUAAAAGUAUAUAUUAAAAUAUGCAUAUAUAUUAUAUAUAAAAAUAUGCGUGUAUAUGUAUAGCAAAUACAGUAGUAAUAAUAAUAGAAAACAAUGCAAUAGUAAUGAUAUAAUGUAACAUAAUAAUAGUAAUAAUGGUAUAAUAAUAGUAAAAAAAUGAUAUAAAAAAUAAAAAUAAAAGAAGGACUGAAUUGAAUUUUAAACAAAAAUGGGGGGGCUGAUUUAAAAUAAAUUUAAAAAAAAGACCGACUUGAACGCACGCGUAACAGUGGAGGACCAAAAGCGAAAUUAUCCCCUCCUUCCAAAACGCUGCACAACAAAGGACUAAAUUGAAACAAACAUAAAAUAUGCGGCCCAAUUUUUAAAAUAAGUAGAAUGGACUUAGUUGGAACGCAUUUGCAAAAGGGAAGGCCUAAAUGUGCAAUUAGACCUUUAAAGCCAAACGCGCGGAUCCUCCCCUUCGGGUCGGGUCACUGCGCGGGUCAAGGCUUGGACAAAACGGCGUCGUUUUGAGGUUUCAAUAAAACCUAAUUUUUCUUUUAAAAAUUUCAUAACCCGUUUUAAAACAAAAAAAAAUGCUGCACCCCCCUUUUGUUCUCUACUAGGGUUUCAUACCCAAGCUGCCGCACCGCUGUUCAACCGUGUGCCCCAGCUCCGAUCGCGAAGGAUGUGGCACCGAUCGAUGCUUCUGGCCAAAGAGGUAAGUUUCCCUUCCUCUUUUCUUUGUUAUUUCUUUAAAAAAACCAUAAAACGCAAAAGAAAAAAAUAAAAAUAAAACUAUAGGAAUCCGAUUCACCUAAAGAAAAAAACUUUGUAUUCUCUGUUUUUCUUUCGAUUUCUUUUCUAUUUCUCUGUUAUCCCCCCUUUUACAGUACUUGAAAUCGACCUUUUUUUACAGUACUUGAAAUCGGCCUUUUAUAGCCGAAAUAGAAAAGAGAAAAAGAAAAAGAAAAAUCUAAAUAAAUCUGUUCUGUUGUUUAUUGGCCCGAUUUUUGCUCUUCUGUUUGUAUGUGUUGCUGCAGGUACAAGGCGAGGCGCGCGUGGAGCGAGAUUCGCGGCGGCGUGCGAGGGUGAGCUGCGGCGGUGCUGAAGCAAAUAGGCUCCUAGGGUUUCUGUUAUUUUGUUUUUGUGUGGGCUAGGUUUAGUGGGUUACUAGUUUUGGGCCUUAUUGGGUUGUAUUGUAAUUGGGUUUAAAAAAUGUAGAUGGUUUAUUUAUUUUGGGUUUUAGAUUGGGCCUGGGGCAAAAUUGGUUACUACAGGAUUCAUACAUAACUUGUCAAUGAGCCCAAAUAUCGAAAUUCGUGGUUACUUGCAAGACGCGAGAUUCUUGUAUGCAUCUCAUAUGCUAUGGCAUUGCAAACUCGAUCCUACACUCAUUUGCGCGUUGGUGGAAAGAUGGAGGCCCAAGAUACACACUUUUUAUCUUUCAUUAAGCGAGUGUACAAUCACACUCGAUGACGUAGCUUUACAACUCGGUUUUACAGGCCAGUCGUCACGGGGUCAGCAGUUGAUUUGUGAUUAAAUGUGUAUGUAGUGAUAGUUAUUGAAAAAUCUUAAUAAGUUUAGUUGGAAAAAAAGUAAAUUUGUAAUUGUUGAUGGGCUUUUAACGUCUCUAACAUUCUGUCAUGUAUGGGCUGUUUAUGAAUCUUUUUCAAGCAUUGGGGCCUACUGUUUUAGGAUCUGGGUGCGUGGGUCUUUUCAAACCUAACCCUUCCAAAAUCUCUGACAGCAUGCCCACAUUUGUCAUCAAAUUUUUAUAAUGUCAUUAAUUAAUUUAAAUAAUUGAUACUAUCCCUUCUUUUUGUAAAAAUAUUUAAAUGAAAUUUAAAAAAAAAACAUUUUAUUUCUCAUUUUCAACAUGAUGAAUUAAAGAUUUUACUUUAAAAAAGAGAGCGGGGGACAUGUCAAAAUUUUAAUUAGAAAUUAUUAAUAGUAUUAACUAAUCACAUUAAAUUUUUAUCAAAUUGAAGUACAUAAUUAAAUAUUAAAUUUAAUCAUAAUAAAAGUGCCAUGAUUUCACCUUUAAAUUGUGCUUUGAGCACAAAUUUUGAAUAAGACUCGACUGAGGAAUGAUUCAAAUAUCGAUGUUAAAGGUUUUUGAAAUAUAAGUUCAAAAUCGCAAUUUAUUUAAAUUGAAAUCGACUCCACUUUUUAUUUGAAGUAUAAUUAGUUUUAAUUUUUUAUUAUGUGAAAAUAAAUAUAUUAUAUUUAAAUUUAUGAAAAAAACUUAUAAAAUUUAUAUAAAAUUGUUUUUCUAUCUUUUACUUGAAUUUUUAAAAAGAAUAUUUAUGAAAAUUUAUUUGAAACUUUAUUAAAUAUUGUUCAAAAACCAUAUAAUAAAGUUUAUUUUUUGAAAAUAAAUCUAAAAAUUCAAAUUUUAAAAUUAGUAAAAAUAAAAAAUCAAAUCAAAUUGAAAAUCAUAAACAAAUUGAAAGAUUUUUUAAAAAACUUGAAAUUGAAUGUAGUUUACCCCUAACCAACAUAUCUCUUGUUAAAAUUACAACAUAAACCAAUAGGAUAGAUAGUAGGUUUUGUAUUGAGGGAGUAAGGGUGAACAUUUGGUCGAGUUGAGUCAAAUCGAGUAAAAUAAUUUUGAGUUAGUCGAGUUGAUAAAUCAUACUUUAGCAACUUAACUCAAUUUGAAAUUUUUUUGAAUCGAGUCAAAAAAUUUCAAGUUGAGUUCACGAAUCAUAUUAUUUAUACUCAAUAUUACAUUUACAUUAAUUGAUUAUUUAAAUAAUAAACGAAGUAGAAGAUUAUUUAACUAUGUAGGUAAGGUUAAUGGGUAAGCAUUUAUCUAAACGACGUAGUUUUGUCUUUUCUUAUUAAGAUUUUUAGAUAACUCAAAUUGUGUAAUUCAUAUCCGAUUUAAACCAAAAAAAAUAAUUUUUUUAUUGAAGUUGAUCUAAACAACUCAAUUAGCUUGAAUAACUCGAAUUAUUUAAUUUAAAUUUUAAAAAUUUUACCAAACUUUUUAAACGCUCAGAAAAGAUAGUAAAUUCCCGUGUUACCAUCAUGAUUAGAGGAAGCCCACAUAGUGGAAGCAAGUCUAGAAACAGUAGAAAAAAGUUGAGCACAAAGGAAUCCAAAGCCCCUGGUAAAAUCUUUGGAUUCUCCCCCAGAGUCAAAACCAGCUAACGAAGAGAGAAACAACCCUACCCACAUGUGUUUAGAGGAUUAAGGCUAAAUUGACCCACCUCCCAUGUGCUCAAAGUUAAUUUGGUAAAAUGCAUUGGACCCUUCUUCUUCUUCUCUUGAUUGACAUGUUUGUUUUCAUUGAAAUCCUCCUCAACUAUAUGUAAAUUUCAAACUAUCAACUUUUUGUAGAUGUUGAUGCAAAAACUAUGGUAAUGGUAUAAGGCGUUUUGGAACAUACAGGAUAACGGAAAUUUCCCCUAUAAAAUGGCAAGAUUUGGAAAGAGAGAACAUCAGUACCUUACCUACCCCUUCUUUUAUAUACAUAUAUAUAUACAUACAAAUGCAAAUGCAAAUGUUCAAAAAGAAAAUAAAAAUCUGGGAUAGCAUAGGAUAGGGUCUCUUGCUUUCAAUACAUUUUUGUUGUGUUGCAAUGUUGGUUCGUACAGGGUAAAGAAAAGGAAGCUUCAUUUGAAUCAACCCUGAAAACCUAACCCACCUUCACUCACCAUUUCCAUGCACCACACUUUCUCCUCCAAAGUUUUCUUCAAAGAUUGGACUUGGAAUUGAUUUCAUAUCAAUCAAUGGAUUUAGGUAUAAUUAUUUGUAAUUGUAUAAAGGUGUAAUUAAAGCACCCCAAUUACACGUUUCAUUUCUUAGGAAGGAGAAUUGGAAUAAUCACAUAAGUAAUUAUACCCAAAUCUAAUUUUAAAAAAUUAUUUUUAUAUCAAUUAUAAAAAUUAUAUUAUAAACAUAAACACGUAUGAAUGCUUGAGAUUGUUAUGAUAAAAAUUUUCUUAUAUUAUGAAUUCUAAAAAAUUAUAUUAUUUAAAUCCUAAAAAAUUUCUAAAAUUAUAACAAAAUAGUUUAUUAUAAAAAUUAAUUUAUAUAUUAAAAAAGUAUUAUGAUAUCUUUAUUUAUAAAAUCAACAGAACUUAUUUAUGUGCCUAUACUAUAUAUAUAAAAACAAUAUACUUAUUCAUAAAAAUGUUAUAUUAUCAUAACUUAUUCUAAAGCUAUAACAAAAAAUAUAUUAUUUAUAAAAAAUGCUAUGAAAAUUUUAGAUAAUAUAUAAAACUUUUUUUUAUAAAUGUUAUAUAUUGUUUUUACUUAAUUUAUGAAUUAUAAAAAGAGAUAUAACUAUUUCUCCAAAUUAAGUUUUUAUAAUUAAAACUAUAGACUACAUGGACUGUGAACCUAAAUAUUAUAAGGUUAAUGCUAAUUAUCCAAAUAGAAAAGAUUUUCUUGCAACAUAUCUUACAGUGUGAUACCAUUUGAAAGAAUGGUGCCAAAAACAAGCACUAUAGACAUAUUACAAACUCGUUAAUUUGAGACAUUGAAUGCUUCAUAAUGUGGUUAAGAAGACAUUUAUUGUUCUAGAAAAUAUUUCUCAUAUUAACAUUAUCACCUUAGUAUAACAUAAAAAAAAGGUUAAAUCAUACUAGCGUGUUGCAUAUUUCAUAACGUUAAUAAUAGGUGAAAUUGAGAUAAUCCAUACUUUGACGAGUACAUAAAAGAAGGAGAUUGAGAUCUUAAUAAUCUUAAUGAUGUAGAUUCAAAUUCAAAUUAUGAUUAACUCGAUUAAUUACCAUCAUAUGAUGAUAAUAAGGAACAUAUGUUAAAUAUUAAAGAGGAAACAACUCAACCAAUAUACACUAGAACGAUUAAAUAAAAUUGUAUGUGAUGUUUGUUUUUCUUGCUAUUUUUAUUAGUAAUCGUAUUAUCAACUACUUUUUUAGACUAACAUAAUACAUAUGAUUAUUAGAUUUUAAUUUUUGUUACUUGUUUAGAAAUUAUUUUUUAUCAUACUAAUAAUUUCUUAUCAUAAUUAAUAUUUUUAAAUUAUGAAUUGUGUAACUUUGUAAUUAAAAUUUAUAAUUUUUAUGAUUUUUUAAAUAAUUUUUAAUUUUUAAAAGUGCUUACUUUUUUUUUCAAUUUGUUACUAAGGCCUUUUUGACCAUUUAGUCUUAUCAGUUUUAAAAUUUUCUAAUUUACUUCCAAUAAAAGAGUAGGGGUCAAAUUGAAUAAAUAUGUAAAGAUUAAGGACUAAAUUUAUUAUUAUACCUUAUAUAUAAACAUCAAAUUUUGACAGAGGGGUUACUUUACUCUCUCAUCUAGCAUCUAGCGUACAUGAAUUAAUUUACUCAUUUUUACAAUAGAUGAACUGAAAUGCAAUUUAAGAUAUAGUAUAGGAAGUUUUGUGGUACUUUUACCGGAAUUUUUUUAUAACUAAUAAAAUUAUGACAUGCGUAAUUAGGGACUUUAAUAGGUAAAGAUAAUAUAUUAGGAGUUUAUUUAACUACAAAAUAAGUAUAAGUGGUUGUUGAAAUAUGAUUUAGUAGUUGAAGGGGUUUUUUUUAUAUAUUAGCCAUAAAAUCUCUUCUACCAUAUAUAAAAUAGAAAUAAGUACAUAAAAAUCCAUAAAAGGAUAUAAAAUAGAAAGAUCCUAUGCUGUACCUUCUAUCUAAGUCGCCAGAGCGGGCAUCCGUGGAGUGAAUUAACUCCUUUAUAUCCAUCCUUAGAGUCCGUUGUUUGCUUUGUUUGCUUUCUUUUUUUUAAAAUUAAUUUAGUGGUACAAUUAAAGUAUAAAUAUACGUUUCAAACCGUAUAACUGAACGUAGCAGGAUAUGAAGAUAUCUGAACAAGUAAAAUCAAAUUAUUAUAGUACAGAAUUAAAAAAAAUCAAAUAAAACGACUAAUUCAAACAAAAAUCUACACAUGACAUCAACAUAUGAUGAGACUUUAAAAUCUACUCGUAUAAUUACCCAUGAUAAUUUCGAACUAGUAUACUCAUGAUUCAAAGAUAUUUUCUUUUGCUGACGAGCCAAAGCCUCAUAAGCAAAAUCGUCCUUAAUUGCAUUGUUAUGAACGACGUUUUCUAUUUUACCUAAGAAUAUUUAAAUAUCAAAUCAUAAAUUAAAAGCAUAAUGAUUUAUUUCACCUUUCAAAUUUACAAGUUAUUUUAGUUUCUCAUUUAAUUUUUCGUUUUUUUAACUUUUAAAUUUGUGUCAUUUGUCAAAUUGCUCUAAAAUGGAUAGAAAAUUAAUAUUUGUUGACUUUAUUGAUGUGACAUACGCAUGGGUUACCAUAUGAAUACUAGAUAAGCAAUUAAUUAAUUUUUUAAAAUUUAAAAAUUUUAAAAAUAUACAAAGUGUUUUUGAAAAUUAAAAUUAUAAAAAAAAUUUAAUUUUAAAAAAAUAAUCAAGUACUAAUGUGAUAUACUAUAUUAACACAAUUAACAAACAUUAAUUUUUAGGUGAUUUGACAAAAUAAAAUGAAUAGUUAAAAUAAAUUUUUUUAUAAAAUUAAACAACCAAAAAAGUCAUGCUUAAAUUAAAUCCCUUAAUUACUCGUAUUAAAGGUGGAUAGAUACAAUUUAAAAUAAUCACCCAAACAUUAGAACAAAGUUUAGCUUAGUUAAAUGAAAAGAUUAUAUUGGUAAGAAUAUGAAAUUAAUAAACCAAAUAUAAAAAUAUAUAUUUGAGUUGAAGUUAAAAACAAUACACUUUCCCAAAGUAUAGCUAAUGACAUUAAAGUUUAAUAUUUAGGCUGCGGGCUACAAUUUUGUGGCAGCCGCCUCAGUCCUUCCCCCACCCCACCCAACCCAACCCCAAAUGCAAACCCAUUAACCCCAAAAUCAGAACCAAAAAUUAAAAUAAAGAAGACACCCCAAGUACCCAAUUUGUCAAAAAGAGACAUCACCCUAACAAAACAAAAGUUGGACCAUCAAGGGUAAAACUGGAAAUGGCUUUUCCUAACUUAUGGGGCUAAUAUUUUUCUUUUUUUCUUUUNNNNN
RNAcentral lists this long non-coding RNA (96475 nucleotides) under Gossypium barbadense (sea-island cotton). Its description in RNAcentral is "long non-coding RNA (GBAR_LNC017715)". Lineage: Eukaryota; Viridiplantae; Streptophyta; Magnoliopsida; Malvales; Malvaceae. The record is from RNAcentral.